This 121897-nucleotide long non-coding RNA is filed under the name Triticum aestivum (bread wheat). Its description in RNAcentral is "long non-coding RNA (TAES_LNC012525)". Lineage: Eukaryota; Viridiplantae; Streptophyta; Magnoliopsida; Poales; Poaceae. The record is from RNAcentral.
UGCUGCUGAGGCUGCGCGUGGAGGGGCAGCUCCGGUGGAAGGUGUCCGCCUGGGUGUCCGGCAGCCGUGCCCUCGCCGCUGAGUGCGUCGCUGUCGUCGUGCCGUCGCAGCUCACGGCCGUCGUCGUGCAGGGUUCCCAGUGCGCCACCACCCUCCAGUGAAUGAAUAAUAAAUCUACAUAUGCAUGCAUCAGUCGAUAAAUUACUUUUGCAAUUAGCGUCUGUGUUUAGCUUAAUUGCACUAUUGUUCUUGUACUUAUGGGACAUACUACGUCCUCUGCUUAAAUUUUUUUUAAAGGAGAAGAUCCACGGCACGUGCAUGUUAUGGUUGCCGCGUUUGCUAAAUCUCACGUGUCUGAAAAAAUUAUGGGAGUGGUUUUUCUACACCCCAGUCCGGUUCACCCACGGUGCAUCCAUGCAAAAAAACAUAGCAAAACAUUUAAGAAAAUCAGAAACUUUAUGAAAAUGAUCAUCAACAAAUGUUAUGAGAGCUUGCAAAGCUUGGUGGUCAAAUAACAUUCGAGGAGCUUUGUACAAAAAAGACAACAUCAGUGAAAAUUAGUCAAAAUGUAAGUGCAUUGUUUGAGCAGAUUUUGUAAUUUUUUUCUUUUCUGUAUGGAGCUCCUCGAAUGUUAUUUGACCACCAAACUUUGCAGCACUCAUAACAUUUGUUGAUAAUCAUUCUCAAAAAAAUUCAGAAUUUUUUGAAAUGUUUUGCUACGUUUUUUUUCGUGGGUGCACCAAAGGUAGGUGCAGCCACUACUUUCCCAAAAAUUAUAGCGUCAGUCAUUUGUGCUUCCCCUGAGGCCAAAGGCGAGGAGGAGGUGAGGAGCGACACGAAGGAGCGUUGGCCACGGCGAGGCCAAGCCAUGAACGAGUAGGAGCCGGUGGGUGUGAGACAAAAACUUGACAGGUAUAUGCCGGGACGAGGACGGGGAUGCAGGGGUUACCAGAGUUGUUGUAGAUUUGGGGGGUUUUAGAGGGAUGGCCCUGGCGGUGGCUAUCACGGUGGGGUGGGGUGGGGUGGGGGUGGGGAGUUGAGAGAAGACCAAGGUGGCAAGGCAAUGUGUGGUAGCGCCCGCCAACCGCAAGGGAGGGAUGCCGGUGGUUAGGGCUGGGUCGGAACGAGGGCGUCUGCGUGAGGACAAGAGAAGCAAUCGGAGCAGUCUACAUUGACAUGAAGGAUAAGUUAAUUUACGAACCAACUUGGUUGGAUCGUUAGGUGGAUAGUGGUAUCCUGAGCCCAUCAGGGUUUAAGUCCUGGUUAUCGCAUUUAGUUCUGUAUUUAUUUCAGGAUUUUUGGUGAUGCACAUUCAGUAGGAGAAGACGUUCCCGUGACUACGAGGCGUCUGUGGCAACUUCGUCAAUCCUAAGAUGAUAUGUUUCUUGGGGGUGCUCAUAGGGGUAGGGUCUGUGUGCGUGUGUUCAUAAGGAUGAGUGUAUGUGCGUAUGUAUGGGCGUUUGCGUCUGUAUUGACUAUUGAGUUCUAAACAAAAACACAAUAAAUUAUCGAGAAAGCUAUUUUCCAGUCGGCAGUAAAUUAGCGACAGAUCCGAACGCUUUUAUCUCCGUACGUACUAAAUCGUGUGGCUCUCGUCGGUCGUUUCUUUUUUGCGAAAAAAAGAAGCAGCAACAGGAAUUGAACUCGGAACCUGCUCGUUCGGAGUCAAGGGCUCAACCCUGGGCGACCAGCUGGACCGGCCUUGCUGAGUGUUAUGAGAAGGGCUGGGUCGUUUAUAUUCGUCAAGGCCAGUAGGCCACUACUCUGGUUAAGUCGUCAAGGUUUUUUUUUCCUUCUGUUAGAAGCUUGUGUAAGGGCAUAUUUAUCCCUUAGGUGUUUUGGUGAUUGUUGACAAUGCUUUUGCGGACUAAUCGUGUGCCUUGAGUUUCUCAGAUGCUUCAUCACUAGGCAUGAGACGAUUCGGUGCCCCUCGGAGACUAUUGAAGACGGCGUUGUUCUACAUUUCUCUUUGGUGGGUUUGAGUCGUAGGAGAGCCGUACUAUUAAGAGGGGGUCCGCGUCGGAAAGGUUUGGGUGGAAUCAACUCGUACACAUGUCCUACCUUUCCUUGCACUUUGGAGCGUCUUUCCGUUAUCCUAGUUGUGCAUAAUCAGACGGCUACUGCUGUAAUUGUGGUAGUACUGCUCUAUGGAGCGGUAGUACCGCAAGCACCUGCGGUAGUACCGCUGGGGGUCACGGUAGUACCGCUCCUCUGGAGCCUUAGUACCAUAACUCCCAGGCCUAGUGCUGCUCCGGUACGGUAGUAGGAGCGGAUGUAAUUCUUUACAUCCACGCCCACACGAUAGUACCGCACGACAUGCGCGGUAGUACCGCGGGAGGCCACGGUAGUACCGCUCCCCUGGAGCCAUAGUACCGUGGCCCUCAUACCUAGUACCGUUGCGCCGCUGCAGUAGGAGCGGAUGUAAUUUUUUACAUCCGCGCCUCAACGGUAGUACCGCACCUCGUGCGCUGUAGUACCGCGUCGGGUUUUUGCAUUGUUUCUUUUUCAGCGGAAGUAGGCACGGAUGUAUUUUAUUUCAUCCGCGCUCUUCGUAGGCUUUGGCUUGCCUGCCUUGCGGUAGUACCGCAAGGGGGAGCGGUAGUACCGUGCGAGCGGUAGUACUGCGCUCAGUCAAGCUAGUCCCGACCUCUGCUGCUGCCGCGGAAGUACCGUGGUCCUCCACAGUAGUACCGCGCCCCUGGAGCGGUAGUACCGCAUGUCGCAGGCUGGUCUAAGUGGAUAAUGGUUGGAUUUCUUCCACAAGUAUAAAAGGGGCGUCUCCUACCUCUAGUGGACCACAUCUUCCAUCCCUAAGCUCCAUUGUUGCUCCAAGCUCCAUUUUCGCCCGAUCUCUCUCCCUAGCCAAUCAAACUUGUUGAUUUGCUCGAGAUUGGGUGACAAGGCCCCGAUCUACAUUUCCACCAAGAGAGAUUUGAUUCCCCCCACUUAUCCCUAGCGAAUCUUGUUACUCUUGGGUGUUUGAGCACCCUAGACGGUUGAGGUCACCUCGAAGCCAUACUCCAUUGUGGUGAAGCUUCAUGGUGUUGUUGGGAGCCUCCAAUUGUUGUGGAGAUUGCCCCAACCUUGUUUGUAAAGGUUCGGUCGCCGCCUUCAAGGGCACCAAUAGUGGAAUCACGGCAUCUCACAUUGUGUGAGGGCGUGAGGAGAAUACGGUGGCCCUAGUGGCUUCUUGGGGAGCAUUGUGCCUCCACACCGCUCCAACGAAGACGUACUUCCCCUCAAAAGGAAGGAAUUUCGGUAACACAUCCUCGUCUCCACCGGCUCCACUCUUGGUUAUCUCGCGCCUUUACUUUUGCAAGUUUACUUGUGUUGUUUCCCUUACUUGCUCGUGUACUUGUUGUUGUUGCAUCAUAUAGGUUGUUCACCUAUUUGCAUAUCUAGACAACCUACUUUGAUGCAAAGUUUAAUUUGUUAAAUAAAAGCUAAAAAUUGUUAGUUGCCUAUUCACCCCCCCCCCCUCUAGUCAACCAUAUCGAUUCUUUCAAUUGGUAUCAGAGCCUCGUCUCUUUAUUAAGGACUUUGUCGUCUGAAGAGUAUGGUUGACACCACAGACGGUGCGGAGGAGCACUCUGGUGUGAAUCCCGUCUCGUCUAUGGCCGAUGGGGGGAACCUUGGUCUCUCGUGAGGAAUUCAAUGUGGCUCUAGACACAUUGAAAGACUCCAUGACGACCAAGGUUGAAAGCAUGCUUACUAAAUUUCUUGAAGGGCUUAAACUGUCCACCUCGCCGAGAAAGUGGGUGAUCCCACUAACAAGGUGACGGAUGCGACCUCCGACAAGGGGGAAGCUAAUAGUGAAAAGAGUCCUUCUACUAGUGGUAGAAAUGGCACCGGCAUCUUUGCCCAUGUGGAACCCCCAAUCUAUGGAGGACCGAUUCCCUCUACUCAUUUGAAUCAUGCCGGUCCUCCUCCUAAGUAUGAGAAACAUGAAGAUUUUGAUUCUUGGGUUUAUCGCUUCAAGCGUCAUUUAAAACAUGUGAAUACUAACCUUUGGAGAAUCAUUGAAGAAGGUUUCUAUCCUCAUGACCCGAGCAACUUCACCCCUCGAGAAGCCGUGGACAACCAAUUCAAUGAGAGUGCUCUCUUCAUCAUCCAAGAUGCAAUCCUUCCCGAAGAUCUCCCUCAUCUUCGACCUCAUGCCAUGGCUAAAGACGCAUGGAAAUGUGUUGUGUCUCUCUAUCGAGGAAGUGCUAGCAUUCAACGCUCCAACUAUGAAGUGGUGCAAGAUGAAGCCGAUGAGUUUGCAAUGAAAGAAGAUGAAGAACCUCGUGAGCUCUUUCGAAGAGUGACCAAACUCGCGGUCUCACUCCGAGAUCAUGGAAGCAAGGACACGGAUGACAAUUGGAUCAAGCGCAAGUUCCUCAAGGCCAUGAUGCCCUACAACAAGGCCAUGUCCUCCGUCAUUCGUCAAAGACCGGACUUCCACUCCAUGACCUCAAGUGAAGUGUUGGAUGAGUUCGUUGCAAUGAGCAUCUUGGACAAGACUGCCGACAAUGCGGUGCUCCAUUCUCAAAGGGCAAAGAAGCCCAACCUUGCUUUGAAGGCCAAGGUUAUUAUGGAAGAAGAGGAAGAAGUGGAAGAUGAGGAGAGCAACCCCGAAGACACCAAAUAUGAUUAUCAUGAGCACAUGUCCCUUGCUUCAAGACAAUUUUGGAGCAAGAAGAGUACAAGAACCAACUUCAACAAGAACAUCUCAAGUGGCGUCAAGGGCAAGCAACGAGUUAGAACUUGCUUCAACUGUGGCAAUGUGAGCCAUUUCGUUGCGGAUUGUCCUUACGAGAAGCGGGAAGACAAUGGUGGCAAGUUCAUCCGAAAAGACAAAGCCAAGUCCUUCCCCAACAAGAACAACUUCGCCAAGAAGACUCCCACUCGUGGGUUGGUGGUUCAAGAAGAAUACCAAGAGGAUGAAGAUGAUGAUGAAAAUGGAGAAGCGAUGGCCAUGGCAUCCGUUGCCAUUGCUACUACUCCCCGGGAGUCUCUCUUUGAUUCACCCAACGAGAACAUCACCGCCAAGUGCCUCAUGGCUAAAGCUUCAAACAAGGUAACCCCCAACAUUAAAACCACCAUCAUUACUAAUCCCUCCGUGGAGGAUUGCAUUGAUGAACAUGAGGGGUCUAAUGAAGAAGUGAAUGAAUUUGAGUCUUUUAUUAGUAAGCUCAAGGGCAAGUCCAAGAAGCAUGUUGUUGCUCUCUUGGAACAACUUGGUGAGGCUAAUGACAUGAUCGAGGCUCACGAAGAAACCAUCUCUAAGAUGGAAGGUCAUAGUCGUGACUAUGCCGAUGAGAUAUCAGAUCUCUCUAAUGCUCUUGAGGAAGAGUGUGUUCAUCGUUUGACUUUUGAGGAGUCAUACAAUGAUGACUGUCGGUGUCAAAACCGGCGGAUCUCGGGUAGGGGGUCCCGAACUGUGCGUCUAGGCGGAUGGUAACAGGAGACAAGGGACACGAUGUUUUACCCAGGUUUGGGCCCUCUUGAUGGAGGUAAAACCCUACGUCUUGCUUGAUUGAUAUUGAUAUUGUAGAUGUUUACAAGAGUGGAUCUACCACGAGAUCAAGGAGGCUAAACCCUAGAAGCUAGCCUAUGGUAUGAUUGUAAUGGUUGUUGUUGUGUCCUACGGACUAGAGCCAUCCGGUUUAUAUAGACACCGGAGAGGGCUAGGGUUACAUAGAGUCGGUUACAAUGGUAGGAGAUCUACGUAUCCGUAUCGCCAAGCUUGCCCUCCACGCCAAGGAAAGUCCCAUCCGGACACGGGACGAAGUCUUCAAUCUUGUAUCUUCAUAGUCUUGGAGUCCGGUUGAUGAUGAUAGUCCGGCCGAUGAUGGUAGUCCGGCUAUCUGGACACCCCCUAAUCCGGGACUCCCUCAGUAGCCCCCGAACCAGGCUUCAAUGAUGAUAAGUCCAGCAUGUGUGUAGUCUUCGGUGUUGCAAGGCGGGUUCUCCUUCAAGUUCUACGUACCUGCCGAACAGUGUCCGACUUCCUCAUUAAUGUUGCGCGUCUUGGCUUUCACGCCCAAUAAUGGCCUUCUUCCACGCGUCGCGCGAAUGUGAAAAGCCAGGGUGUCUUUUAUGUUUUACCCCCUAGUUGUGCGAAUAAUCUGCCUAUAAGGGAGGCAAGAAUCCAGAUCCAAAUCACCAUCUUCCUCCCGCAAAUACUCAUCGGAGCGCUUUCGACCAAGAAUCCAUUCCAUCAUGGACCGUCAACGCGGCUCCUCUUCUCGCGCUCCCAGCCCUUCGCCAGGAGAUUGGAGGAGAUGCUCUGUUCCGCACAACGAGCUGGUGAAGCUCCAAGCGGGGGGAUAUCUCCCUCCGGCCUUCAUGGUUCCGGUUCGAGCCGGGCUGGCCACCUACAAAGGUGGGAAGCAAGCGGAGGUUACCCCAAAUCGCAACAAAGGGGAGCGGGUAUGCUUCGUCCCCUAUAUGAUAAGGGGGAUCGGAUUUCCUGUACAUCCAUUCCUCCGCGGGCUCCUGGAGUUCUACGGACUCCAGCUUCAUCACCUCACGCCCGCCUCAAUCCUGCAUAUUGCGGGUUACGUAGCUCUUUGCGAGCUAUUCCUGGGCGUCGAGCCCCAUUUCGCGUUGUGGAAGAGGUUGUUCUGUCUUGUACCCCGUUCUCACGAGGGGUCCAUAUAUCAAGUGGGCGGCGCCGAAAUAUGGCGCAUUGCCGGGACCGGAUAUCCAUCCGGAACCCCUAAGAAGGCGUCCGAAGACUGGCCUUCGGAAUGGUUUUAUAUAGAAUACGCUCCGCUGCCGGACCCUGUUCGGAUCGGCCUCCCGGAGUUCAGCAAUGCUCCUCCGAAGAAACGCCUUAGUUGGCGUCCGCGGAGCCCCCAACUGGAGGAAGACAAGAGCGUCCAUUAUUUGAUGGGCCGAAUAAGGUUACUGGCCCAUGCCGGGUUGACCAUGAUUGGAGUCAUGGCGACAUGCAUUAUGCGGGGGGUGCAGCCACUACAAUACAUGGGCCACCCCAUGUGGGAUUUCAACGGGGAGGACGAUGCCACCCGUCAUGGCCGCAAAGGGCCGGAUUCGGUCGAAGAUCUGGUGAAGAUCCUGUCCGGCCUGUAUAAGGGGGAGAAGGAGGAUUUCCUUCGGACGAACCCGUUAAAUGGGUUCUCCAUGAAUAAUCCCCGGCCUUGGGUAAGCGAACACUCUGCGUGCCCGACCCAGGCUUUUUGAAACUUAAGUUUCUUAUAUUGUGUUCUUCUUUCGACGCAGGAGCUGCGCCGGAUCGUGGAGGACAUGCUAAGUCCAGCUCCGCAACCCGAGGAUCCAGAGAGAUCCCGGGAUCCGGCCUCCGAAGAGGAUCCGGACAUAAUGGUGGAGCUAAUCGACGGGGUGUUCCACCAGCUCAGCAUGGACAAUGCUUUAGUCGCCAUCACGGCCGACUAUCCCGGACUAUAUCCGGCUUCCCAAGUGAUUGCGACCGAAGUCCUGACACCGUCAUUCCUUCCUUGCUUAUUUCUGACCACCGUAUACGAUGGCGCUGUGCAGGAGGCGCCCCUAGGGCGAGAAGCCGAGCCCGCGGCGGCUGGCCAACAAAGGCCAGUCCGGACCAGUAGGCGGAAGAGGAGCGUGGCGCGGACUGAAAUGUCGCCGCAAAGGUGUAGCUCACAAUUCAUUAUUUAGAGCAACGUUCCUAGGAAGCGUUUGAGUGCUCAUGACUUUUGUAGGGAAAAGAGCGUCCGCCGGACUGCGGGCGUGGAGGUUGCCAAUCCAACCUCUACCAGCCAGGCUCCAGCACCUGGUCUGGAGGGGGAGGCGAGCGCAAGGCGCGAGCCGGACGUUCCUCCGACGGAGGAUGCCGAUAGACUGUCCGCCACCAAGUCUGAGGUGGAGAGUGCCCUGAAUCACAGGCGCCGCCGGACAGUAUUUCGUGACGCGUGCUUCUCCCCCGAGGCGUUGAAUGCCUUUAACACGGGGGACGCGCACCUUCGUGCUGCUCAAGAUGGUUUUACCAGAGCCACGGAGCAGUAUGUAAAAGACAUACGGGUAAGAGGAUUUAAUAGUUGUAUAUGCCAGUAGCCCCCGAGACUUAAAGUAGUUAUAUUAACUGAUUUAAGGAUCAUAUGAAACGUAGGAUCUUACUGAUAAGAAUACCCAACUGUCUCAGGAGCUGCAUGAGUGCAAGGCCCAACUUGAGGCCGCACUCUCUGGCGCAGGAGGAAACACAGGGACCUCUCCUGGUAACGCGUUAUUUUAGAAAGAUAAGUAGUGUUUGGCCUUUGUGCAAGUCUAAAAAAUGACGUUGCAGGUGCUGCCGGACAAGAUUCGGACAGGCAAGAACUUCUGCGCCAACUAAAGGCCGGCGAGAGGGUGCUGCAUAAGGUGCAGCAUGAAAGGAACAAGCUCUAGGAUGCCCAUGCCCAGCUUGGAGAAGAGCUGAAAGGCGUUCGGGCCGAGCUGUCGGGCUCCGUUAAGGAGAAUCAGCGGCUUCGUCGCGGCAUCUAUAGUAAGUGCUUGAGCGAACUCCUUUGAAAAGAAGAGUUCGGCGAGGAAGUCAAUUUGACAGAAUAUGUCUGCAGGUAUGCUCACAGGUCGCCCUGCGGAGGAGAUGCCCGUAUCAACGGGUGAUCAACUUCCCGAAUUGUUGCAACUGAUCGAACGAGUUCGGCAGGCAAUGAGCGGCGCCAUCCAGGCUUUAUGGCCAGCCUUCUCCUUACCCGAGGGUCUUGGGGAGCUUGUGGAGAAGCUUCAGGGAGUGCGGCAGCGCUUCCAUUUAUGGAAGAUUUCGGCCUGCCGCUAAGGUGCCAGGGAGGCCUGAGCCAUGGUAAAGACGUGGUACAAGAAGGCGGAUCCCAACCACAUGGCCGAAGUCGGACCUGUGGGGCCCGAUGGGAAGGAGAUCCCUGUGAGUUUAGUAUACGGCCAAGUAGAGCUGGCCGCUAAAUUUUCCCAACAGGAUUGUAAAUUAGACAAACUGUUAGACGGGAUUGAGGAAGAAUACAAUCAGUCGAUUUGACAAUGUAUUAUAAAAUGACAUAUAAAAUGCCUUCUAGCCGGAUUGUAGAUCGUUUGUCUUUGCCGACCUUUUCGCUUCGACCUCGGGACCCUAGAGUCCGGAGUGUGUCCGAAUACCUUCUCGGUUAUGAAACAACCGGGGUAUGCAUGGAGACCAGGCGUAGGGGUUAUUAGUGCUUUAUCAGACAAGUGCCCAACUAGUUAUGUUAUAUUACAUGGGUAGUAAGAAACAUCUUCCAGGGAGAAUAGUUCCGUUAAGGGUUCCUUUCCUCUGGGGGUGGCAUGCCCUAAAGUGCAUGUCCGGGCUGCGAAAAAAGCAGAAAAACAUCUAGGGGCAGAUAAAUAAGUGGAUAAAAAAAUCAUCUUUUAAGUCACCGACCGAAUAUUCCCUUAAGAACGCUAGCUUUCGGCUUCACCCAGUCUGAGGUACACAUCCGGCUGACCUGGCAGUAACAAUCGCAGAGGUGCUCCCUUUACCUCCUAGCCGAACAAUCGGGAACGUAGGGGUAAGCACAGGAGCCAGGCAACCCAACUUGGCCAAAACUUAAGUCAUAUCGAUGCAUAUAAUGGUGAAUAAAAGGUACAUGUGGAGGCUUGACACAUGUGCUGGGCAUGAAGCCCUUAUAAUUAAGCUUCUGGUAAAGAAGCCCCCAGGUAUAAUGAGUGCGGAUAGCACAUCAAUUGCGCGCGAACGUUGCGCAAGUAGGCCCUUUAAGGCUUGGAUGAAUAGGGUUGAGAAGAAAAAGAUAAACAAAAGGCAGCUGAAGUAAAAAAAAUUGGACGGGGGGAAAGGGACGAACUCUUAGUCCGGCGCUAGGCAUAGAAUCUUCGGAGGCAGGCAGCGUUCCAUGGGUUCGGCUCGAGUCGAUUAUCCGAUGCAUUUUGUAGACGGUACGCUCCGCCGGUCAGGACUUGAUCGAUGAUGAAGGGGCCUUCCCAUUUGGGCUUGAGCUUGUCCUUUUUCUUGUCCGGCAGGCGUAGAACCAGUUCGCCAACGUUGUAAGUCUUGGCCCGUACUUCUCUGCUUUGGUAUCUUCGAGCCUGCUGCUGAUAGAAUGCGGAACGAGCCUUGGCGACGUCGCGUUCUUCCUCCAAUGCGUCCAAGCUGUCCUGCCGAUCCAACUCGGCUUCUCUUUCUUCGUACAUGCGCACUCGAGGUGAGUCAUGAAUUAUGUCGCAGGGCAAAACUGCUUCUGCGUCGUAUACCAUAAAAAAUGGUGUGAAUCCGGUAGUACGGUUAGGCGUUGUCCGCAGCCCCCAGAGUACGGAGUCGAGAUCCUCUACCCAGUGCGUGUCAGAUUUCGUAAGGGACCGCACUAGUCUGGGUUUGAUGCCGCUCAUUAUUAGACCAUUUGCUCGUUCCACUUGACCGUUGGUUUGAGGAUGAUAGACUGAAGCGUAAUCGAGCUUGAUGCCCAUAUUUUUGCACCAUGAUUUAACCUCAUCGGCCGUGAAGUUCGUGCUGUUAUCGGUGAUGAUGCUGUGGGGGACACCAUAACGGUGUACUACCCCGGAUAUAAAGUCUAUCACUGGUCCGGACUCUGCCGUUUUAACUGGCUUGGCCUCUAUCCAUUUGGUGAAUUUAUCCACCAUGACCAAUAGGUACCUUUGCUUGUGGGUUCCCCCUUUAAGUGGUCCAACCAUGUCAAGCCCCCAGACCGCGAACGGCCAGGUAAUGGGUAUAGUUUUGAGGGCGGUGGGUGGCAUAUGGCUCUGAUUAGCAAAGAGCUGACAACCGACGCAUCUUUGGACUAAGUCCUGAGCAUCUGCUCGGGCCGUCGGCCAAUAAAAUCCUGUACGGAAUGCCUUUCCUACAAGGGCCCGAGCUGCGGCGUGGUGUCCGCCUAGUCUGGCAUGAAUUUCAGCCAGGAGGUUUCGCCCUUCCUCUUCGGAGAUACACCUUUGAAGGACUCCGGUUGUGCUUUUCUUAUAAAGUUCUCCCUCAUAGACCUUGUAGGCUUUAGAUCGCCGGACAAUGCAGCGGGCCUCAUUUUGGUCUUCGGGAAGCUCCUGCCUAAGCAAGUAGGCGAGGAAUGGUUCUGGGCACGGGGCAAUUACUGCCAUUAUGUCGUGGGCUGAAGGUGUUAUGUCAUCGGCUGAAUCGCCGGUUGGUGCGGCUUGUUCCGGUUUGUUAUUUCCGGACUCCUCUUCCCAUAGUACGGAUGGCUUGAAGAGCCGUUCUAGGAAGAUGUUAGGAGGGACAGCGUCACGUUUUGCACCGAUGCGUGCCAGUACGUCGGCUGCUUGGUUAUUAUCCCGGGCUACGUGAUGGAAUUCAAGUCCUUCAAACCGGGUUGACAUUUUUAGGACAGCGUUGCGGUAUGCUGCCAUUUUCGGAUCUUUGGCGUCAAAGUCUCUGUUUAUUUGGGAUAUUGCAAGGUUUGAAUCCCCGCGCACCUCUAGGCGUUGAAUGCCCAUGGAGAUUGCCAUCCGGAGACCAUGUAAAAGGGCCUCGUAUUCGGCUGCGUUGUUGGAGUCCGUGUACAUUAUCUGAAGUACGUAUUGGACUGUGUCUCCGGUUGGGGACGUCAAUACGACGCCAGCCCCCAAUCCGGCUAACAUUUUAGAGCCGUCGAAGUGCAUAAUCCAAUUGGAGUAUGCGCCGUACUCUUUAGGGAGUUCGGCUUCGGUCCAUUCAGCGACGAAGUCAGCCAAAACUUGUGACUUUAUAACUCGCCGAGGUUUGUAAGUUAUAUCAAAUGGUAAGAUCUCAAUGGCCCAUUUUGCAAUCCUGCCCGUCGCGUCGCGGUUGUUUAUAAUGUCGUUAAGUGGUACUUCAGAGGCCACUGUUAUCGAACACUCUUGAAAGUAGUGUCGGAGCUUCCGGGAUGCCAUGAACACCGCGUAUGCUAUCUUCUGAUAGUGCGGGUAACGGGACUUGCAGGGGGUUAACACAGUGGAUACGUAGUAUACUGAUUUUUGAAUAGGGAAUUUAUGCCCUUCUGUCUCUCGUUCGAAGACGAGUACCGCGCUUACAACUUGAUGCGUUGCUGCGAUGUAUAACAACAUUGGUUCACCCAGGUUGGGCGCAGCCAGGACCAGAUUUGUUGCCAAUAUGGCCUUUAUUUCUUCGAGUCCGGCGGUGGCAGCAUCCGUCCACUCGAAGUGUUCGGUGCGCCUAAGGAGGCGAUAGAGGGGCAAUGCCUUUUCUCCUAGACGGGAGAUAAAGCGGCUUAGAGCCGCCAUGCAUCCAGUCAAUUUUUGUAUUUGCUUGAGGUCUUUUGGGAUAUCUAGCUGUGACAGAGCUCGGAUCUUGGCUGGGUUUGCUUCAAUUCCUCUACCGGAUAUGAUGAAGCCCAGCAGCUUUCCAGCUGGUACGCCGAAAACGCAUUUUUCCGGAUUCAGCUUGAUGUCAUAUGCUCUGAGGUUGUCGAAUGUGAGCCUCAAGUCGUCUACUAGAGUUUUGACGUGUUUAGUUUUGACGACUACGUCGUCUACAUAUGCCUCUACUGUUUUGCCGAUCUGGGUAGCCAGACAUGUCUGAAUCAUGCGCUGAUAUGUUGCGCCGGCGUUUUUAAGUCCGAAGGGCAUCGUGUUGAAGCAGAAUGGUCCAUAUGGAGUGAUGAAUGCCGUUGCGGCUUGAUCCGCUUCUGCCAUCUUGAUUUGAUGAUAGCCGGAGUAUGCGUCCAGGAAGCACAAUGAGUCGCGCCCUGCAGUGGCAUCGAUGAUUUGGUCGAUGCGGGGGAGGGGGAAGGGAUCCUUUGGGCAGGCUUUAUUUAGGUCUUUGAAAUCGACACAUAGGCGCCAGGAUUUGUCCUUCUUUGGUACCAUUACCAGGUUUGCUAGCCAAUCCGGAUGUUUGAUGUCUCUGAUGAAUCCGGCUUCCAAUAGUUUGGCUAGCUCUUCUCCCAUUGCCUGUCUUUUGGGUUCGGAAAAUCGUCGAAGAGCCUGUUUGACUGGCUUGAAUCCUUUUAGGAUGUUUAGGCUGUGUUCUGCCAAUCUGCGUGGGAUUCCGGGCAUAUCCGAGGGGUGCCAGGCAAAAAUGUCCCAAUUUUCCCAAAGGAUUUCUCGCAGUGCGGCGUCUACAUCAGGGUUCAAUUGUGCCCCGAUGGAGGCCGUCUUUGUCGGGUCCGUUGGGUGGACCUGGAAUUUUACUAUUUCAUCUGCUGGUUUAAAGGAGGUGGACUUGGAUCUCUUAUCGAGUAUCACAUCGUCCCUAUUCACCUUAGAGUGCAGCGCGGUGAGUUCCUCUGCCGCUAGGGCUUCGUAUAGUGCCUCUAAGGCUAAUGCGGCUGUCUUGUUUUCGGCGCGGAGUGCUAUGUCCGGAUCACUAACGAGAGUGAUUAUUCCGUCGGGCCCAGGCAUUUUGAGCUUCAUGUACCCGUAAUGGGGUAUGGCUUGAAAAAUUGUGAAUGCCUCUCGUCCUAAUAUAGCGUGAUAUCCCCUGUUGAACGGGGCCACUUGGAACGUGACUUCUUCGGAUUUGUAAUUGUCCGGCGAGCCGAAUACCACAUCGAGUGUGAUUUUUCCUGUGCAGCGUGCCUCCCGGCUAGGGAUUAUUCCUCUAAAGGUUGUGCUGCUUCGCUCAAUGUGGCUCCAGUCUAUUUCCAUUUUUUGAAGGGUUUUCUCGUAGAUGAGGUUUAAUCCGCUGCCGCCAUCCAUCAGGACUUUUGUAAGUCGAAAGCCGGACUAAGUACCAGUGCGGCUGGAGCUCGGGCUGUUCGGAAUUUAGGUUCGUCGCUGGCGUUGGAGGUGAUGGCUGUGUCGCUCCAUGGAUUGCUUGUUGCUACUUGGUAGACUUCGGCGAGGCUGCGGAUUGUUCGUUUCCGCAUAUUAUUUGAUGCGAAAGUCUCAAAGACUGUUGAUACUGUACCGAUGUUGUUGGAGUGGUUUUCCGGGGCUAGAAGCUCCUCUCGACUUUUGGCCACCUGCCGUAAUAUCCAACAUGCUCGAAGGCUAUGUGUUGGGACGGCGCCUUCUGUACUGUGAAUUUUACAGGGUCCGCUAAGCCAUUCCUCCAGUACGGUUCCGUGCCCUUUAUGGGGUUUUUGCUUUUUGGUUUUUGUAUCUGGUGCCUGAGUGUAAUGCACCCUUUUGUUGCGGACUAGGGUUGUAUUCGGGGCCGGAUUGUCCCAAAACUUAUUUUCGGUUGUCCAGAAACUCUCCAUCGCACAGUACUGUUAGGACCCCGACUCAAUGCCACAUCGAUCUAGCAUGUAACACCUCAUAUCACUUUGCGGCCUCACGCACGGUAUUCCCACGGGUGUCGCCUUACCUUUGCCCGGGACCGUUUGCGCCUUUUGGCACACGUAUAUGAUAGUGUCGCUAGCAUCCAUAUGAUAAGGAGCCCGGGCUGACAUGGCUAGUCGUAAACCCAAAGUGGCACAAACUUACAGGGACAGGCAUCCAUGACCCAGCAUCGAACGUGUCGGUCAUCAGCGAGUGAAUCCAGGCUGUAGCACUGGGCUAGCAGAACUCCGGUGAACCGGGCUGCAGCGGGCUAACAGGACUCCGGUAUUCAUCGCGUGACAUUUCCUCGAAGGGACAGACACAGGAACGAAGAAGACACAUGCCGGCCAGCCUAAGUGUUUCGGAGCAGUAGCAAGCUACCAUGGCUCAGUGGAAACACUAGGAUACAUUUCCCGGUAAGAGAGGCUUCCAAGGAUAAACAACUAGGUUGUCAGAUCCCACACAUACCAAGCAUUUCAAUAACAUACACACAAUAUGCUCGAUAUGUGCAAAUACAACAUGGCAUCACAACAUGACUCUACGACUCAAGUAUUUUAUUGAAUAGGCUCCGAGGAGCGAGAUAUUACAAACAUGGGUCUCUCGACCCAGCAUUCAAAGCAUACAAGUCAGAGCACAAGCGGAAGCUUAACAUGUCUGAGUACAGACAUCUAUAAAUGAAAAAGGCUGAAAAGCCUGACUAACUACCAGAUCCUGCCGAGGGCACAAGAUCGUAGCUGAGGUAACAAGCUAAACGUCAAAGUCCACGCGGUACUACUGGCAAGACUGAAGUCUCUAUGCAAAAACAUAAAAUAGGCAAACGUGAGUACAAAUGUACCCAGCAAGACUUACAUCAGAUCUAUCUACAUAUGCAUCAUUAUCAACAAAGGGGAUGGUGGGGUUUAACUGCAGCAAGCCAGCUUUGACUCGGUGGCUAUCCUGAACUACGACUGCAAGUAACUCUUUUGAGGUGGCGCACACGAGUCCACAUAUUCACCAUAUCAAUACACCACUAUGGAUCCGCUCCCGUCUCCCUACGAGAACGCCAUCCAUAGCACUCACACUUAUCUUGCGCAUUUUUAGAGUAUCCAAUUUCACUUGUCUAUGAACUGUACAGGCAACCCAGAAGUCCUUUUCCACGGACACGGCUAUUCGAAUAGAUUAUAUUAACCCUGCAGGGGUGUACUUCUUCACACACGCUCUCACCACUUACCGGCGUUUACACGACAUGUACUCGGCAACCUUCAAGCGGAAGCCCAGCGAGGGUGUCGGCCACGACCUGACUAACCACACAAGUCUCUCGUCCAGGUUUAUCGCCUGUUCGGGUUCCAUCCGCGAGGAGAUCCGGCCGGGGUGUCGCUCACGGCCCCAAACGAUGUGUGCAGGGUUCCCAAGUCCACCAUCCGGGUGCCACUUGGUACACCGGGCCACUGUGCCUAGUCUGUCCCAAGCCCACCUGUACCGGGUGCCACUUGGUAGACUACUAACACUACCUACAAACACCAGAAACUAGUUGCAACUCCUGGACAGAGAUCAUGUUGAUUAAUAAGUCGAGAGGGGUCGAGUUACCGGAACCCAAUGUGUGGUAGUAACUGAUCAUGGAUCACAAACACAGAACUCGGUUCCUGAGGACGGCUGCAAUGAGACAACCCACCAUGUACUCCUACAUGGCCUCUCACCGCUACCUUUACCAAAUCGUGUUCACACACUUAGCUCUCAACAGUAGGACAUGUCCACACAUCUCUGAUUCAUCCCCGAUGAAUCAGACCUGACACAACUCUAAGCAAUAGCAGGCAUGACAAACAAGCAUGAAUGAGUAGGCACAUCAGGGCUCAAACAACUCCUACUCAUGCUAGUGAGUUUCAUCUAUUUACUUUGGCAAUGACAGGUCAUGCAAAGGAUAAAGGGGUUCAGCUACCGCAGCAAGUAACAGAUGAAUCGUUGUUGUCCUAAUGCAGUAAAAGAGAGCAGGAGCGAGAGAGUGGGAUUGUAUCGGAAUGAACAAGGGGGUUUUGCUUGCCUGGCACUUCUGAAGAUAAUAUAGUUCUUCAUCGGUGUCAUCGAACUCAUCGUCGGAACGUCGUCUACUGAGAGGGGACAAACACCGACAAACAAGGAAAAACACAAUCAAUGCAAUGCACAAUAUGAUGCAUGAUCAUGACAUGGUAAUAUGCUGUGUUUUGAGCUAAUGCAACUAGCAACAGGUUAAAUGAAGUUGGUUUGAAUCAAAGAUUCAAAUUCAAACUCCAUAUGUGGAUAUUUAAAUGCCAUUUAAUUGAAUUGUCCUAAACAGUAGUCAUAAGUUGCUCUAACAUGCAAGAAAAUGGUACAUAUGGAUAGAUUGGAUUUUUCUGAUCAUUUUUCAUAUAUAAAUUAUUUCAUUUCGAGUUGCGGUUGAUUUUAUAUGAUUUUUAGAAGUUUUGGGCAUUUUCUGAAAAUAAUAAAUCAUUUCUGAUUUAUUAAAAUCCUAGAAACAAAUACUGCGUCAGCAUGACGUAUUAGUGACAUCAGCAGGUCAACUGGGCGCCUCCAGGUCAAACCUGACCAGUGGGGUCCACUGGUCAGUGACUGGGGCUAGUUAGUGACACUGACAGGUGGGCCAGAUCAACGGCCACGUCAGCUGGGUUAACUGUGACACGUGGGUCCCGCUGAGUUAAUCUAAAGUAAAUAGGAAAUAGAACCCGGGGUUAAUUAGGGCGUGGGGCCCAUGUGUCAGUGAGCUACGGGUGUAGUUAGUGGCGUCAUUAGCCACUAAUGGCGGUGCCACGUCAGCUCGCCGGAGUGUCGCCAGCGACGACCAUGGCCGACGGCGGAGAUGCACCCUGUGCUCGCUACGGAGCACAAUUCGACGCGUGGUUUGCUCCUACGGGUAGCUAAAGGUGCGCCGCAUCCAGCUGGGCGAGCGGCAGCGGCUGUGGUGGCCGGAGGUCACCGGAAACGAGCUCGCGGCGGCGCCGGAGUUCGGACCUCAACGAGAAUGGAGCUCCGGUGCACGGGGAAACUAGUGGAGGGUCUCAGCAGACUCCUGACGAUGCGAGGAGCACAAAUAUGUGCUCGGCCGUGACAGAUGCUAGCUCAAACGACGACGAGCUACGCGGCGGCGGCAUGGAGCUCUCGGCCACGACGGGGCUAUGGCCUAGAGGUCAAAAGCGACCAGGGAAGAAGGGGGAAAUGACUCAGGGGCUCACCGCGAGUCCGUUGGGAGGGUUAGUGGGCUCAAAGAUGUCUUGUCGGGGGCGAAUCGACGACGGCGAUCGACGGGGCCGAAGGUUGAAGAAGGCGGCGGUGUGGGCGUUCGGGGGCGUCCGGCGGUGCGUGUGUCCUUGAGGAGGCGUAGACGACGGAGGUGGAGCUCCUGGACAGUUGGGAAGGCUAGGCAGUGGCUGUGGCCGCGGCGAACAGCGUCGAUGGCGAUGGUGGCGUUCGACCAUGGCUGCGGGCAAGCGAGGGGGAGAGCCAGGAAAUAGGGGGGAGAACAGAGGGGGUCGAGGCGUCUCCAGGCGCGGGGACAGGGAGGAGGUUGAGCCUCCAGCGCGAAGGAGGAGGUGGAACCUGCGUGCGCGGGCGCUUUCUCACGGCGAAAGCAGCAGCUUUGGGGCGAGGGGAGGAAGACGACAGUAGGUCGCGGUGGGCUGGGCCAGCAGUGUUGGGCCGUGCAGGAGCUGAGCCAGCCAGGUAGGUCCAGGUAAGCAACAGGUAGGUCUUCUGCUCUUUUUUUAUUUUUGUUCUGUUUUGUUUUAUUUAAUUGCCAAUGAAUUCUAAUUCAAACAAAAUUUGAAAACAGUGCCAAAACUCCCCUGGAUAUUUUUAAGUCACUUAAUGGACUUCUCCACAUAUACAUAAAAUAUCUCAGGUCAUUUGAAAAUAUAUUCAUUAUAUAUUAUGAAUAUAAUUCCAAAUUCAAAUAGAAUAUGAUUUAAAUUCAAUGUCCCAAAAUAUUCCAAAAAAUGUUCCAAAAUUUUGGUUUGAUAUAUAUCUCUUGCCAAAAUUACCAAAAUGAUUUUUAGGACAUUUAGGAAUCACUGAAUGCAAUUUGAAGGGUUCUUGCCCUUCUUUUAAAAGUUUUUGAGGCUUUCUAAUUUCCUCAGUUCAAGUUUCAGAAAUUUAGACAUGAUUCAUGAGUGCUCUAUGAUGCAACUAAUACAAGCAAUAAUCUAGGGCUGUGACAACUCACCCCCACUAAACAAGAAUCUCGGCCCGAGAUUCAAGCGUAGGGUAAGAUGAAGGGGGAACGCAAACUAGUAUAAUCUUCACGAUCCAGGGUGCACUUCAUAAGAGUGUUGAUUUGAUCCGCAUCUUUGUCUCGAUGUCUUCCUCUGAGAACUGCAACUAACAUGACAAGAAGAGGAAAGGAAAAACUCUAGAAGAAUCGAUCUUCUCGAAGGUCGAACAACUCAGGAUCAACUCACGGAAUGAGACAUAGCAACCUCUCUCGAGUUGAGACACGAAACAUACGCCCGAAGGGAUGGAGUAAAACAGAUGACAAAGGUUCACUAGGUAGACAACAAUUCCACACUUGAGGUGAUGGUGAAUGGUUUUCAAGAUAGCGAUGAGAUAAUUGCCAUGAUUCCAUAACGGGGCACCUUAGAGAAGGUGACUUGUAGAAAUAUCCCCUUAAGUGGCAAAAGAAUUACCUUUGAUUUAGAGAUCAUUGAGAUUCUUUAUACCAGCCUAAGGCAAUCCUCAAGCGAUCAUUUGGAGGGGGUCGGUAGAAUGACAUACCCGGAUUAGAAUGGAUGAUGUGGAUUACCUUGUCGAAAACAACACAAGGGAUGAUUUUGCUUGUGCGUGCUCUCAAGAACUUGAGCAUCUCCAUAUUCAUCAAGGUUUUACCAAUAUCCGUGUCAAGGAUCCUGGCAACACAACAUACUACCAUGAUGAAUACUGGUGGAAGAUGCAGAUGCAAAGGAAGAUAACACCUUCUCAGAUUUCACCUUAGCGAGGCCAAGGAAACAAAAUCUGGAUAAUCGACCGAGAGACAUUUAGCACUCCGCUUCUAAUGUUCUCCUUGAUGUGCUAGCAUACCCAUUUAUUGAAAUGGUUUGAUAUCUAGAACAUCAAGUAAAAGGUCGGACUUCGGGAACACAAAAUCCAUAAGGAACAACUACUUGAGUAAAUCCUAGGAAAUCCUUAUGGGGAGGUGGCCAACUUCCUCAAUCAAGAUACUACAAUAAUAGGUCUUCCGGCUGGGUGUGUUGGCCAUGACAUCCAUUUUACCGGUUACGGUGAGACCAGUAUUAUAGUUCUUGGGAAACGUUCCAACCAUCAUAUCUGCCUGAGAUUCAGAUCUGGUUAAUGUCAGGAUAUUCCAGACUCAUCGAGUCCAGAAAGAAAAUGAAAGUUUGCAGCACAAUCGACGAGAUGACGUUGCGAGAUUCUCGGGAAAUGAACUACGAUAGUAAGCUCCAAAACAUGAGCUGGUUCUGCUACAAACAUGCGAACACAUUGUCCUAGACAAACAUUAUCCCAUGGUAGUCUUAUAAUAAAACACUACCGAGUUCCGGUGGGGAACCAUCAUCGAGGAUAUCGAAGUCCUUGUGCACUUAUCGAUGAACUUCUUAUCCUUGAGCAAGUCAAUCAGUGGCUUGGCGUGCUCGGGACACAUAUGGAAUGAAGGUUGCAAGUCUCCAGACCACAGAAUACUUCGCACGUGUGCAUGACUGACUUGGGAUGAUUCCAGAGGAAGCAAAACUAACUUUCUCUAACUCACGGCGGCAACUUGCAUUAAAUGCACAUGAUCUAGAGGAAGUCACUUCUUUCAUCCGAACAUAUGCUUCAUGAACUAGCAUGAAGAAAAUGCUUUCAAAAGUUUCCAACACUAACUUAUUGUCCAACAAGAUCUUGGAGAAGAAUAAAUGAUGUUGAUGGGAUCAACAACAAAUCAUCGAGAUUUCCAUGAAGAUGGAAUUCCACGACUAGGUGAACAAGGUGAUAGCAUUGGUCAGACCAAAAGAUGUAAUGGUGUAUGCCCGAGGGUUCAACCAUGAAUAAGACAACAUUACGAGCAUCGUUGGUUCUGACUUGAUUUGAGGAUAGCUCACGCCCAAAUCAAAGGUUGGACAAGACAAUAGAUCCAACAACUGAUCACGAGGAGCAACUGAUGAAGAUAUCAUCUUUCUUCAACACACACACAAAAGAUAUCCCUUAAAAUGAACUGAGUCGGACAAGUUUUUUUUUCUUCCAACUCUCCAAGUUGUUGUUUAGCUUAUCCAACUAGCUCAGGGUAUCCAACACGGAUUCUUGGAGAAAGGGUGGUUUCGAAAACCAACUUGGUCACGAGCUCAACAUAGCGGUCAGUGACAACCUGGUGAUACUUCCGAGAAGAUAAUCGAAAAAUCACGAACCACCGAUAUGCUAUUAGGCUCGAGAACAAUCUUGCUUUUCAGGGCAAGACGAUAUGAUCACAAGAGCUAGGGAUUGGCACAAUCCCAACUCAUUGAUCGAGGAGUGCACCGGAAAUAACGACUAGGUAGCACGAUCAGUCUUAGAAUGAUGAUUCAAAAACCAACACGCUAAGAAUGAAAUUAUUGCCCUUUAACUACCAAGCAACAAGGUUGCUAGGAGUAUUGAUUUCACACAUCACGAUUCACUUGUCGGCAUUCCGGUUCAACAACACGGGGACCGAGAAAUGAAUAAUGAUGGCGAGAAGUAUCACUGCACCAAGAAUUCAUAAGAUGAUGUGUAAUUCCUAUGACUUUCUUGACAUAAAGAGGGUAAUACUUCAGAGUAGAACAGAACAAAAACUGGAUUAGUAUUUGAUCUGCGGAGUAUGACUACUUUGACCCAAUCCUAGAUAUGGAUGAGGUAUUAGAGUUCAUUUCUCCUAGUCAUUCUGGGAUAGAAUGGCUUGACAGAACACAAGAAUAAUAGGCAUCAAACAACACGAAUGCACGACAUAAACUUGACUAUCAACUGAUAGACAAGGAUCGGAAGACAAUUAAAGCGGGACAACUCAAAGGAACAUACAGUUUUCUGAGUAGUGGAUGCAUAGGUUAGUAUGUCGAAACAAGUUCAACAAGUUUCUUCCGGAUAACCCAUGCAGAAAAGUAGAACUGGCUGAGUCACAAUAUAGAAUGAAGCACUCAUCGAGAGCACUCCUGUUAUGAUAUUUUGAUCCAAGAAACUUCUGCCAUAAAGUGGUUCAUAGUAUUUGGAAGAAGGAAAUACCACGAACCUUGAGGACUAAUGCAAAGGUUACUAAUAACCUAAAGGAACGAGCAAACACUAUCAACAUGAAGUGAGUAGGGUGAGUUUCGGGUUCAAGACCCACGAGUAGAAUACCUACUAACUAAAUUGCAUCACGGGACGCUUUCGAGAAUGAUGGCCAGAAUCAUCACACUGGGAAUACAAAACGUGGCUAGAUUACUAGGUGAUACUCUAGAUACCUAGGGUCAUAAUAAUGAUUCCAACAUAUAUGUCGAGGCAAUAGAAUACCUCAACUCAACAAUUAGUGUGAUUAACCUGGCCCAAAGGAACAUCAAAACCAUAGGGAAAGGAUUUGCAAGUGCAUCAGACUAUAUAGAAACCUGGAAUGACUCGGACAGCAUAACGGCUGUAAAUGCUCAAAAGAUUGGAGACAUGCUACAAAAAUGGUGGCAUAGCCACUCAGAAGCACAAUAUCAAGGUUUCAAGAUCAACAGUUAACAUACAGAGGAUAGUAGGAACUGAACUCAAGCUUAGAACCAUCAAUCCUAUAGGUCUACGGAUUAGUAACACGUGAUCCUGAUAGAAGAAAGAGAAAGCCUAGUUCCUUAACCCCGUAGGAAAGAUAGGAUGACUCAGAUCAUAAGGGCAUAAGGUAUAAGGAGUAAAAGAGCCUUACGUUCCAUCCCACAAUCAAUUCCCUUAUAUAAGUAAAGAAUUUCUAGACUCAACUUCGACCAGUUUGGCUUGGUAAUCCUACAGGCAGUCAAGCUCUGAUACCAAAGCUGUCAGGACCCCGACUCAAUGACACAUCGAUCUAGCAUGUAACACCUUGUAUCACUUUGCGGCCUCACGCACGGUAUUCCCACGGGUGUCGCCUUACCUUUGCCUGGGACCGUUUGCACCUUUUGGCACACGUAUAUGAUAGUGUCGCUAGCAUCCAUAUGAUAAGGAGCCCGGGCUGACAUGGCUAGUCGUAAACCCAAAGUGGCGCAAACUUACAGGGACAGGCAUCCAUGACCCAGCAUCGAACGUGUCGGUCAUCAGCAAGUGAAUCCAGGCUGUAGCACUGGGCUAGCAGGACUCCGGUGAACCGGGCUGCAGCGGGCUAACAGGACUCUGGUAUUCAUCGUGUGAUAUUUCCCCGAAGGGACAGACACAGGAACGAAGAAGGACACAUGCCGGCCAGCCUAAGUGUUCCGAAGCAGUAGCAAGCUACCAUGGCUCAGUGGAAACACUAGGAGACAUUUCCCGGUAAGAGAGGCUACCAUGGAUAAACAACUAGGUUGUCAGAUCCCACACAUACCAAGCAUUUCAAUAACAUACACACAAUAUGCUCGAUAUGUGCAAAUACAACAUGGCAUCACAACAUGACUCUAUGACUCAAGUAUUUUAUUCAAUAGGCUUCGAGGAGCGAGAUAUUACAAACAUGGGUCUCUCGACCCAGCAUUCAGAGCAUACAAGUCAGAGCACAAGAGGAAGCUUAACAUGUCUGAGUACAGACAUCUAUAAAUGAAAAAGGCUGAAAAGCCUGACUAACUACCAGAUCCUGCCGAGGGCACAAGAUCGUAGCUGAGGUAACAAGCUAAACAUCGAAGUCCACGCGGUACUACUAGCGAGACUGAAGUCUCUCUGCGAAAACAUAAAAUAGGCAAACGUGAGUACAAAUGUACCCAGCAAGACUUACAUCAGAUCUAUCUACAUAUGCAUCAUUAUCAACAAAGGGGAUGGUGGGGUUUAACUGCAGCAAGCCAUCUUUGACUCGGUGGCUAUCCUGAACUACGACUGCAAGUAACUCUUUUGAGGUGGCGCACACGAGUCCACAUAUUCACCAUAUCAAUACACCACUAUGGAUCCGCUCCCGUCUCCCUACGAGAACGCCAUCCAUAGCACUCACACUUAUCUUGCGCAUUUUUAGAGUAUCCAAUUUCACUUGUCUAUGAACUGUACAGGCAACCCAGAAGUCCUUUUCUGGGGACACAACUAUUCGAAUAGAUUAUAUUAACCCUGCAGGGGUGUACUUCUUCACACAUGCUCUCACCACUUACCGCCGUUUACACGACAUGUACUCGGCAACCUUCAAGCGGAAGCCCAGCGAGGGUGUCGGCCACGACCUGACUAACCACACAAGUCUCUCGUCCAGGUUUAUCGCCUAUUCGGGUUCCAUCUGCGAGGAGAUCCGGCCGGGGUGUCGCUCACGGCCCCAAACGAUGUGUGCAGGGUUCCCAAGUCCACCAUCCGGGUGCCACUUGGUACACCGGGCCACUGUGCCUAGUCUGUCCCAAGCCCACCUGUACCGGGUGCCACUUGGUAGACUACUAACACUACCUACAAACACCAGAAACUAGUUGCAACUCUUGGACAGAGACCAUGUUGAUUAAUAAGUCGAGAGGGGUCGAGUUACCGGAACCCAAUGUGUGGUAGUAACUGAUCAUGGAUCACAAACACAAAACUCAGUUCCUGAGGAUGGCUGCAAUGAGACAACCCACCAUGUACUCCUACAUGGCCUCUCACCGCUACCUUUACCAAAUCGUGUUCACACACUUAGCUCUCAACAGUAGGACAUGUCCACACAUCUCUGAUUCAUCCCCGAUGAAUCAGACCUGACACAACUCUAAGCAAUAGCAGGCAUGACAAACAAGCAUGAAUGAGUAGGCACAUCAGGGCUCAAACAACUCCUACUCAUGCUAGUGGGUUUCAUCUAUUUACUGUGGCAAUGACAGGUCAUGCAAAGGAUAAAGGGGUUCAGCUACCGCAGCAAGUAACAGAUGAAUCGUUGUUGUCCUAAUGCAGUAAAAGAGAGCAGGAGCGAGAGAGUGGGAUUGUAUCAGAAUGAACAAGGGGGUUUUGCUUGCCUGGCACUUCUGAAGAUAAUAUAGUUCUUCAUCGGUGUCAUCGAACUCAUCGUCGGAACGUCGUCUACUAAGAGGGGACAAACACCGACAAACAAGGAAAAACACAAUCAAUGCAAUGCACAAUAUGAUGCAUGAUCAUGACAUGGCAAUAUGCUGUGUUUUGAGCUAAUGCAACUAGCAACAGGUUAAAUGAAGUUGGUUUGAAUCAAAGAUUCAAAUUCAAACUCCAUAUGUGGAUAUUUAAAUGCCAUUUAAUUGAAUUGUCCUAAACAGUAGUCAUAAGUUGCUCUAACAUGCAUGAAAAUGGUACAGAUGGAUAGAUUGGAUUUUUCUGAUCAUUUUUCAUAUAUAAAUUAUUUCAUUCGGAGUUGCGGUUGAUUUUAUAUGAUUUUUAGAAGUUUUCGGCAUUUUCUGAAAAUAAUAAAUCAUUUCUGAUUUAUUAAAAUCCAAGAAACAAAUACUGCGUCAGCAUGAGGUCAACUGGGCGCCUCCAGGUCAAACCUGACCAGUGGGGUCCACUGGUCAGUGACUGGGGCUAGUUAGUGACACUGACAGGUGGGCCAAGUCAACGGCCACGUCAGCUGGGUUAACUCUGACGCGUGGGUCCCGCUGAGUUAAUCUAAAGUAAAUAGGAAAUAGAACCCGGGGUUAAUUAGGGCGUGGGGCCCAUGUGUCAGUGAGCUACGGGUGUAGUUAGUGGCGUCAUUAGCCACUAAUGGCGGUGCCACGUCAGCUCGCCGGAGUGUCGCCGGCGACGACCAUGGCCGACGGCGGAGAUGCACCGUGUGCUCGCUACAGAGCACUAUUCGACGCGUGGUUUGCUCCUACAGGUAGCUAAAGGUGCACCGCAUCCAGUUGGGUGAGCGGCAGCGGCUGUGGUGGCCGGAGCUCACCGGAAACGAGCUCGCGGCGGCGCCGGAGUUCGGACCUCAACGAGAAUGGAGCUCCAGUGCACGGGGAAACUAGUGGAGGGUCUCAGCAGACUCCUGAUGAUGCGAGAAGCACAAAUAUGUGCUCGGCCGUGACAGAUGCUAGCUCAAACGACGACGAGCUACGCGGCGGCGGCAUGGAGCUCUCGGCCACGACGGGGCUAUGGCCUAGAGGUCAAAAGCGACCAGGGAAGAAGGGGGAAACGACUCAGGGGCUCACCGCGAGUCCGUUGGGAGGGUUAGUGGGCUCGAAGAUGUCUUGUCGAGGGCGAAUCGACGACGGCGAUCGACGGGGCUGAAGGUUGAAGAAGGCGGCGGUGUGGGCGUUCGGGGGCGUCCGGCGGCGCGUGUGUCCUUGAGGAGGCGUAGACGAUGGAGGUGGAGCUCCUGGACAGUUCGGAAGGCUAGGCGGUGGCUGUGGCCGCGGCGAACGGCGUUGGUGGCGAUGGUGGCAUUCGGCCAUGGCUGCGGGCAAGCGAGGGGGAGAGCCAGGAAAGAGGGGGGAGAACAGAGGGGGUCGAGGCGUCUCCAGGCGCGGGGACAGGGAGGAGGUUGAGCCUCCAGCACGAAGCAGGAGGUGGAGCCUGCGUGCGCGGGCGCUUUCUCACGGCGACAGCAGCAGCUUUGGGGCGAGGGGAGGAAGACGACAGUAGGUCGCGGUGGGCUGGGCCAGCAGUGUUGGGCCGUGCAGGAGCUGAGCCAGCCAGGUAGGUCCAGGUAAGCGACAGGUAGGUCUUCUGCUCUUUUUUUAUUUUUCUUCUGUUUUGUUUUAUUUAAUUGCCACUGAAUUCUAAUUCAAACAAAAUUUGAAAACAGUGCCAAAACUCCCCUGGAUAUUUUUAAGUCACUUAAUGGACUUCUCCACAUAUACAUAAAAUAUCUCAGGUCAUUUGAAAAUAUAUUCAUUAUAUAUUAUGAAUAUAAUUCCAAAUUCAAAUAGAAUAUGAUUUAAAUUCAAUGUCCCAAAAUAUUCCAAAAAAUGUUCCAGAAUUUUGGUUUGAUAUAUAUCUCUUGCCAAAAUUACCAAAAUGAUUUUUAGGACAUUUAGGAAUCACUGAAUGCAAUUUGAAGGGUUCUUGCCCUUCUUUUAAAAGUUUUUGAGGCUUUCUAAUUUCCUUAGUUCAAGUUUCAGAAAUUUAGACAUGAUUCAUGAGUGCUCUAUGAUGCAACUAAUACAAGCAAUAAUCUAGGGCUGUGACAAGUACUUACUAUGAACGCCAGGUCGGCGAAGCAUGUAAUUUCACGACGGCUGACGACGUUCAAGAUUCCCUCGUCCGUGCAAUUAUUGCAAAAAAUUGAGAUUGCGUUUUCCUCUCGGCAGUCCUUUAUCCUGUCCAUAACCAGGAGGAAUCUGGCCCAGUAGUGAUGUACUGUCUCAGCGGGCUCUUGCCGGAUUAGAGAUAGAUCGCAUUGAAGGAAAUAUGUCCUAGAGGCAAUAAUAAAGUUAUUAUUUAUUUCCUUAUUUCAUGAUAAAUGUUUAUUAUUCAUGCUAUAAUUGUAUUAACCGGAAACAUGAUACAUGUAUGAAUACAUAGACAAACAUAUAGUCACUAGUAUGCCUCUACUUGACUAGCUCAUUAAUCAAAGAUGGUUUUCUUUCCUAACCAUAGACAUGUGUUGUCAUUUGAUUAAUGGGAUCACAUCAUUAGGAGAAUGAUGUGAUUGACAUGACCCAUUCUGUUAGCCUAGCACUUGAUCGUUUAGUAUAUUGCUAUUGCUUUCUUCAUGACUUAUACAUGUUCCUGUAACUAUGAGAAUUAUGCAACUCCCGUUUAUCGGAGGAACACUUUGGGUACUACCAAACGUCACAACGUAACUGGGUAAUUAUAAAGGAGUACUACAGGUGUCUCCGAAGGUACAUGUUGAGUUGGCGUAUUUCGAGAUUAGGUUUUGUCACUCCGAUUGUCGGAGAGGUAUCUCUGGGCCCUCUCGGUAAUACUCAUCACUUAAGCCUUGCAAGCAUUAUAACUAAUAAGUUAGUUAUGAGAUGACGUAUUACAGAACGAGUAAAGAGACUUGCCGGUAACGAGAUAUUGGAUACCGACGAUCAAAUCUCGGGCAAGUAACAUACCGAUGACAAAGGGAACAACGUAUGUUGUUAUGCGGUUUGACCGAUAAAGAUCUUCGUAGAAUAUGUAGGAACCAGUAUGGGCAUCCAGGUCCCGCUAUUGGUUAUUGACCGAGAAGGGUUCUAGGUCAUGUCUACAUAGUUCUCGAACCCGUAGGGUCCGCACGCUUAACGUUACGAUGACAGUUUUAUUAUGAGUUUAUAAGUUUUGAUGUAUCGAAGUUUGUUCGGAGUCCCGGAUGUGAUCACGGACAUGACAAGGAGUCUCGAAAUGGUCGAGACAUAAAGAUUGAUAUACUGGAUGACUAUAUUCGGACACAGGAAGUGUUCCGGGUGAUUUCGGAGAAAACCGGAGUGCCNNNNNNNNNNNNNNNNNNNNNNNNNNNNNNNNNNNNNNNNNNNNNNNNNNNNNNNNNNNNNNNNNNNNNNNNNNNNNNNNNNNNNNNNNNNNNNNNNNNNNNNNNNNNNNNNNNNNNNNNNNNNNNNNNNNNNNNNNNNNNNNNNNNNNNNNNNNNNNNNNNNNNNNNNNNNNNNNNNNNNNNNNNNNNNNNNNNNNNNNNNNNNNNNNNNNNNNNNNNNNNNNNNNNNNNNNNNNNNNNNNNNNNNNNNNNNNNNNNNNNNNNNNNNNNNNNNNNNNNNNNNNNNNNNNNNNNNNNNNNNNNNNNNNNNNNNNNNNNNNNCCCUCCUAGUAGGAGUAGGAAAGGAGGAGUCCUACUCCUACUAGGAGGAGGACCCCUCCUCCUGGCGCGCCCAACAAGGGCCGGCCGGCCUCCCCCCUCCCUCCUUUAUAUACGGGGGCAGGGGGCACCCCAUGACACACAAGUUGAUCUACGGAUCGUUCCUUAGCCGUGUGCGGUGCCCCCCUCCACCAUAUCCCACCUCGGUCAUAUCGUUGCGGAGUUUAGACGAAGCCCUGCGCCGGUAGAACAUCAUCAUUGUCACCACGCCGUUGUGCUGACGGAACUCUUCCCCGAAGCUUUGCUGGAUCGGAGCCCGGGGAUCGUCAUCGAGCUGAACGUGUGCUGAACUCGGAGGUGCCGUACGUUCGGUGCUUGGAUCGGUCGGAUCGUGAAGACGUACGACUACAUCAACCGCGUUGUCAUAACACUUCCGCUUACGGUCUACGAGGGUACGUGGACGAACACUCUCCCCUCUCGUUGCUAUGCCAUCACCAUGAUCUUGCAUGUGCGUAGGAAUUUUUUUGAAAUUACUACGUUCCCCAACAGUGGCAACCAAGCCUAGGUUUUAUGCGUUGAUGUUAUAUGCACGAGUAGAACACAAGUGAGUUGUGGGCGAUAUAAGUCAUACUGCUUACCAGCAUGUCAUACUUUGGUUCAGCGGCAUUGUGAGAUGAAGCGGCCCGGACCGACAUUACGCGUACGCUUACGCGAGACUGGUUUCACCGCUACGAGCUCGUUGCUUAAAGGUGACCGGCGGGUGUCUGUCUCUCUCACUUUAGCUGAAUCGAGUGUGGCUACGCCCGGUCCUUGCGAAGGUUAAAACAGCACCAACUUGACAAACUAUCGUUGUGGUUUUUGAUGCGUAGGUAAAAACGGUUCUUGCUAAGCCCGUAACAGCCACGUAAAACUUGCAACAACAAAGUAGAGGACGUCUAACUUGUUUUUGCAGGGCAUGUUGUGAUGUGAUAUGGUCAAGACGUGAUGCUAUAUUUUAUUGUAUGAGAUGAUCAUGUUUUGUAACCGAAGUUAUCGGCAACUGGCAGGAGCCAUAUGGUUGUCGCUUUAUUGUAUGAAAUGCAAACGCCUUGUAAUUGCUUUACUUUAUCACUAAGCGGGAGCGAUAGUCGUAGAAGCAAUAGUUGGCGAGACGACAACGAUGCUACGAUGAAGAUCAAGGUGUCGCGCCGGUGACGAUGGUGAUCAUGACGGUGCUUCGGAGAUGGAGAUCACAAGCACAAGAUGAUGAUGGCCAUAUCAUAUCACUUAUAUUGAUUGCAUGUGAUGUUUAUCCUUUAUGCAUCUUAUCUUGCUUUGAUUGAUGGUAGCAUUUUAAGAUGAUCUCUCACUAAUUAUCAAGAAGUGUUCUCCCUGAGUAUGCACCGUUGCCAAAGUUCGUCGUGCCCAAACACCAUGUGAUGAUCGGGUGUGAUAAGCUCUACGUCCAUCUACAACGGGUGCAAGCCAGUUUUGCACACGCAGAAUACUCGGGUUAAACUUGACGAGCCUAGCAUAUGCAGAUAUGGCCUCGGAACACGGAGACCGAAAGGUCGAGCGUGAAUCAUAUAGUAGAUAUGAUCAACAUAGUGAUGUUCACCAUUGAAAACUACUCCAUCUCACGUGAUGAUCGGUUAUGGUUAGUUGAUUUGGAUCACGUGAUCACUUAGAAGAUUAGAGGGAUGUCUUUCUAAGUGGGAGUUCUUAAGUAAUAUGAUUAAUUGAACUUUAAUUUAUCAUGAACUUAGUCCUGGUAGUAUUUUGCAAAUUAUGUUGUAGAUCAAUAGCUUGCGUUGUUGCUUUCAUAUGUUUAUUUUGAUAUGUUCCUAGAGAAAAUUGUGUUGAAAAAUGUUAGUAGCAAUGAUGCGGAUUGGAUCCGUGAUCUGAGGUUUAUCCUCAUUGCUGCGCAGAAGAAUUAUGUCCUUGAUGCACCGCUAGGUGACAAACCUAUUGCAGGAGCAGAUGCAGACGUUAUGAACGUUUGGCUAGCUCAAUAUGAUGACUACUUGAUAGUUUAGUGCACCAUGCUUAACAGCUUAGAAUCGGGACUUCAAAGACAUUUUGAACGUCAUGGACCAUAUGAGAUGUUCCAGGAAUUGAAGUUAAUAUUUCAAGCAAAUACCCGAGUUGAGAGAUAAGAAGUCUCCAACAAGUUCUAUUGCUAAAAGAUGGAGGAGAAUCGCUCAACUAGUGAGCAUGUGCUCAGAUUGUCUGGGUACUACAAUCGCUUGAAUCAAGUGGGAGUUAAUCUUCCAGAUAAGAUAGUGAUUGAUAGAGUUCUCUAGUCACCAUCGCCAAGUUAGUAGAACUUCGUGAUGAACUAUAAUAUGCAAGGGAUGACGAAAGUAAUUCCCAAGCUCUUCGUGAUGCUGAAAUCGAUGAAGGUAGAAAUCAAGAAAAGAGCAUCAAGUGUUGAUGAUUGACAAGACCACUAGUUUCAAGAAAAGGGCAAAGGGAAAGAAAGGGAACUUCAAGUAGAAUGACAAGCAAGUUGUCGCUCCCACGAAGAAGCCCAAAGCUGGACCAAGCCUGAAACUGAGUGCUUCUACUACAAAGGAAAUGAUCACUGGAAGUGGAACUGCCCCAAGUAUUUGGCAGAUAAGAAGGAUGGCAAAAGUGAACAAAUGUAUAUUGGAUAUACAUGUUAUUGAUGUGUACUUUACUAGUGUUUAUAGCAACCCCUCAGCAUUUUGAUACUGGUUCAGUUGCUAAGAGUAGUAACUCGAAACGGAAGUUGCAGAAUAAACAGAAAAUAGUAAAAAGGCGAGGUGACGAUGUGUGUUGGAAGUAGUUCCAAGAUUGAUAUGAUCAUCAUCGCACACUCCCUAUACUUUCGGGAUUAGUGUUGAAACUAAAUAAGUGUUAUUUGGUGUUUGCGUUGAGCAUGAAUAUGAUUUGAUCAUGUUUAUUGCAAUAUGGUUAUUCAUUUAAGUAAGAGAAUAAAUUGUUGUUCUGCUUACAUGAAUAAAACCUUAUAUGGUCACACACCCAAUGAAAAUGGUUCGUUGGAUCUCGAUCGUAGUGAUACACAUAUUCAUAAUAUUGAAACCAAAAGAUGCAAAGUUAAUAAUGAUAGUGCAACUUAUUUGUGGCACUGCAGUUUAGGUCAUAUUGGUGUAAAGCGCAUGAAGAAACUCCAUGCUGAUGGGAUUUUGGAAUCACUUGAUUAUGAAUCACUUGAUGCUUGCGAACCAUGCCUUAUGGGCAAGAUGACUAAAGACUCCGUUCUUCGGAACAAUAGAGCGAGCAACUGACUUAUUGGAAAUAAUACAUACUGAUGUAUGCGAUCCGAUGAGUGUUGAGGCUCGCGGCAAGUAUCAUUAUUUUCUGACCUUCACAGAUGAUUUGAGCAGAUAUGGGUAUAUCUACUUAAUGAAACAUAAGACUGAAACGUUUGAAAAGUUCAAAGAAUUUCAGAGUGAAGUUGAAAAUCAUCGUAACAAGAAAAUAAAUUUCUACGAUCUGAUCGUGGAGGAGAAUAUUUGAGUUACGAGUUUGGUCUACAUUUGAAACAAUGCGGAAUAGUUUCGCAACUCACGCCACCCGGAACACCACAGUGUAAUGGUGUGUCCGAACGUCAUAACCAUACUUUAUUGGAUAUUGUACAAUCUAUGAUGUUUCUUACCGAUUUACCACUAUCGUUUUGGGGUUAUGCAUUAGAGACAGCUGCAUUCACGUUUAAUAGGGCACCAUCUAAAUCCGUUGAGACGACACCGUAUGAACUAUGGUUUAGCAGUAAACCUAAGCUGUCGUUUCUUAAAGUUUGGAGUUGCGAUGCUUAUAUGAAAAAAGGUUUUCAACUCGAUAAGCUCGAAACCAAAUCGGAGAAGUGCGUCUUCAUAGAAUACCCAAACGAAACUGUUGGGUACACCUUCUAUCACAGAUCCGAAGGCAAAACAUUCGUUGCCAAGAAUGGAUCCUUUCUAGAGAAGAAGUUUCUCUCGAAAGAAGUGAGUGGGAGGAAAGUACAACUUGAUGAGGUAACUGUACCUGCUCCCUUAUUGGAAAUUAGUUCAUCACAAAAAUCUAUUCCUGUGACUACUACACCAAUUAGUGAGGAAGUUAAUGAUGAUGAUCACGAAACUUCAGAUUAAGUUACUACAGAACCUCGUAGGUCUUACAGAGUAAGAUCCGCACCAGAGUGGUACGGUAAUCCUGUUCUGGAAGUUAUGUUACUAGACCAUGACGAACCUACGAACUAUGAAGAAGCGAUGGUGAGCCCAGAUUCCGCAAAAUGGCUUGAGGCCAUGAGAUCUGAGAUAAGAUCCAUGUAUGAAAACAAAGUAUGGACUUUGAUUGGCUUGCCCAAUGAUCGGUGAGACAUUGAGAUUAAAUGGAUCUUCAAGAGGAAGACGGAUGAUGAUAGUGUUACUAUCUACAAAGCUAGAAUUGUCGCAAAAGGUUUUCGACAAGUUCAAGAUGUUGACUACAAUGAGAGUUUUUCACUCGUAUCUAUGCUUAAGUCUGUCCGAAUCAUGUUAGCAAUUGCCGCAUUUUAUGAAAUCUGGCAAAUGGAUAAACAAAACUGCAUUCCUUAAUGGUUUUAUUAAAGAAAAUUUGUAUAUGAUGCAACCAAAAGGUUUUGUCAAUCCUAAAGGUGCUAACAAAAUAUGCAAGCUCCAGCAAUCCAUCUAUGGACUGGUGCAAGCAUCUCAGACUUGGAAUAUACGCUUUGAUAAGUUGAUUAAAGCUUAUUGUUUUGUACAGACUUACGGUGAAGCCUGUAUUUACAAGAAAGUGAGUGGGAGCACUACAACAUUUCUGAUAAGUAUAUGUGAAUGACAUAUUGUUGAUCGGAAAUAAUGUAGAAUUAUUCUGCAAAGCAUAAAGGAGUGUUUGAAAGGAGUUCUUUAAAAGAAAGACCUCGGUAAAGCUGCUUACACAUUGAGCAUCAAGAUCUAUAUAGAUAGAUCAAGACGCUUGAUAAGAUUUUUCAAUGAAUACAUACCUUGAUAAAUUUUUGAAAUAGUUCAAAAUGGAACAGUCAAAGAAGAAGUUCUUGCCUUUGUUGCAAGGUGUGAAGUUGAGUAAGACUCAAGACCCGACCAUGGCAGAAAAUAGAAAGAGAAUGAAAAGUCAUUCCCUAUGCCUCAGUCAUAGGUUCUAUAAAGUAUGCUAUGCUGUGAACCAGACAUAUUGUAUACCUUGCUCUGAGUUUGGCAAAGGAAUACAAUUUUGAUCUAAUAAGUAGAUCACUGAACAUGGGUCACGAAUAUCCUUAGUGAGGACUAAGGAGAUGUUUCUCGAUUAUGGAGGUGAUAAAAGAGUUCGUUGUAAAAGUUACAUCGGUGCAAACUUUUAUACUAAUCCAGAUGACUCUAAGUCUCAAACUGGAUACAUAUUGAAAGUGGGAGCAAUUAAGCUAGAGUAGCUCCAUGCAGAGCAUUGAAGACAUAGAAUGUUUGCAAAAUACAUACGGCUCUGAAUAUGACAGACCCGUUGACUAAGCUUUUCUCACGAGCAAAACAUGAUCAUACCUUAGUACUCUUUUGGGUGUUAAUCACAUAGCGAUGUGAACUAGAUUAUUGACUCUAGUAAACCCUUUGGGUGUUGAUAACAUGAUGAUGUGAACUAUGGGUAUUAAUCACAUGCAGAUGUGAAUAUUGGUGUUAAAUCACAUAGCGAUGUGAACUAGAUUAUUGACUAGUGCAAGUGGGAGACUGAAGGAAAUAUGCCCUAGAGGCAAUAAUAAAGUUAUUAUUUAUUUCCUUAUUUCAUGAUAAAUGUUUAUUAUUCAUGCUAUAAUUGUAUUAACCGGAAACAUGAUACAUGUGUGAAUACAUAGACAAACAUAUAGUCACUAGUAUGCCUCUACUUGACUAGCUCAUUAAUCAAAGAUGGUUUUGUUUCCUAACCAUAGACAUGUGUUGUCAUUUGAUUAAUGGGAUCACAUCAUUAGGAGAAUGAUGUGAUUGACAUGACCCAUUCUGUUAGCCUAGCAAUUGAUCGUUUAGUAUAUUGCUAUUGCUUUCUUCAUGACUUAUACAUGUUCCUGUAACUAUGAGAAUUAUGCAACUCCCGUUUACCGGAGGAACACUUUGGGUACUACCAAACAUCACAACAUAACUGGGUGAUUAUAAAGGAGUACUACAGGUGUCUCCGAAGGUACAUGUUGAGUUGGCGUAUUUCGAGAUUAGGUUUUGUCACUCCGAUUGUCGGAGAGGUAUCUCUGGGCCCUCUCGGUAAUACUCAUCACUUAAGCCUUGCAAGCAUUAUAAAUAAUAAGUUAGUUAUGAGAUGACGUAUUACAGAACGAGUAAAGAGACUUGCCGGUAACGAGAUUGAACUAGGUAUUGGAUACCGACGAUCAAAUCUCGGGCAAGUAACAUACCGAUGACAAAGGGAACAACGUAUGUUGUUAUGCGGUUUGACCGAUAAAGAUCUUCGUAGAAUAUGUAGGAACCAGUAUGGGCAUCCAGGUCCUGCUAUUGGUUAUUGACCGAGAAGGGUUCUAGGUCAUGUCUACAUAGUUCUCGAACCCGUAGGGUCCGCACGCUUAACAUUACGAUGACAGUUUUAUUAUGAGUUUAUAAGUUUUGAUGUACCGAAGUUUGUUCGGAGUCCCGGAUGUGAUCACGGACAUGACAAGGAGUCUCGAAAUGACCGAUACAUAAAGAUUGAUAUAUUGGACGACUAUAUUCGGACACCGGAAGUGUUCCGGGUGAUUUCGGAGAAAACCGGAGUGCCGGAGGGUUNNNNNNNNNNNNNNNNNNNNNNNNNNNNNNNNNNNNNNNNNNNNNNNNNNNNNNNNNNNNNNNNNNNNNNNNNNNNNNNNNNNNNNNNNNNNNNNNNNNNNNNNNNNNNNNNNNNNNNNNNNNNNNNNNNNNNNNNNNNNNNNNNNNNNNNNNNNNNNNNNNNNNNNNNNNNNNNNNNNNNNNNNNNNNNNNNNNNNNNNNNNNNNNNNNNNNNNNNNNNNNNNNNNNNNNNNNNNNNNNNNNNNNNNNNNNNNNNNNNNNNNNNNNNNNNNNNNNNNNNNNCAGGAAGGGCGCGCGCCCCCUCUCCCUCUAGUCCGAAUUGGACUAGGAAGGGGGGGCGGCGACCCCCUCUUUCCUUCCCCUCCUCUCCCCUUCCUUCCCCUCCUAGUAGGAGUAGGAAAGGAGGAGUCCUACUCCUACUAGGAGGAGGACUCCUCCUCCUGGCGCGCCCAACAAGGGCCGGCCGGCCUCCCCCUCCCUCCUUUAUAUACGGGGGCAGGGGGGCACCCCAUGACACACAAGUUGAUCUACGGAUCGUUCCUUAGCCGUGUGCGGUGCCCCCCUCCACCAUAUCCCACCUCGGUCAUAUCGUUGCGGUGUUUAGACGAAGCCCUGCGCCGGUAGAACAUCAUCAUUGUCACCACGCCGUCGUGCCGACGAAACUCUUCCCCGAAGCUUUGCUGGAUCAGAGCCCGGGGAUCGUCAUCGAGCUGAACGUGUGCUGAACUCGGAGGUGCCGUACGUUCGGUGCUUGGCUCGGUCGGAUCGUGAAGACGUACGACUACAUCAACCGCGUUGUCAUAAUGCUUCCACUUACGGUCUACGAGGGUACGUGGACGAACACUCUCCCCUCUCGUUGAUAUGCCAUCACCAUGAUCUUGCGUGUGCGUAGGAAUUUUUUUGAAAUUACUACGUUCCCCAACACGUAUAUGUCUGGGCGGGUGGGUGGAAUCAAGUCCGGAACCCUACCCAUCUCAAGGCUCGAAGGCCGAGAAGUUUCCAAAUUUGGAAGCUUGGAUUGCUGGACGUUGUCCAACGAGUCUGGUCCGAUGCCUGACUUUAGGUUCAAUGCUUGAUCGAAGUCCGUCCCUCCGCGGGAAUCCGGCAUGGGGGGUUCGGGAGCCCGGACCUGACUAGUUUUCAAUACAGGAGAAGAGUCGCCGCAUUGUUCCUCUACCACUGCAACGUGGUGGGUGACCUGGGGAGAGUUAAUCUCUCUCAGAUCGGUUUUAAGCCCCAUCUGAUUGUAGUCUGUAGCGACUCCCAGGGCAACGAUGCGAUCCAAGAGCUCGUUUACGGACGAGAGCUCUAUUGGAUCCAGCCGCUCGGCGAAUUCCAAGCGGACGUGAAGAUUGCUUUUGACGACUUGAGAGGUCAUUGUCGAAGCGGUGGCCGGACAGGCGGUCAUAAGAAAACCACCUAGCCGGAUAGUUUGGCCGGCGGCCAAGGCUCCUUUGGCGAAAAUACCAUCCUUGAAGACGGGAGGAGGCAUCCUUCCCAUCGGUGACGGCACAGAGGAACUCUCAAUGAAAGCACCAAUGUCGGUGUCAAAACCGGCGGAUCUCGGGUAGGGGGUCCCGAACUGUGCGUCUAGGCGGAUGGUAACAGGAGACAAGGGACACGAUGUUUUACCCAGGUUCGGGCCCUCUUGAUGGAGGUAAAACCCUACGUCCUGCUUGAUUGAUAUUUAUAUUGUAGAUGUUUACAAGAGUGGAUCUACCACGAGAUCAAGGAGGCUAAACCCUAGAAGCUAGCCUAUGGUAUGAUUGUAAUGGUUGUUGUUGUGUCCUACGGACUAGAGCCAUCCGGUUUAUAUAGACACCGGAGAGGGCUAGGGUUACAUAGAGUCGGUUACAAUGGUAGGAGAUCUACAUAUCCGUAUCGCCAAGCUUGCCCUCCACGCCAAGGAAAGUCCCAUCCGGACACGGGACGAAGUCUUCAAUCUUGUAUCUUCAUAGUCUUGGAGUCCGGUUGAUGAUGAUAGUCUGGCCGAUGAUAGUUCGGCCGAUGAUGGUAGUACGGCUAUCCGGACACCCCCUAAUCCGGGACUCCCUCAAUGACCAUGCAAAGUUAAAGAAAGAUCUUGAUCAUGCUCUUGUCGUGUCUCGUGUGCUAACUUCCGAGAAGGCUAAACUUGGGGUUGAUCAUGCUAGACUCAAAGAGGAGUUUGAGAUACUUGAGAAGGCUCACAAGGUCUUGAAGGGUGCUCACGCUAACCUCAAGGAGUCUCAUGCUCAACUCCAAGUUAAGCUAACCAAGGAAUAGGCCACCUUCCCUCAUAUGGUAUUAAUUGAUAAUGCAUGUGCUACUAACCCAUGUUGUGAGCAUGUGCAUCUUGUGGAGGAGAAUGUCAAAUUGAAGGAUCAACUUGAGAAAGGCCUUGUGACAUUCAUUCAAGGUGAGAAGAACCUCAACAACCUUUUGAGCAAUCAAAAGGAAGUUGUGGCCAAGGAAGGAAUUGGGUUUGCACCCAAGUCCAAGAGCAAGAAGACGAAGAACGACAAGACCAAACGUCCUCCUCCUCUCAAGCAAACUUUUGUGAAAGAGGGAGAGGGUGCUCCUAAGGAGAAGAAGGAAAAAGUGAAGGGAGUUGACGUCCAAAAGGGCAAAAGCAUUUCCUCCAACAAAGUCGGCGACUUUAACCCGUCAUAUGUGUUGUGCCGUGCUAGUGAUGGACAUGUUUAUGCUAAAUUUGUUGGUUCUCCUUAUGAGUACAUUGAAUGGUCUAUUUGGGUUCCUAAGACCCUUGUUACUAACAUCAAAGGACCCAUUACUAAAUGGGUACCUAAAACCAAGCAUUGAUCUCUUGUAGGUGUUUGCUUCCGGUGGGGGGUCAUGGUUGCUCGAUAGUGGAGCAACAAAUCAUAUGACCGGGAGCAAGGACUUGGUGGUGGACGUGCAAAAGAUUCCAUCUAUGCCCACCAAUGUCGAGUGGGGUGAUGCAUCACAUUCUAAGGUAUUGGAUCUCGGCGAGGUUGUCAUUUCUCAUGAUCUAACGAUCGAGAAAGUCAUGCUUGUUGAGUCCCUUGCAUACAAUUUGCUUUCUGUUCGUCAACUUGCACUCAUGGGUUUUGCUACCUUCUUUGACAUUGAUACCAUGGCCCUCUUGUGGAGAAAGACUCUUAAAGUAGCCUUUGUUGGGCAUGUCAAGAACGGUCUCUAUGUGAUUAACUUUUCGGAGCGACCCACUAAGACCACGACAUGCCUAAUGGCUAAAGUUGACGUGGGAUGGCUUUGGCAUAGCCGGUUAGCCCAAGUCAAUAUGAGAUCUUUGCAAAGUCUUCUCAAGGGGGACCAUGUCCGUGGACUAACGAAUGUUUGUUUUGCCAAAAAAGAUCGUGCUUGCAGUGCUUGUAUCGAAGGAAAGCUACAUGAGACGGCUCACCCUCCCACUACUAUCAUCUACUCUAAGAGACCCUUGGAGUUCCUUCACAUGGACCUCUUUGGGCCUCCAUCCUUUGAUAGUCUUGGGGGUAGAAAGUAUUGCUUGGUGAUGUGGAUGAUUAUUCAAGAUACACUUGGGUAUACUUCUUCAAGAGGAAGAGUGAGACUCAACAAACCGUCAUCGACUUUGCAAAUGAAGCUCAACGUCAACAUAAUGCAAAGAUCUUGACAAUAAGAAGUGACAAUGGCACCGAGUUCAAGAACUACACCUUGGAUGAGUUUCUUAGUGAUGAGGGGAUCAAGCAUCAAUAUUCUGCACCAUAUACCCCUCAACAAAAUGGUGUUGCGGAGAGGAAGAACCGGACGUUGAUGGAUGCGGCAAGGACCAUGAUGGCGGAGUUCAAGUCCCCAUACAACUUUUGGGCUGAAGCCAUCAACACCGCAUGUCAUGCAUCCAAUCGGCUCUAUCUCCGCAAAGGCUUGAAUAAGACCCCUUAUGAGAUACUCACAGGCAACAAGCCCAAUCUCAAGUACUUCCGGGUGUUCGGGUGUAAGUGUUUCAUUCUCAAGAAAGGUGUUCGUUUGUCUAAGUUUGAGGCUAGAGCAUAUGAGGGCAUAUUUUUUGGUUAUGCUACAAAGUCUCAUGCUUACCGUGUUCUCAACAAGUCCACCGGGCUCAUUGAGGAGACGUGUAACAUGGAGUUUGACGAAAAUAACGCCUCCCAAGUGGAGCAAAGUGGUACUUGUGAUGUAGGUGAUGAAAUUCCUCCCCAAGCCAUAAGAAGAAUGGGUAUUGGUCAUAUUCUACCCAUUGAGGAACCCCUUGUGGCCGAAGGAGAAGGACAAUGCUCCGCUCAAGUGGAGCCACCACCUACUCAAGACCCACCCGCUUUUGAAGAACAAAGUGAAGGCCCUCAACCUCGUGAACAAGACCAAGGGCAAGAUCAAUCUCAAGAUGGUGGUGAAACUCCAAAUUAUGCCCAAGGUCAAGUUCUUCCCCACGAGCAAGUUCAAGAUCAUGAAGAAGCUCAAGAUCAAGAACAAGCUCAAGACGACGCUCAAGAUUAUCAAGUUAACCCUCCUCCUUCCACAUCAGAGGAGGAAUUAGAGCGUCGUGCCGCGAAGAUUGCUUCCAAACUCACCACCAAAGGACAUCUCAUGGAGAAUGUGGUUGGAAGCCUAAGAAAGGGGGUAAGCACUCGCAGACAAUUAGCAAACUAUUGUGAACAUCACGCGUUUGUCUCUUGUGUUGAACCCCAAAAGGUCUAUGAGGCGCUCGAAGACUCGGAUUGGCUCAAUGCCAUGCAUGAAUAACUCAACAACUUCGAGUACAACAAGGUGUGGAGAUUGGAGCCAAGGCCAUCGGGGAACCACAACGUCAUUGGAACCAAGUGGAUUUUCAAGAACAAGCAAGAUGCUCAUGGGAACAUCAUUCGCAACAAGGCAAGAUUGGUAGCACAAGGCUACUCCCAAGUCGAGGGUAUCAACUACGGUGAAACCUUUGCUCCCGUUGCUCGUCUUGAAUCCAUUCGUUUGUUGAUUGCUUAUGCUUCCCAUCACAACUUUAAGUUGCAACAAAUGGAUGUGAAAAGUGCUUUUCUUAAUGGUCCUAUUAAUGAGUUGGUCUAUGUCAAGCAACCCCCCGGGUUCGAGGACCCCUACUUCCCGGAUCAUGUGUAUCAACUCGAUAAGGCACUCUAUGGCCUUAAACAAGCCCCACGUGCGUGGUAUGACCACCUUACCGAGUUGUUACAAGAUCGUGGAUUUGAAGUGGGGCAAAUCGAUCCCACUCUUUUUACUAAGAAGGUCAAAGGGGAGUUGUUUGUAUGCCAACUAUAUGUUGAUGAUAUUAUCUUUGGUUCCCCUAACAAAGCUUUCAAUGAGGAAUUUGCCACUCUCAUGACCUCCUAGUUCAAGAUGUCUUCGAUGGGAGAGUUGAAGUUCUUCCUUGGUUUUGAUAUCAAAAAAAGAAGAGAAGGAACCUUCAUCAACCAAGCCAAAUAUACUCAAGACAUGCUGAAAAGAUUCAAGCUAAGUGAUGUCAAGCCGGCUUCUACUCCAAUGCCUACCAAGUGCCAACUUGACAUUGAUCCCAAUGGUAAAGCGGUGGAUCAAAAGGUAUACCGCUCCAUGAUUGGCUCCUUGCUUUACCUUUGUGCAUCUAGACCGGAUAUCAUGUUGAGUGUGGGAAUGUGUGCACGGUUUCAAGCCGCACCGAAGGAAAGUCACUAUGUGGCGGUCAAGCGAAUCUUUCGAUAUUUGGCUCAUACCCCAAACUUUGGCUUAUGGUACCCAAGAGGGGCAAACUUAAAGCUUGAAGGUUUUGCGGAUUCCGAUUGGGCAGGAGACAAAGUGGAUAGGAAGUCCACUUCCGUAGGGUGCCAGUUUCUUGGGUGCUCUUUGGUGAGUUGGUCUUCCAAGAAGCAAAGUUGUGUGUCUCUCUCGUCCAUCGAAGCGGAAUAUGUGGCGGUCGGUAGUUGUUGUGCACAACUUUUAUGGAUGAGGAAAACUUUAAAGGAAUACGGUGUCAUUUGUGACAAAGUGCCUCUUUGGUGUGACAACGAAAGUGCCAUCAAGAUUUCUCUCAACCCGGUGCAACACUUCAAGACGAAGCAUAUUGAGAUUCGGUAUCAUUUCAUCUGGGAUCACAUUAGGCGAGGGGAGAUCGAGCUCAAGUAUGUCAACACUCAUGAUAACCUUGCAGAUAUUUUCACGAAGCCCUUGGAUGAAGCAAGAUUUCGUGAGUUAAGGCAUGAGCUAAAUAUCAUUGAUUCGAGCAAUGUGACUUGAACCCGUGCAACCCCACCACACUCAACUUGUUGUCUAGUUUAGGUGUAGGCAUGGACAUAGGGGGAGUGUUGUUCUCUCAAUGAACUUUCCCUCCCCCCAUUAUGCAUAAAUAGAUCAACUCUUUCACAUUAGCCAUUUUGAUGGUACUUGUGCUUCAAAGAAGAGUUUUGGUUAUGGGCCCAAGGAUAAUUCUUCGCGGUGCCAUACCAUCUAACUCAAACAUAGGUGGCUCCGGCCACCGCCCUCUCCUUUUUGAGAGAUUGUGUCGCAUGGUGGUUUCUUGUUGUCUUUCUACCUUUAGUUUGUGCGUGUUCUUGUGGCUUCCUUGUGCGAAACGUUUUCUUGCAAAGACCUUCUUCUCGUGUUAAAACCCGCGGUGUCUUGAGCUCACGGUACUAUCGCGUAUGGGGAGCACGGUACUACCGCCCCCACGUGGCAGUAAUUUUUUACUGCCGCCUGGGUGAGCGGUACUACCGCGAUGAUAUGCGGUACUACCGCGCUAGCGUGGGCACGUGGGGAUAAGGAUGGGCAGGGGGAGUUCUAACUCCCCCAUACCCAUUCACAGUUCCCCCCACGUCGUCUCUCUCUCUCCCACGCUCAAGAAUAGAGCCGGCGUUCGUCGCCGGAUCUCCUCCCACGGCUGCCCUCCCGUGAUUCCGUCCGGUGGGAUCAUUCCCCACCACGUGUUGUUGCUAUGGACCAAGGUUUUUCCCCAACUUUUUCUCAUUUUGUUGAGAUCUUUGCAUCUAGGUUUUUGGGGGAGACUUGUGUGUUCUAGAGAUUAUUAGGCUAUUUCUAUGCAAGAGUAGGAUGAAGGAGAGUAGUUUUGCAUAGGAACUAUACUUGUAUUUUUGUCCUGUGCUAGAUUUGAUCACCGUAGUGCCGCCAUGGUUUCACGGUUCUUUUCAGAUUCGAACUGACGUUCGGAUCUGACGCGACGCGGUACUACCGCCCGUCUGGCGCAGUACUACUGCUAGUCCGGUACUACCGCCCGUCUGGCGCGGUACUACCGCGCUCACGGCGGUACUAAAAUUUUACUACCGCUCCAACCACGGUACUACCGUGACAUCGCACGGUACUACCGCGACCUGGAGCGGUACUAAUAUUUUAGCACCGCAGGCUCUGGCAGCACUACCGUGGCUCACAUCUAUCUCAUGGCAACUUUCACUUAUACUUUCUAUGUGUUUCGUGUGCUUUGCCGUGGUCUUUGCAUUGAUUCUCUUUGCGUUUCGUUGGUGUUUUGAGUUUGUGUCUCAGGUGGUGGCUCUCGCCGUUCCAAUCCCAGUCGUGACACGGGCUCCAAGCGUCUGGGCAAUCCAGGUGAAGCACCAGAGGGCUCCUCUGCCCCCAAGCGCCAUGUCAAGACAUCUGCUAGCAAGCACAAGGAACCCGCUAAGGGCAUGGACGAGAUAUCCCAAUCUGAGUAUGUCCGUCUCAGGCAACUCCACCCGUAUGUGCACCCUCGUUCUUCUGUCAAAGGUUGUGAGCUGUUUUGGAACAAGCAACAGACUCUCAUCUAUCUAGAUGUCAUCAAAAACAAGCAGAAUACCGACGUGGAUGUGAAAUGGAUUGAAAUGCAUCACAUGAGGAAGGACAAGUUCCGUGAGUACUUUGGAGAGGCUCUGGACUUGGUGGAGCAGUUUGGCAUUGAGCAUGUGAUAUCCUUUCACCUUGACUAUGACCCCGAGCUUAUCUGUCAGUUCUUUGCCUCAGUAUACUUUCACUCUAAUGAGGAGCGGAGGAUGACCUGGAUGACCAAUGGCCGUCAGCUGACUGCUACCUGGAAGGAGUUCAUGGAUUUGCUCCAGGUUCCUGAUGACCGGCUCAACACUCCCAUGGGUGUUCGCACCCAUGCAAACUCUGAAUCUGCCAACAAGGACAAGCUUGCGCCAUACUAUGUUGAGAAGGCGCUCGCCAAUGGCAAGACAGGGUUGGUGCUCAACUCUUUUCUGGAUAUCAUGUAUCGCAUCUUUCGCAACUCCUUGUUCCCUCGCAUAGGUGACAAGGACAAGGUUCAUGCCUAUAUGGUGGAUAUGAUGCUCAUUUGCGAGGAGGCUCGUUUGUCUCAGACUCAUCCACUUGAUGUCUCACACAUCAUGUGGUGUGAGCUUCGGUUUGCGGUGUUCAACCGCAAGGUGCCUAUCUAUGGGCCCUAUCUGUUUCUGCUGAUCUUGAAGACGUGGGAAAAGAUGUUCCCUGGUGAGGAGUUCCUUGCUCCAGACUGGACUCGCCAUGAUCCCAUCUAUCUGCGUGUCAAGCCCCAAUGGGCCAGCACUACUACUCGUGCAGAGGCGUCUGCUGCUAGGGAUGCUGUUCAUGAGAAGGAUGCUGGCGCCGAGGAUGUUGCUGAGGACCGUGCUGCUAGGUCUUCCCAGAGUUCCUCUAUGCCCUCGUGGGCCAAGAAGUUGAAGGACAAGAUGAAGACUCUUUUCUGCAUGCAAGCCAAGGGGCAGUACAGGACUCACGUGGCAUCUAAGGAGAGUCGCCGCCGGGACAAGAAGAUCUUGAAGCUGUAUGGCGAGGACGUGUCUGGUGGUUCUGAGGAUCGCAUCACCCUAGAGGCAGAGUGGAUGGAGAAGCAAGGCUACAAAUGGACUGAUUCUGAGGAGGACGUCGAGGAGACCAUUCCUGCAGCCGAGGAGUCUGAUGAGGAGCCUUGGGAUGAGUUCCCUGCUUGAGCCACCCCUUGUGUGUAGGUGUCCUCUUUGCCUUUUUGGCGUCUCGAUGCCAAAGGGGGAGAGAGCGUAGGGAUUUGCGUCGUCGUUCGUGUUCGGUGUGCUUGCUGCUUUCUCGUUUUGAACCUCAUUUAAGUUGCUUUGGGUUGCUUUACUUCUUAUGGCGUAAGACAUAUGCACUCUAUCUAUCUUAGCGAGCUUGUGAUAUAUUAUGCUACCUUUGUGCUAUGCUCUACUUAGAUGUUAAUUAUCAUGCCUUUGUCUCUACAAUAUAGGGGGAGUGUUGAUCCUAGUUUGUGUGCUAUGCAGUCCAAAGCAUCCAUCUAGAUUGCACACAUCUAGGGGGAGCCCGUCUAUAUUUUAGAGAGGUGGGGUUUGCCCUUGCUCAAAAUUAUCUUAUCUAUGUGCAAAUCCCGUAUUGUCAUCAAUCCACCAAAAAGGGGGAGAUUGUAAGGGCAUAUUUAUCCCUUAGGUGUUUUGGUGAUUGAUGACAAUGCUUUUGUGGACUAAUCGUGUGCCUUGAGUUUCUCAGAUGCUUCAUCACUAGGUACGAGACGAUUUGGUGCCCCUCGGAGACUAUUGAAGACAGUGUUGUUCUACGUUUCUCUUUGGUGGGUUUGAGUCGUAGGAGAGUCGUACUAUUAAGAGGGGGUCCGCGUCAGAAAGGUUUGGGUGGAAUCAACUCGUACACAUGUCCUACCUUUCCUUGCACUUUGGAGCGUCUUUCCGUUAUCCUAGUUGUGCAUAAUCAGACGACUACUGCUGUACUUGCGGUAGUACUGCUCUAUGGAGCGGUAGUACCGCAAGCACCUGCGGUAGUACCGCUGGGGGUCACGGUAGUACCGCUCCUCCGGAGCCUUAGUACCAUAACUCCCAGGCCUAGUGCUGCUCCGGUACGGUAGUAGGAGCGGAUGUAAUUUUUUACAUCCGUGCCCACACGGUAGUACCGCACGACAUGCACGGUAGUACCACGGGAGGCCGCGAUAGUACCGCUCCCCUAGAGCCAUAGUACCGUGGCCCUCAUACCUAGUACCGUUGCGCUGCGGCAGUAGGAGCGGAUGUAAUUUUUUCCAUCCGCGCCUCAACGGUAGUACCACACCUCGUGCGCGGUAGUACCGCGUUGGGUUUUUGCACUGUUUCUUUUUCAGCGGAAGUAGGCACGGAUGUAUUUUAUUUCAUCCGCGCUCUUCGUAAGCUUUGGCUUGCCUGCCUUGCGGUAGUACCCCAAGGGGGAGCGGUAGUACCGCGCGAGCGGUAGUACUGCGCUCAGUCAGGCUAGUCCCGACCUCUGCUGCUGCCGCGGAAGUACCGUGGUCCUCCACAGUAGUACCGCGUGGCCUUGCGGUAGCACUACACCCCUGGAGCGGUAGUACCGCAUGUCGCAGGCUGGUCUAAGUGGAUAAUGGUUGGAUUUCUUCCACGAGUAUAAAAGGGGCGUCUCCUACCUCUAGUUGACCACCUCUUCCAUCCCUAAGCUCCAUUGUUGCUCCAAGCUCCAUUUUCGCCCGAUCUCUCUCCCUAGCCAAUCAAACUUGUUGAUUUGCUCGAGAUUGGGUGACAAGGCCCCGAUCUACAUUUCCAACAAGAGAGAUUUGAUUCCCCCCACUUAUCCCUAGCGGAUCUUGUUACUCUUGGGUGUUUGAGCACCCUAGACUUUUGAGGUCACCUCGAAGCCAUACUCCAUUGUGGUGAAGCUUCGUGGUGUUGUUGGGAGCCUCCAAUUGUUGUGGAGAUUGUCCCAACCUUGUUUGUAAAGGUUCGGUCGCCGCCUUCAAGGGCACCAAUAGUGGAAUCAUGGCAUCUUGCAUUGUGUGAGGGCGUGAGGAGAAUACGGUGGCCCUAGUGGCUUCUUGGGGAGCAUUGUGCCUCCACACCGCUCCAACGAAGACGUACUUCCCCUUAAAAGGAAGGAACUUCGGUAACACAUCCUCGUCUCCACCGGCUCCACUCUUGGUUAUCUCGCGCCUUUACUUUUGCAAGUUUACUUGUGUUGUUUCCCUUACUUGCUCGUGUACUUGUUGUUGUUGCAUCAUAUAGGUUGUUCACCUAGUUGCAUAUCUAGACAACCUACUUUGAUGCAAAGUUUAAUUUGUUAAAGAAAAGCUAAAAAUUGUUAGUUGCCUAUUCACCCCCCCUCUAGUCAACCAUAUCGAUCCUUUCAGCUUGUAACACUCGAAAAAUUUCUCAAGAAAAUAAUGGCAACACUCGAUUUUUUUUCUCGGCAAAGAAAUGGUGACCCUCAAAUUCAAGUUCUUGCGGGAGGGAGAAAAACACUAUUCCCAUGUUGAGAUUCAAACUAUGGUCACAGGCUCGAUAUGGUGUAAUUGUUGUAAAGCAAAUGUAUACCAAGCUAUUUAACCCAUUUUUGCCACCAGAAAAGCUCGACAAGGUGUAUUUGUUGUAAAGCAAAUGUAUACCAAGCUAUUUAACCCUUUUUUACCACCGGAAAAGCUACUUUCCGAACCACCGAUUUUUUAUGAUAGAUCCGAAUGAUUCCUCUCUAGUUCGAUUAUCAUGGCCCCGAGAGAAUAUGACCAUACGGUUUGCGCUCCGCCGCUCCCGGGGGAGGCCGCCCAAUGGAAGCACUCGGACUCCUUCUGUCGGGAAUCUAUUGCGUCUGCACAAAUGGUGCAUGGAUCCGUCGGCAUGGGUGCCAUCGCUGCCUCACUGGAGGCGGUGCGGUCUGUCUGGCGUCCAAACAUGGUGGCGGAUGCGCGGCCCUUCCGUUGACGCACCGAGCUGGAGGACGCACCAUGGGCGUCCUCUGACACAAACAUGGCGCGGCGUGCCCACUGUGCAAGGCAGUGAGUGUGGAAGGCAGCGAUAACCCUCGCGGCGGUGGAAGUUGGCGAGACAGAGUCGCAUUCUCUAGCCCCCUGUAUGGUGCUCUAGUGCGGGCUCUGCAACCGCGUCGUCAUGACGUCGGCUCCUCCUAGAACGGAUCCAUCAUCAAUCUCACGUCCAACGGCACCGUCCCGGUUGUGGGCUUCAACGAGGAAGAGUAGGGCAUGGGAGACAAUGAACAUCGAGUCCCGUGAGCCGGUUCAUGUGAAGAGCAUGGUAAUUUACACAUCUUACACCUGAUAACUUACGUACAAAUACUAUGGUAAUUUUAACAGUGGGGGGGGGGGGUUGUUGUAAUACACCUCCAAUAACUUCUGUGUGAAUAGCAUGGUAAUUUAUGCACCGUAGACCUGAUAACUUAUGUGCAACACGUUGAUAACUUUUGACACCGGGAAAAUAAAGUUGAAGAAACAUGUCCCCGGUAAUUUUUGUGUGAAUUACAUGGUAAUUUACGCACCGCAGACCUGAUAACUUAUGUACAAACACAAUGAUAACUUUGACCCAGGAGUAAAAGUUGUUGAAGACAUCCCCAACAACUUUGGCGUAAAAGCAUGAGAACUUACACACCACAAACCUGAUAACUCAUGCGCAAACACCGUGAUGACUUUGAACCGGGGAGGGGGGGUGUUUAAAAACAUCCCCCAAUAACUUUCGUGUAAAUAGCAUGAUACUGUACGCAAGUAUACGUGAUAACUUACAAAUAAAUACCACAGUAACAAUGAUCCAGGGGUGGUUGGAGGGGAUGAAGUUGUUUGANNNNNNNNNNNNNNNNNNNNNNNNNNNNNNNNNNNNNNNNNNNNNNNNNNNNNNNNNNNNNNNNNNNNNNNNNNNNNNNNNNNNNNNNNNNNNNNNNNNNNNNNNNNNNNNNNNNNNNNNNNNNNNNNNNNNNNNNNNNNNNNNNNNNNNNNNNNNNNNNNNNNNNNNNNNNNNNNNNNNNNNNNNNNNNNNNNNNNNNNNNNNNNNNNNNNNNNNNNNNNNNNNNNNNNNNNNNNNNNNNNNNNNNNNNNNNNNNNNNNNNNNNNNNNNNNNNNNNNNNNNNNNNNNNNNNNNNNNNNNNNNNNNCACGAUAAUAUACACAUUAUAGACUUGAUAACUCAUGUACAAACACUGUGAUAACUUUUCCCUCCACCGGAGGGAGGGGUUUUGAUGAAAUAUACUCUCGAUAGCUUCUGUGUAAAUAUGAUGAUAGUUUACGCAUCACUGUCCUGAUAACUUUUAUGCAAAUAACAUGAUAACUCAUACAUCGUAGACAUGAUAAAUUAUGUACCUAGUCCUGGUAACUUUGUCGGUGGGGGUAGGGGUGGGGGGAGUCGUUGAAACAUACCACGGUAACUUCCAUGCAAAUAACAUGAUAAAUCACACAUCAUAGACAUGAUAAAUUAUGUACCCAGUCCUGGUAACUUUGUCGGUGGGGUUAGGGAUGGGAGGAGUUGUUGCACCAUACCACGAUAACUCUUAUGCAAAUAAUAUAAUAACUCACACAUCGCAAACUUGAUAACUUAUGUACCCGAUCCUGGUAAUAUGGCGACUGUGGCGAGGGGGGUGAUGCCCCGCUAAUUUUUGUGUAAAUAACAUGGUAACAGAAACAUACAAAAAUGAUAACUCCCAUACAAACGCCACUGUAACUUUUGACCUGAAACUUUUUUGUUGAAAAACAUACACCCGAUAAUUUCUGUGUAAAUAACAUGAUGAUGUAUCAUCGCAGACUUGAUAACUAAUAUUUUACGUUUAAACACCAUGGUGUCUUUCAUCCAAGGGAAAAAAGUUUUUGAAACAUUUCACCGGUAAUUUCUAUGUUAAAUUACCAUACUUUCCCAUGCUUUUAACCUUCUCGUACUGUAGUUACCAACCUUAUCAUGCUAUAGUUAUCAUGUUACUCAGACCAUACUUAUCACGCUGGUCAUUGCCAAAGUUACCAAGCUAAACUUUAUUUUUUCUUUUGAUAUGGCAGAAAUAAGAAAGGUUAAAAUAACAUUGUCAUUCUAUAAUAGACAACAACAAAAGGUGGCUUAGUUGGUUAUUAGGCUCAAUAGGUAUUACAUAGACCUGGGUUCGAAUCCUCUUUCAAGCACUUUUAUUUUCUUUUCAUAUUAUGCAGCGAAAAACCAGAAAAAACCACUAGCAAUUUACUACGGUUUUUGAGAGAAGGAAAAAAAUCAGUGAAAGCGGGAGAAACGACGCAGCGGGACGAGCGGAAGGAUCGACCGAAGGUCGUGCGGAUCUGUUGCUAACCACCAGUCGACUGGUAGUUAGCACAGUCCAUGAAUUAUAUACAGACUGAAACGAGUGAACACACACUACAAUAUUUUAUACUCCCUCUCUCUUAGUUUACAGGGCGUGCGCGUACCCCUAGGUCGUUAAUUUGACCAACCUAAUACAUGUCAUAUAUUACAAAAAAUAUACCAAUAUAAACUUCAGACGUUCUAUUUUCAAAAAGUAUAAUUUUUGUGUUAUAUAGUUUAUAUUAGGGUGAUAAAAUUGGCAGCCUAGAUAUACGGGUAGGACUUGUAAACUGAGACGGAGGAAGUAUAUAUACAUCUAAUUUAGAAAAAAAUAAUUAGGACAUAUUAUAUUUGUGAACGAAGGGAGUAUCUAAUUAAUUAAUCGAGAAAGCUAAAUUACAGUCGAUUGGACGUUAAGAAUAGAUCCGCACGAUUCGCCAUUUCCCGUUUUCCUCUCGAUCCAAUUCUCCCGCGAGAAGUUUCCGUUUUUCUGCUUUUUCCUCUCGAUCAACUUCCCGCAUUUUUCUGGCACGGUAAAAUAAAAAUUUGGAGGAAGCAGGAGUCGAUCCCCACACCUCCUGGUAUAUAACUAAGGUAGGUAAUCAACUGGCCUACAAUUAGCUUGUGUUUACAAGUAGGUCAGUAAUCUUUUGUACAUGUCUAUAACGCGAGGUGAAAAAUAAACCUUUUUCUUUCUUUUCCUUUUUUACACUAUUUUUUUUACCAUUUUGGCAUUUGUUUUCUUAUUCUUUUCUAGUCCGAUGAUUUAUCUACACUUGUACCUCUUAUGAGAUAACUCUACUAGCCAACCACCUCACGUACGUUUCCUCUUCUUGAACAAAUGAAAGUAAAUAUGCUAUUUAACAUGUCUCCUCUUCUAGGUUUGCACAAAAGUUACUGCAAUGUCUGAUCUUUUCCGCACUUAAGUAGAUUAUUUUUACCAACUAGUCUCAAGUUGAUGACACUGAGGUAAUUUUGGCGAGGUGGAGGGGGGGUGAUGAAAUCGAUUUUGUGUGUGUAUAUAGCAUGGUAACUCACACAUCACAUACCUGAUAAUUUAUGUACCUCCUGGUAACUUUGGCGAUUGGGAGGGGGGGAGUUGAUGAAAUAUCCACCUCGUAAGCUUAUUGAAAUAACAUGGUAACUCACACAUCGUAGAUCUGAUAACUUAUUGUACCCCGGUAUGAAAAAAGUUCAUUUUACUGCCAUGAAUAAAGUGGGAUCUAUUUUUGGCUUCUUUUACCCCCAAACAAACCCAAACCGGUCAAAACACCCCUGGCUGGUUUUUCUCCUCCCUCUGCUGAUGUGGCACUAGUAAAAUGGACUUUUUUCCCGGUAUUGGCGGGGCGGGGGGUUAACGAGAUAUCCCCGGUAACUUUUGUGGAAAUAGCAUGGUAACUCACACAUUGCAAACCUGAUAAGUGUUGUGACACGGUCCUGAUAACUUUUGGCUAGGGGAGUGAUGAAAUAUACCCACGGUAACUUUUAUGUUAAUAACACGGUAACUCGCACGUUGCAGACCUGAUAACUUAUGUACCCCCGGUCUUGGUAACUUUGGUGGCCGGGAGCGGGGGGUGAUGAAAUAUCCUCCGUUAACUUUCGUGUGAAUAUCAUGGUAACUCAAAUUUCAUAGACCUGAUAACUUAUGUACCCCGGUCCUAAAAACUUUGUCGUCGAGGGUGGGGGUAGGGGAGUUGUUGAAACAUACCACGGUAACUUCUGUGCAAAUAACAUGAUAACUCAAACAUGGCAGACCUGAUAACUUAUGUACCCCGGUCCUGAUAAACCUGGUCGGCGAGGGUGGGGGUGGGGCAAGUCGCUGAAACAUGCCACGGUAACUUCUGUGCAAAUAACAUGAUAACUCAUACAUGGUAGACAUGAUAACUUUGUCGGAGGGGUCGGGGUGGGGGUGUCGUUGAAACGUAUGAUGAUAACUUCUAUGCAAAUAACAUGAUAACUCACACAUCGUAAACAUGAUAAAUUAUGUACCAGUCCUGGUAACUUUGUCGGAGGGGCCGGAGUGGGGGAGUCGUUGAAACAUAACACGAUAACUUCUAUGCAAAUAAUAUGAUAACUCACACAUCAUAGACAUUAAAUUAUGUACCCAGUCCGGGUAACUUUGUCGGUGGGUUGAGGUUGGGGGGGGAGUCAUUGAAACAUACCACGACAACUUCUAUGCAAAUAACAUGAUAAGUCACACAUCGUAGAAAUGAUAAAUUAUGUACCCAAUCUUGAUAACUUUAUCGGCGGGGGUAGGGUGGGAGGAGUUGUUGAAUCAUACAACGAUAACUCUUAUGCAAAUAACAUGAUAACUCAUACAUGGUAGACAUGAUAACUUUGUCGGAGGGGUCGGGGUGGGGGUGUCGUUGAAACGUACGACGAUAACUUCUAUGCAAAUAACAUGAUAACUCACACAUCGUAAACAUGAUAAAUUAUGUACCAGUCCUGGUAACUUUGUCGGAGGGGCCGGAGUGGGGGAAUCGUUGAAACAUAACACGAUAACUUCUAUGCAAAUAAUAUGAUAACUCACACAUCAUAGACAUUAAAUUAUGUACCCAGUCCUGGUAACUUUGUCGGUGGGUUGAGGUUGGGGGGGAGUCAUUGAAACAUACCACGACAACUUCUAUGCAAAUAACAUGAUAAGUCACACAUCAUAGAAAUGAUAAAUUAUGUACCCAAUCUUGAUAACUUUAUCGGCGGGGGUAGGGUGGGAGGAGUUGUUGAAUCAUACAACGAUAACUCUUAUGCAAAUAACAUGAUAACUCAUACAUGGUAGACAUGAUAACUUUGUCGGAGGGGUCGGGGUGGGGGUGUCGUUGAAACGUACGACGAUAACUUCUAUGCAAAUAACAUGAUAACUCACACAUCGUAAACAUGAUAAAUUAUGUACCAGUCCUGGUAACUUUGUCGGAGGGGCCGGAGUGGGGGAGUCGUUGAAACAUAACACGAUAACUUCUAUGCAAAUAAUAUGAUAACUCACACAUCAUAGACAUUAAAUUAUGUACCCAGUCCUGGUAACUUUGUCGGUGGGUUGAGGUUGGGGGGAGUCAUUGAAACAUACCACGACAACUUCUAUGCAAAUAACAUGAUAAGUCACACAUCGUAGAAAUGAUAAAUUAUGUACCCAAUCUUGAUAACUUUAUCGGCGGGGGUAGGGUGGGAGGAGUUGUUGAAUCAUACAAUGAUAACUCUUAUGCAAAUAACAUGAUAACUCACACAUCGCGGACUUGAUAAUUUAUGUACCCGACCCUGAUAAAUGUGGCGACUGUGGCGAGGGGUGGGGAGGGGGGCAACCUCGGUAAUUUAUAUGUAAAUAGCUUGUUAAUAGACACAUACUAAGCUGAUAACUCACAUACAAACGUCAUUAUAAUUUUUGACCUGAAUUUUUUUGUUGAAAAAUAUACAUCCGGUAAUUUCUAUGUAAAAAGCAUGAUAAUGUAUACAUCACAGAUUUGAUAACUAAUAUCUUACGUUUUAAACACCAUGGUAUUUUUCAUCCAGGAGAAAAAAGUUUUUUAAAACAUUUUCAUCGGUAAUUUAUGUGCUAAAUUACCAUACUUCCUCAUGCCUUAACCUUCUCGUACUGUAAUUAUCAGCCCUAUCAUGGUAUAGUUAUCAUGUUGCUCAUGCCAUAGUUAUCACGCUGGUCAUGCCAAAGUUACCAAGCCAAACUUUGUUUUUUUUCUGAUAUGGCAGAAAUAAGAAAGGUUCAAACAAUAUUGUUUAUCCACAAUAGACAAUAACAAAAGGUGGCUUAGUUGGUUAUUAGGCUCAAUAGGUAUUGCAUAGACCUAGGUUGGAAUCCUCUUUCAAGCACUUUUAUUUUAUUUUCAUAUUAUCGGUGAAAAACCAAAAAAACACUAGCGAUUUAUCACGAUUUUUGAGAGAAGGAAAAAAAAUCAGUAAAAAACGAGCGUGGGAAGUCAGCGAUCACGUACGAACUAGUGGUGCGGAUCUGUCACUAACAACCAGUAGCACAGUCCUUAAUUAAUUUUGUAAAGAGAAAACUGGAUUGGAUAUGUAGCUCGUCGGCACCUACGCGUACAAGCAGCCGGACAACGCCGCCCGCCUCUACCUCCACGUCGGCGGCGCCUCCGCCGACGCCCGCUGGGUCCCCGCCGAGCGCCGCGCCACCUACGCCUUCCUCGACAAGGCCGCCGCCGCCGCGGCGGAGGACGACGGCUACGACGACGAACGCCGCGGCCGUCGCUACACCUCCUCCUCGUCCUCGUCGGCCUCGCGGGGGCCCAGGUGGGUCCUGGAGGUGGGCCCGGGCCGGCGGGUGUCGGCGCCCGUGGGGCAGGAGCUGCAGCUCAAGGCGCUCCCGGGGCAGUGCCGGGCGGACUUCGCCGCGGCGGGGUCCGUGUGGGCGCUGCGCUUCCCCAACGACGCCGCCUUCCGCCGCUUCCGGGAGCAGUACGACCGGUGCCUCUUCGAGAACACGUACGGGGUGGAGGCCACGGACGAGGGCCGCCGGGAGGUCUUCGGCGCCGACUUCGCCGCCUGGGCGCGCCCCGCCGAGGCCGACGACGCCGUCUGGGCCGACGCGGAGGACGACCUCGCCCCUGCCCCCGCCAGGGACCUGCUCGAGGAGUUCGAGGAGGAGGCCGGGGACGGCAGCGGCAUCCAGAGCCUCGCGCUCGGCGCGCUCGACAACAGCUUCCUGGUCGGCGGCGCCGGGAUUCAGGUGGUCAAGAACUUCCGCCACGGCGUGCACGGCAAGGGCGUGUCGGUCAGGAUCUCGGGCGCCCGCGGUGGCGGCAGCACCACCAGCAGCACCAACUACGCGACGCCCAAGAAGGCCCUGCUGAUGCGCGGCGAGACCAACAUGCUGCUGAUGAGCCCCGGGGACACAGGCGCGCCCCAUUCCAACGGCGUCCACCACGUCGACAUCGAGACCGGCAAGGUCGUCACCGAGUGGCGGUUCGAGAAGGACGGCACCGACAUCACGAUGCGGGACAUUGCCAACGACAGCAAGAGCGCGCAGCUGGAGCCCUCCGGAUCGACCUUCCUGGGGCUGGACGACAACCGGCUGUGCAGGUGGGACAUGCGCGACGCGAGGGGCAGGGUGCAGACGAUCGGCAACUCCUCCUCCGACUCGCCGGUGCUGCACUGGUCGCAGGGCCACCAGUUCUCGCGGGGCACCAACUUCCAGUGCUUCGCGAGCACCGGGGAUGGCUCGAUUGUUGUUGGCUCCGUCGAUGGCAAGAUCAGGCUCUACUCCAAGAGCUCGAUGCGGAUGGCCAAGACGGUGUUCCCAGGGCUUGGGUCGCCGAUCACGCAUGUGGAUGUUACUUACGAUGGGAAGUGGAUCCUGGGCACCACGGACACAUACCUGGUUUUGAUCUGCACCAUCUUCAAGGACAAGGAUGGCAAGGAGAAGACUGGGUUCAGUGGGCGUAUGGGAAGCAGGAUCGCGGCGCCCAGGUUGCUGAAGCUCAGUCCGCUUGAUUCAAUCCUCGCUGGGAACGACAACAAAUUCCAUGGUGGACAAUUUUCAUGGGUAAGUCUCAUAUUCUUAUUCAGGCGCAUAACAUUGACUGUUCCUACUGCUUUUUGGCAAUGCACUUUUUAGUCUUAACGAAACUUUAUAUAGAAUGUGCAAGAUUAGCUGUUCAUCUAGACUUAUGUAGUCCUGGUUAUAGGUGAAUUCAGUGAAGGUACUAUGCUAGUAAUCAGUUAAUGCAAUAUGUUUGCUAUCCAUAAUGGCAGUUCGCUAACUUACUAACUUGUUAUUGCUCUAAUGGGAAAUCUGUACUGAUUAAAUACCAGUUUUCAGGAAAAUUCAUGCACACCAUCUAUUAUUAACCAUGAAUAUGCGGUACUAAUUAGCAUAUCCAUCUCGACAUGGUAGUGUGAUGACUUCUAGGGUAAUCAGUAGGUCGACAGUUUCAUGAUACUCUCAGUUUAGACUGCAUUACUUUUUGGUACUAAUGACUAGAACAAGUUCAGUUCAUAGUACAAAUGUCAAUUCAGAACCAACAGCAAUUGAACCAUUUCUGAAAUCUCCUCUCUGUUUUUACAUGAAACUAACUUGUCACUUCAACGCCAUUAGAUAUAAGACUCUGGCGAAUGGAAGUAUAAAUUUUCUCCAUACUUUCUGUGGUUCCAUGUAUUCAUGGAUGAUAUAAACAUGUUUCUUCAAUGGGAAACAGGGUAUAGUGUUUGGGAAAUAGUAGCAAUUUCUGCAGGAUACGAAUUAGUGUUCUUCCUGAAUGACACUUGAAUGCAAUAGUCUGUUUCCCAUGCCAUUGCUCGUUUCAGAUGUUAUAUUUCUGGUAUCUUCAUUUGUACGCAAAUGGCUUCUUACAGCUUUGCUUAAUUCUUCAUUCUUGAAAAGCACAUCCUCUGAUCCGCUAUCCUCUGUCAUUUUGCCCCCAGGUAACGGAGGACGGGAAGCAAGAGAAGCAUCUCGUCGCGACGGUCGGCAAGUUCAGCCUCAUAUGGAACUUCCAAAAGGUCAAGGACAGCAACCAUCACUGCUACCGCGACCAGGAGGGCCUCAAGAGUUGCUACUGCUACAAGGUCGUCCUCAAGGAGGAGUCCAUCGUCGACAGCAGGUUCAUGCACGAGAACUUCGCCGGCUCCGACUCCCCUGAAGCUCCCCUGGUGGUCGCCACCCCGAUGAAAGUCAGCUCCUUCAGCAUCGCAAACAGGCGUUGAUUCUGAUGUUUCUCGAUUCUGAACCGUAGUGUCUCUGUGCAGAUUGGUCACUCGUCUAAAUUUUUUUUGGUUCUUGCAACAUUUUGAAUGUAGAGUAAUGUACUUAUUUGCUUGCGGUUUUAGACUUGCGUGUUUGCUUGUUGGCAAAACAUAUGGCAUCAUUCUGAAUGUUCGGACAAUAGUGUAGUGAGUGGUGUUCUCUCUGUGUGUGUAAUGCAAACAUCAUUUUCACGCGUGUACAAUGAAAGUGUGUUGAAAAAGAGCAUAUGAAUGUUUGUUCUUUCUCCUAUCUUGUUAUUGGUAUUCAAUUUCGUACCGUUCCGCAGUUCAUCGGUGGCAUAGAUCAGUAGUGCCAUACUCUGACAUGUCACCAGGUGGCAUUACAAGAGCGAGACGAACUUGCAAGUGUUCAGCAUAAGAAAAUUAUUUACUGAAUCCCUAGAGAAUAAAAACGAUUAACUGAAGGUAUUUCGAGAAGUCUGAGCACAGGAGUACGCAUAAUAUAAGACGUUUUUGCUGUUUAAAUUGAACUGCAAAAGCAUCUUAUAUUUAGUUAUGGAGGUAGUAAGAACCAAGUAUUUCAUGAACUGGUUCAGUAGAAAUUGAAGAUUUCACCCGACAAGACCUAAAGUGUCGCUAGGCACCCAUCAUUCUGAACCGUGUUGGUACAAGUUACAGGUUCCUGUGCAGCACUCUCUAAUGAUUUUACGUGUGUUUUUACGGCGCCUUCCGGAAAACCUGCGCCAUCAUCUCAAAUUACUUAGCCACUAAAGGGGAGGAAAAAAGAGAGGCUCAGGACCUCAGUGGCAACAAUCGGCAGUGAUGCGAGAAUGCGGAAUGCCGCCCUUGUACACCAUGCUUUGAUGCGAAAUCUGGCUUGUUCUCACUUCUCAGUGAUGCUGGUUUUUGAUGCCGCUCAGUGAGAUACUCUGUAUGCUCUGACCUCUGAGAGUGCACAGUUCACACACUCCCUAAAUGUGCAUAAAUUACACUGUUUUUCCUACGCGCGGCUGCAGUUUAACAUCCAACGACGGCUCAUGUGGUUAAUGCUGUUGUGGAUGGAUGGGAACUGGGACAUGGAGAUAGAAUCAUACCGCCUCUGAUGAGAACUGAAAUUACCAGAGGUCAAGUGCAAGACUAGGAUGAAAAAAGUGUCAACAAAUUGCUUCAAUGUUUUUGUUAUGCUUUGCUUAUUUAGAAAGCAAAUCAUAUGCUGCUCUGACCUGAGAUUAUUGCACAAACAGAUUAACCUUUUUUUUUAUCUUGAAAUUGUAUCUAUGCAUGUAUGGAGGUGCUCCUGUUGCUGGAGGCAGCGCUUUCAGUUUUCAGCGGAGACCAGAUAAUUGAGAUCGAUUUUUUCCCUCCUUUUGGGUCAUCUGUUCUUACUUCUGCUUUGGCUCACUAGCAUUCAUCUGGUGUGAAUCCCCAACCUGCAUUUUAAUAUUGCACUGAAACUAUCUAUAGUCUAGCAAAUCAUGCAGAAAUUCUGAGGACAUUGCUCUCUGCUUUUGUGUUCGCAAAUUUCCUGCUUCACAGUUUUGAUCCCAUUGCGGUUGUGAUUCUUUACUGCUAAAUCAGGGGGAAACAAUUUGUGGUAUGCUGCAUGUAUUGACGUGGAUUCAGUUUUCUACUGUGUAUAAAAAUCACUAGUAUCUAAGUCAUUCUAAAAAUCCUACUGUAUAAAAAUCGUAUGCUUCGUCUAGUUACUCUCAUAGUCCCAUUGUCUUAUAUGCCGACACAUUCGAUCUUCCAAUCCCCUUAAGCAAACAAUACAGUACCAUUUUUGCAAGAGAAAAAGAAGGAUCGGAUGUUUUCCUGGGAAUCAUCUUCUUCCCAGACGAGGACGAAUGAGGUGGGACGUGGCGACCGGGACGCGCCCGCUGCCUUCCUUAUCUUUUCCUGAAAGAACUAUGUGGCGCUUUGGCUCAUCGUAUGAUGCAUUCGCUGCCUUAAGAGGCCCGGCCCCCCUAGUCGGCAGCCAUCUGCCGACCACUGAUGCGGCCACACGUAGCGCCCAGCCGCGGCGAUUCGUCCAUCUGACCACCCCUCUUUAUGGGCUCGUCGGCACUCACCUGCCCGUGCACUCACGAGAGCACACGUCGUGCUUCGUCUACCCUCCAACGGCCUAUAAAUACCGCCUCGUGCUGCAGAUACUUUACACAACCACCUGCACCACACAAGCAAGAGAAGUAAACACAGCAGCACUAGUGGAUUUCACGACUGAGAAGGUCGGCUCAAGAUGGACCACCAAGCACACGGCGCCGGCGAGAAGAAGGGCAUCAUGGAGAAGAUCAAGGAGAAGCUCCCCGGCGGCCACGGUGACCACAAGGAGACCGCUGGCGCCCACGGGCACGCCGGCACGGUGACGCAUGGCGCCCCGGCCACUGGUGGUGCCUACGGGCAGGAGGGUCACACCGGAACCACCGGCACGGGGUUGCAUGGCGCCCACGCCGGCGAGAAGAAGGGCGUCAUGGAGAACAUCAAGGACAAGCUCCCCGGUGGCCAUGCUGACCACCAGCAGACUGGUGGCACCUAUGGGCAGCAGGGACAUACCGGUACGGCGACGCAUGGCACCCUUGCGACUGGUGGCACCUAUGGGCAGCAGGGGCAUACCGGCACGGCGAUGCAUGGCACCCCGGCGACCAAUGGCACCUAUGGGGAGCACGGACAUACCGGCACGGCGACCGGUGGCAGCUACGGGGAGCAAAGACAUACCGGAGUGACCGGCACGGGGACGCACGACAUCGGCGAGAAGAAGAGCCUCAUGGAGAACAUCAAGGAGAAGCUCCCUGGUGGCCAUGGUGACAACCAACAGACCGCUGGCACCUACGGGCAGCAGGGACACGUCGCCACGGGGACGCAUGGCACCCCGGCGACCGGUGGCACCUAUGGGGAGCAGGGACACGCUGGAGUGACCGGCACGGGGACGCACGGCACCGGCGAGAAGAAGGGCCUCAUGGAGAACAUCAAGGACAAGCUCCCUGGUGGCCACGGUGACCACCAGCAGACCGGUGGCACCUACGGGCAGCAGGGACACACCGGCGCGGCGACACAUGGCACCCCGGCUGGCGGCGGCACCUAUGAGCAGCACGGACACACUGGGAUGACCGGCACGGGGACACACGGUACCGGCGGGAAGAAGGGCGUCAUGGAGAACAUCAAGGACAAGCUCCCUGGUGGCCACAGUGACAACCAGCAGACCGGUGGAGCCUACGAGCAGCAGGGACACACCGGCGCGGCGACGCAUGNNNNNNNNNNNNNNNNNNNNNNNNNNNNNNNNNNNNNNNNNNNNNNNNNNNNNNNNNNNNNNNNNNNNNNNNNNNNNNNNNNNNNNNNNNNNNNNNNNNNNNNNNNNNNNNNNNNNNNNNNNNNNNNNNNNNNNNNNNNNNNNNNNNNNNNNNNNNNNNNNNNNNNNNNNNNNNNNNNNNNNNNNNNNNNNNNNNNNNNNNNNNNNNNNNNNNNNNNNNNNGGGAUGACCGGCACGGGGACACACGGCACUGGCGAGAAGAAGGCCGUCAUGGAGAACAUCAAGGACAAGCUCCCUGGUGGCCACGGUGACCACCAGCAGACCGGUGGAGCCUACGGGCAGCAGGGACACACCGGCACGGCGACGCAUGGCACCCCGGCCGGCGGCGGCACCUAUGAGCAGCACGGUAACACUGGAAUGACCGGCACGGAGACGCAUGGCACCACGGCCACCGGCGGCACCCAUGGGCAGCACGGACACACGGGAACUACUGGCACUGGGACACACGGCACCGACGGGGUCGGCGAGAAGAAGAGCCUCAUGGACAAGAUCAAGGACAAGCUACCUGGACAGCACUGAGCCCGGUCUGCCCGCGGCCGCUACCCUUGCAGAAUAAUAACCCCACCGUGUAUAAGUUGAUUGAGUCUAGUUCACCUAGCUCACUUGGUCGUUGGAGGAGAGAAUGUAUUAUGUAUCUUGUUUAAAGUUUUCACGGACAACAAUGUGUUCACGGUUUCCGUCUGUUUACACUCUGUCGUGCAAAUUUCCUUUUUGUUCGUUUUCUUUUGUCCAUCUUAUCCGACAGACAGACGCAGCGACCACUGUCAGAUCAAAGUCCGGGUUAAUCUCAAUCCUACAUGGCAUGACCACAUUACAGACCAACCCUACUAUAGAUCAACCACCGAGUCGCAGCACAACCUCAAUCAGCAGGGCUUCAGCUUGCAGCGCCUUGUUUACAGAGCCGCCUUCUCAGCGCCUUCCGGAAAACCUGCACCAGCAGCUUGAAAUUGCUAAGUGCUAACGAUUACGAAAAGAGGUCGGCAGGAAGCAAAAUGGCCGAGACAGAAUACGGCAACGGCGACGUGGCCAAACAGGCAUCCUACAUUGUACUAGUGCUUAGCGCAAAGCACAUACAAUGAAUACGGAAUCACCCUCUAAAUCCUCGCUCUUUUUACCCAUUGUCCUUGGAAUACAUGGCCAAACAGGCAUGUCAACAAUGUUGAAAGAAAUCUUGCAACUACUUCAGAGCGGUAAAAGAAAUGGUAGCUUUGUGCUGAAGGACUUUCCAAGUGGUAUGACAGAUUUCUCUUCUUUAGAAUAAACCCUGGCAUCGACAGGGGCGAACCCUAACACGCUGCAGCUUCCGCCUCCCCUUCCGGCCUCCCUCCCUCGUUGCCGCCACAAGGUGCCGUCGGAGAAAGCCCCACCGGUGUAGGUGCCAGCGGGGCUCGCGUUCCUCUCUGCUCGGGGCUUGGGCUGGAGCGGGACGACCCUCUCACACUAGUAGAAAACGGGACUUUCGUCCAAACUCAAUAUACACAUUAGUCCCGGUUGGAUCACGAACUGGGACUAAUGUGAGCAUUAGUCCCGGUUCGAGCGGCUAAGGCGUCGGAAAUGCAUUAGUCCUGGUUCAAAUGGGACCUUUAGUCCCGGUUUGUGACACGAACCGGGACUAAAAAGGAUGUGAUGCCCUUUAGUCCCGGUUCGUGUCUCAAAUCGGGACUAAAGGUUCAAACUCUACAACACCCCCCCCCCCUGCGUGUAUCGCCUUUUUAGUUCUGUAAAAGACAAAAGAAAAUAAUAAAAACUUCAAAAAUUAAAAAUCCUUCGAAAUGUAGUUAUGUUACUACAUCUACUAGUUAGUAAAAUUAAAAAACUUACAUUUGGACAUGUUUUGCAAAAAAGUGUUACGAAAAAGUAAAACGGCCAUAUCUUUUGCAUACGAUGUCGAAAAAGGCAUAAUAUAUCAAAAAAAUUCAGCACGAAAACCCGCAUUCAAUUUUGACAGCCUUAGGCCUGCAAGUUUUUAGAAUCCUUAAAUUCUGAAAGGAAAAAAAGAUAUGCUCAAAUUUCAGUUUUUUUGACUUUUCAUUAAAUCUGGUCAAACUGUGGUCAAACUACUUAUCCAAAAAAUAUUAGUGUUAAUAAAUAAUUAUUUUUAGUUUUUUUGACUUUUGGUCAAACUGUGGUCAAACUACUUAUUCAAGAAAUAUUAGUGUUACUUAAUAAUUAUUAUUUUUUAGAUAAUAGUUUCAAACUCAAACGAUGCUUAAUGCUCAAGUUCAACUCCUAAGGGUUAAUAGGAUUGACAACUUAGUAUUGUCAAGAAAACAACAAGUGCAGACUUGGAAACUAGGGGGAAUAGAACUCGAAAGUUAAGCGUGCUCAGACUGAAGUAGUGAGGGGAUGGGCUUUAGUCUCGACCAUUUAGUCCCGGUUCUAAAGGCCCUCUGGAACCGGGACUAAAGGCCCGUUUUUCUACUAGUGUCGGGCGGAGUCGUGGGGCUAACAUGGGUCUCCUCGGCGUGGCGGCGUCGGCAGUGCGGUGGCAUGUUGCUGCAUGUCCAAGGCGCAACGGCUGCUGUCGGUGUCAAAACUGGCGGAUCUCGGGUAGGGGGUCCCAAGCAGUGCGUCUCAGGAUCAAUGGUAACAGGAGGUAAACCUGGGCAAACGUCGGGCCGGGCCGGGUUUCGGGUCGGGCUUGUAAAAGCCCGACCUUCAUUUCUCAAGCCCGAGCCCGGCCCGAAGCCCAAAAUACUCCCUGAAAUCAAGCCCGAGCCCGGCCCGAAAUCAAGCCCCAAGCCCGAAAGCCCGGCCCGAACGCUGUUUUUUAGUACGUGUACGUGCAAGCCCGGGUCGAAGCCCGAAAGCCCGGCCCGAAAAAUAGAAAAAGAGAAGCCCGAGCCUGGCCCGAACUACCUUUCGGGCUGCAAAACAAAGCCCGAGCCCGGCCCGAGUGUCAAGCCCGGCCCGGCCCGGCCCGGGUUUUUCGGGCCGGGCUCGGGCCGGGUCGUCGGGCCGGGCUGCCCAUGCCCGGGUUUAACAGGAGGUAAGGGAUACAAUGUUUACCCAGGUUCGGGUCCUCUCGAUGGAGGUAAAACCCUACUCCUGCUUGAUUAAUAUUGAUGAUAUGGGUAGUACAAGAGUUGAUCUACCACCAUAUCAGAGAGGCUAAACCCUAGAAGCUAGCCUAUGGUAUGAUUGUUGUAUAUGUCUAUCGACUAGCCUAGCCCCGGUUUAUAUAAUGCACCAGAGGCCUAGGAUAACAAGAGUCCUAGCCGAAUGCGCCGGUGGGGGAGGAGUCCUUGUCUUGAUCGCCAAGUCUUGUUGAUUCUUCCUUGUAUGCGGCAGCUGUCCAGACUGGCCCAUGAGUAUACGGCCAUGGGGGUCCUCGGCCCAAUCCAACUGAUCGGGGGACGGCGCGUUGAGUACCCCCUAGUCGAGGACACCGUCAGUAGCCCCCUAAACCGGUCUUCAAGUUAGGGACGCUCCUCGAUUCUUCCGAACUGUUCUUCAUCUUCGGUUGCCGGUCUUGAAAACUGGUUCAACAAAUCUUCUCAUCUUCUAUCUUGAGGAUCGCCGAAAUGCAUUCGACGAGUUUACACGUCGGGUAUCCGAGGAGCCCCUUUAAGUUUCCGGCCUUUAUCAAUGCCUUGUUAUUUUUAUGCCACACCUCGGGUUUGAAGUUGUUCCCGGGUGGCAACGUCCUCUUGCGUCCGAGCUCCAACGCCGGACUGCAUUCGAGGUAUCUUUUGCAGCCGAGCACCAACGCCGGACUGCUUCCCAGCUCUAAUGCCGGACUAUGUAUCCGAGCUCCAACGCCGGACUGUAUUCGAGAUCCAACGUCGGACUGUAUCCGAGCUCCAACGCCGGACUAUGUAUCCGAGCUCCAACGCCGGACUGUAACCGAGGUGUCGUAAAUCACCUUGGUUCAAAGAAGUUUGAAGGAGUUUUGCCGAGCUUAACACCGGAAAUGCCCUCUAUGGAGCCAGCAACUAGCGCCCGAGCUUUAUGCCGGACUGCUUCCCAGGUGGUGCACCACCCCAAAUGUGGGCCGAUUUUUGUCAAUAUUUUUUGUUGGUGCAAUUUAUUCUCUGCCGAGAUACAUAGCCAGUAGCCCUCAAGGUGGGUAUCGGUCUAAAACCCGAGAUGCCCAUGAAGGAUGACAUAAGACCGCUGAUCCCCGUAGCUGCUGAGACUCAGGUUGAUUUGCAAAAUCGGUCUGAGGAUCAAGUCCUAACUUGGCAGAAUACUUCGGGACACAAAAAGCGGCAUGCUCAGUCCUCGAGACUCAGGUUGGGUGCGGCCGACCAACUUGAGGAUCAAAAUCUCCUCGGAAACUGUAUUGCACUUAAAAUUUUCUGCAUAGAACAGGCAAUGCAGUAGCCCCCGAGACACUGGUCGGGUGGCAACACCAGAUCAGGGGAUUGAUGUGCCCAUUUAAUAUUUGUAAAUAAUAAGCCCGAAGCCCAGUAGCCCCCGAGCCUUAAUGCGGGCACGGGAGGCCGAAUUAAGGAUCGAUAUCCAUAGUAAAAUCACAAAUUAUGUGUAAUGACUCUAUGUAUCCAAGUACUUUACGUCAUUAAUGCUCGGAUCCGCAUUGUACAAAACUUUGUUGACCGACCAUCGGCUUCCACCUCCUCGUCCAAUAGCCGAGGAGUGUUUGUCCUACUUUAUAAAGCCUUUAUGAGGAUAAAGACUUACAACAAACAAGGCAAUCUGGCCAUACGGUUUUAUAAACAAAGGUACGCGAAGAGACAUGUUAUAUUACUGUUUAAUAGAAGAAAUGUCUUCCAAAGAAAAUAGUCCCGCUAUCGGUUCCUUUCUUUGGGUUGUCGUGCUAAGCAUGAUCAUGAAACCUCAGCUCCAAUGUAAGAGCAAAAUAUCGAGGAUUUAGUUUGGGAGGCUAGUUACUAGCCCCCGGUAGUGUUCGGCGACAGUCGAUGUCAAGCUGGAAACACUUCGACCAAUGUUAUGAAUGGCCCGUCAUUUAAUAUAGUCAUCGGAUCGCUGACCAGUUUACACCUAUUGUGAAAGUCAGUUUUCGGCUUUCUUCACUGAGGUGCUUGACCAUGCGAGCUGGAAGCACAAUCGCAGUGGUUCUCCCUUUGCACACCUAGCUGAACAAAGCGGAACAUAGGGGGCAAGCGCGGGAGCCGGGCAACCCAACUAUUGACCGAAGACACAAUUCGAAACUGAUGCAUAUAUAGCAAUAUCCGAGAAUGUCUUUUGCCGAAUCUCUAAAGGUGUCCGGCGUUGCACUGCGAGACUUGUGCUGAAAACACACAAAUAGUUUAAAAGUGCCAUGGGCUCGAAAAGCCAAAAAACUUAUUCAAAAGAUUAAUGUCCGAACUAGAUCAAGUGUUCGGCGCCAAUCCGAAAAUUGGACUUUAGAAAAGAAAAAAAAGGUGUUUCUGCCGUGCUUUAACAUGACACAUCCUAUCUCAAAACUUCAAGCGGGUCAGCCUACGGCUUCCGGCUAGUGACCGCACACUUGUGUCGAAAAAAGGAGUGAUAAAUAAUAAUAAAAACUUUGCAACGACUAAGAAGAAAAACACUUAUCAUAAAACUGCUCAUACAAAUUUAAGAGCCCCCAAGUGACUUGGGUAAAAGAAUGAUUGCAUGUAUCGAAGUACUUAUAUCAUAUCUAUGUUCAACCGAACUUUAAACGCAUCUUAACCGACCGUCGGCUUCUCCCUCUUCGGUCAAGGACCGAAAAGUGUUAUGUACUCCAUCUGUCGAGAAUAUCGACGGUGUUUCCAAUAACCACACAAUCAGGCCAUAAGGCUGUAACAGACAAAGUGCGCUCAGGGAACUUAUGCUAUAUUACUGCGAAGAGUAAGAAGCAUCUUCGAAGAAAAUAGUCCCCCCACCGAUACCUUUCUUCGGUGCUCAUUGUUAUUAUGAGAUUUGUGCAAUAUAUUUUUUGUACUCAUGAGUUCCAUUGUGUGCCGACCAUGAUUGAAAACAAUAAGAGCGCUAGCUUUCGGCUUCACCCAGUCUGAGGUCUGGCUGGGUUGACCCGAUCGUCACAAUCGCAGAGGUGCUCCCUUUACUCCCUAGCCGGACAAUCGGGAACGUAGGGGUAAGCACAGGAGACAAGCAACCCAGCUUGCAAAUUGCUUAAGUCAAUAUGGUGCAUAUUAUGGCGUAAUACACGAACAAGGAACGAAGCCGUACAAGUGUAACCAUAUGCAAGAGGAAAAAGCUUCAUGAAGAAAGCCCCCAAGCAAACGGGGUAUUUGAAUUUGCGUGUCACAAACAAAGUUUGGACAAGGAAAUUUUAACAAGCAACUUUUUUUCAAAAAAGUAUAAUGCUUGGAUGAGCCGAACACAAGUUAAAAAUUUAAAACUUUGAGCAUGAAGACAACUUAGCUAGUUAAUGUGUUCGAUAUUGAUGACACGGUCCGAGCUUGAUGCGGGACAAGGUUCCAUCCCCGAGCCGGUCCCGAGGUGGCGGAGCAAAGAGCUCGGCACUCCGAAGUGGUGACAUAGCACGGUCAAUGCAGGACGGCAGGGUGAUGCCGAAGUCCCCGGCAUGGGGUAAUGAAGUGUUGACGAAGCCCCCCGUCCAGCCGAGGUGACGCCGAAGGAUAUAGUCUGGCUGGAUCAUUUUCCUAUGCACAAAAAAUAGUGCAAACCGGAGAUAAUAGUAAUAAUAAUAAAAAUAAAAAAUUUGUUGCAUAACAAAUAAUUUAUGCAAAGUGAGUAAUAAAAGAAAUAUGGCAUGGCGCCGAAGUCAAUGUCGAUGCAGGGCGGCGGCGUGAUGCGGUAAAGGCAUGGCAAGACCUGAAUUCACAGGUCGGUUCGAGUUCCGGAUGCGGCGUUUGCCGGACUAUGUACGGAAACUGACCGAACCACCAUGCGACCGUUGUUAAUGCGGCCACCAUUUGAUAGACCUGCGUACAUAUGACGGACAAACCAGAGUAAUAAUUCAUUGGAAAAAAUGAACCCUAACAAGCAAAAAAUACUAGGAUUAAUAGCACCUGGCUUAUUUGUUGUAGCAAUCCGAAGAAAGGUGAUUCCCAAAAUUGAGACUCGAUCCGCACACCUAUCGCCUGAUGGGCGAUAAAGCAACAGCAUGGCGAUGCUGGCAAAGGUUGGCUCGCCGAGGCAAAGCCCUCGGUCAGCUAACGUGACGGAGCUGGUCGGCCAGCGACGCCGAAGUCUCCGGAGUAGGUUGAUGAAGAGAUGAUGAAGCCCCCGGUCCAGCGAUGCAGGUCGAUACGUGGUCGAUGCCGGCUUGAUGAAGUGACCGUGUGGCGAUACAGGUGUGCCCGCUCCGUGUAAUCCAUGGGGCGGCGAUGUUGGUGACGAUUUAUCCUUCGCGAUGCCGAACUAUUGUUCGGCUGGCCGAGAUGAUGAUCCGAAGAAAUUGAGCUCGGCUCAACAAAGCGAUGACGUGUCUAACGCAGGUCGGCCGCCGUGGAGUGAUGUUGUCGGGCUGGUUUGACACCGGCGCGACGGUGAAGUUCGUAUUGUAAGAAUACUUUUAAUACUAUUGGGAUGUGUUUGAGAAUAAAACAUAACACCCCAUACGAAACUUCCUUCAAAAAGGAUGUCCGAGAUCCCGUUCAUAAAGAAGAUGAAUUCGGGUCGGAUUCGUUCUCGCGCAGAAAACAGAUCCAAAAAGUGAUGCACUAAUCGGAAGUUUCCCGGAGUUUGGACGGUCGGAUCGAGCUGAAUUUUUGGCAGAUGAUAGAUAUGGGAAUUCCACAGCAAAUCAACGGUUGGAUCCUCCAAAGGAAAUCCGAGCUAGAUGCUGGAUACCACGCCCUAAACUCGUCCGGAUUCUCAUCCAGAUUCAACAGGGCUCUGGUAUAUCGGAGAUUGCCGGAGAUUCCUCCAUCGGAACUCGACGAAAUUUUUGCAGGGUUGUUGUAGACUUAAUUCCGCAUAAUUUCACCAAAGUAAUCGUUUAAGCGACACUCGAGAAGGCGAUGGCGGCGGAUACAAGUUUGCUGUCCAGAAAAACAGCACGGUCGCCUGAGGGCAAUGUUGACGUUGAGCCCUCGAGCUCCAUGGAUGACUCCCCCAUGAUCUUGAUAGAGAUCGGAGUUGAUGUUGAUGAAGGCCCUCAUCCGAACAUGACGAUCGGAGGUAGGAAGCAGUCCUUGGUCGAACCAAGGUGACCAGUCGAGCUGGUGACGAAGCAGCCGACAUCGCAGUUGACCUGCAGUCGAGCCAUUGAUCCUUUCGCCGAUCACACAGCGGAACUCUCAAUGAAAGCACCAAUGUUGGUGUCAAAACCGGCGGAUCUCGGGUAGGGGGUCCCAAGAAGUGCGUCUCAGGAUCAAUGGUAACAGGAGGUAAGGGACACAAUGUUUACCCAGGUUCGGACCCUCUCGAUGGAGGUAAAACCCUACUCCUGCUUGAUUAAUAUUGAUGAUAUGGGUAGUACAAGAGUUGAUCUACCACCAGAUCAGAGAGGCUAAACCCUAGAAGCUAGCUUAUGGUAUGAUUGUUGUAUAUGUCUAUCGACUAGCCUGGCCCCGGUUUAUAUAAUGCACCAGAGGCCUAGGAUAACAAGAGUCCUAGCCGAAUACGCCGGUGGGGGAGGAGUCCUUGUCUUGAUCGCCAAGUCUUGUUGAUUCUUCCUUGUAUGCGGCAGCUGUCCGGACUGGCCCAUGUGUAUACGACCAUGGGGGUCCUUGGCCCAAUCCAACUGAUCGGGGGACGACGCGUUGAGUACCCCCUAGUACAGGACACUGUCAGCUGCAGAGGGUCCUUCUCUGGCCGACGCGUGCGGGAGGUGCCUUGGCUAGGUCCGGCCAGAUCUAGUGCCAGUGGCCUGGAGCACGGCGCGGGUGGUGACCGGAGCCUGACUGAGUCUCUAUAGGAGGUGGGCACGGUGUCCUGGAGUGCGCGGGUGGUGACUGGAGGCCCGACCGAGUCUCUACAGGAGGUGGGCGCGGUGGCCUGGGCACGCCAGGGUUCCGGAUGUGGUGGCGGCAGGAAGCUGGGUCUCGGCCCAGAUCCGGUUUGUCUUGUGCCUCGAGGGCCUUGUUUGGCGUUCGACCGUCGCGUAGUGAUGGCACUCUGGUUGUCCAUGCGGCCACAUCUUCUUGGGCAGCGAUGGUUGGUGCUCAACGGCGGGGUGCAUGUGGUGGUGGCGAAACCCUUCUCCUAGUUCUGGGCCAGCGGCACAGGCUUCUCGUGCAAUGGAGAUGGUACGGACGUGGGGCUUGUGCUCGGGAAGAUUUGGUUGGGCAUGAGGUGGGUCGGGGCUACCACUCCUGGUAGGUGAUGUUGGGGCUUGGUCUGGGUGGUGCCCGCGGGCGAUGAGGUCCCUCUCGUCGUGGGUGAGGUGGCCGGGAACCCGCUACUUUGCUGGGAAGAUCAUCGUCGAAGACCUUGGGCAUGGCGUCAUGAGAGUGGACUCGGUGACGGACGUAGGUAGUCACGGGAUUGUGUGUCCCCCGGUCCACCAGGACUGGCUGGAGAUGCAGGCUUGGGCGCCUCCUGCCGUGGAGGCGUCGACCUAGAUGAUAUAUCCCAAAUGUAUCUACUUUUCCAAACACUUUUGCUUUUGUUUUGGACUCUAAUUUGCAUAAUUUGAAUGGAACUAACCCGGACUGACAUUGUUUUCAGCUGAAUUGCCAUGGUGUUAUUUUUGUGCAGAAAUAAAAAUUCUCGGAUUAGGUUGAAACUUCAUGGAGAUUAUUUCCAGAAUAUAUAAAAAAUACUGGUGAAGAGAACUACCGAAGGGGGGCCACCCAGGGGCCACAAGCUCAGGGGGUGUGCCAACCCCCAGGUCGUGCCUAGUGAGCUUGUGGGCCCCUGAAGACUCCGGCAACCCUAAGUCCAACUCCAUAAGUACCGUCUCGCGGAGAAAAAAAUCAGAGAGAAGGAAUCAUCACGUUUUACAAUACGGAGCCGCAGCCACCUCCUGAUUUUCAUCGGGAGGGUUGAUCUGGAGUCUGUUUAGGGCUCUAGAGGGUGGAAUCCGUCGUUGUCAUCAUCAUCAACCCUUCUCCAUCAACAAUUCCAUGAUUCUCACCAUUGGGAGUGAUUAAUUCCUUUGUAGGCUUGCUGUACGAUGAUGGAGUUGGAUGAGAUUUUUCAUGUAAUCGAGUCAAUUUGUUAGGGCUUGAUCCCUAGUAUCCACUAUGUUCUAAGAUUGAUGUUGCUAUGACUUUGCUACACUUAAUGCUUGUCACUAGGGCCCAAGUGCCAUGAUUUCAGAUCUGAACCCUUUACGUUUUCAUGAAUAUAUUUGAGUUCUUGACCCUAUCUUGCAAGUUGUAUGCAUCUAUUACGUGUUAUGAUCCGCACACCCAAGAGGACAAAAAUUGGGAUUCUUUUCGGUGAUUACCGUAGUAUGAGGAGUUCAUGUAUUCACUAAGUGCUAAUGCUUUAUUCCGGUUCACUAUUAAAAGGAGGCCUUAAUAUCCCUUAAAUUUCCUUAUGGACCUCGCUGCCACGGGAGGGUAGGACAAAAGAUGCCAUGCAAGUUCUUAUUAUAAAGCACGUAUGACUAUAUACGAAAUACAUGCCUACAUUACAUUGAUGAAUUAGAGCUAUUGUGUAUCACUCUAGGUUAUCACUAUUACAUGACGAAUAUCAUCCAACAUAAUUAUCCAUCGUUGAUCCAAUGCCUACGUUUUUUCUCAUAUCGGUCUUUCCUAAGUUACUUUAGUUCUUGCUGCUAUUACAAUCACUACAAAAUUGCUUCUGUUACUAUUACUGUUACUAUUGGUACUGUUACUACUGCUAUCAAACUAUCAUAUACUGUGCUACUAAACACUUUGCUGCAUAUAAUAUCCUAGGUGUGGUUGUAUUGACAACUCAACUACUAAGUCUCAUAAAUAUUCUUUGGCUCCCCUUGUGUCUAACCAAUAAAUUUGGGUGAAAUAUUACCUUCGAAGACUGUCGGAUCUCCUAUACUUGUAGGUUAUUAGUAGACUCUGUGGCCGAUGUCGGGCUAGGAGUGAAAGGAGACGCCUUUUACUCCUACUAUCUUAGUGGGUGCAUUGCGAUGUGAGGGAGUGAUGGUGUCUCGGACAUGGAUGCCGGGGCGACGGCCCUAGAUGGUCGUCCGCAUGGUUGGAUCUCCGGGGAGCACCAUUGUGGCAGUGUUUGCUUUUNNNNNNNNNNNNNNNNNNNNNNNNNNNNNNNNNNNNNNNNNNNNNNNNNNNNNNNNNNNNNNNNNNNNNNNNNNNNNNNNNNNNNNNNNNNNNNNNNNNNNNNNNNNNNNNNNNNNNNNNNNNNNNNNNNNNNNNNNNNNNNNNNNNNNNNNNNNNNNNNNNNNNNNNNNNNNNNNNNNNNNNNNNNNNNNNNNNNNNNNNNNNNNNNNNNNNNNNNNNNNNNNNNNNNNNNNNNNNNNNNNNNNNNNNNNNNNNNNNNNNNNNNNNNNNNNNNNNNNNNNNNNNNNNNNNNNNNNNNNNNNNNNNNNNNNNNNNNNNNNNNNNNNNNCUCUCUGUAACUGGCAGUGGAGGCUCCCCGGUCUGGAUCUAGAGUUCUGAACUCACCAAUAGGGUACCAAGGUAUGAAAUUAUCUUGAGUAAUCCCCCAGCGAUUAACAAUGCACUCCCUCUGUCCCAUAAUUUAAGAGCGUGUGUCAAAAAUGCUCUUAUAUUAUGGGAUGGAGAGAAUAGUAAAAAGGCAACAUCCAACCACAACAUUAUGAAGCAACAACAUUGCACACCUUUGCGGGACAUUGGCAGCAUCAAUGGGUGUGUUCCCACUCAUUUCAAGUUUUUAGCAAACAUCUUCCUUGAGGGGCUGGUUGUGCACCUUUUCUAUCCGUCGCCAUGCGGUUGACAAAAUUCAUGAUUCUCCACAACAUGGUAGGACGGGUCAAGAACAUGCAUAGAAGAAAAGAAAGAGAAAACAAUAGGAGCAUCAGAGCGAUGAAGGGGGUUAAACAAUGAUAAAAACAAAUAGAACCAAGAAUUUUCGACCACCCUUAGAAGGUUGCUUUGAGUUACAUGGAUAGUCAUCAUCGUUGAAGAGAUUCGGGUGCUCGUAAUUCAGAGUGACAAACUCCACUUCCCGUGAAAGCUCUUCGCCACUCCACAUUUCCGGCACCGUUUAGCUCAUACGCAACAUCUCUAGGCUAUUGUGCUCCUCUGGCGGUUCUUUUUUUGGUGAAAUGAUGCUCACUGUCACCCUAUUCAAGCAUGAGCUCCCGACCAACAGUUCCGAUGAUAUGGGGCAAUUUUGGCUGCAAAGUAUGCCGAUAAGGAAAUUCAAGGUGGACUAAGAGGUCAGCGAGGUUACAGGAUGUCGGUGGGGUGGAGGCUGCCGAGAGAGAGAGGGAGCAGCAGCCCAAAGGGAAUCUUUUUUUGAGAACUCAUUUCCGCUGCUCAAAUUUUAGAGCCGGUGUAGGCUUCUCCUAUUCUUUUGGAUACGAUUUACAUUUUGAGAGUUUGUCUAGGUGCGACUUAACUCCUCAAAAGGGAAUCUUUUGUGGAGUUAAGCUCUUUUUGGAAGUUGGCUAGAGUUCCUCUUAGAUCCUGAAUUAACUUUCAGUCUACUUUCUUUCCUUAAGUCUGUCCUUGAGCAAUGUUAUGGAUGGUGCAUUGGUUGAGAAAAUAACUGGCCCUCGUAUAACAACAAAACCCAAUCUCCAUCUCAUCAACGUGCAUGACUUUCAUGUCCAGCGAAACUCAUGCCAGGUUCAUUGUGAAUUGACUACUACGCUUGGCCAUAGGUGCGGGCAAAGAAUGCUCAAAGGUGCUCCGAUAGGGCAAUCAUUAGCACGUGCGAGAACCUAUUACUUAGAACAACUCUAGCAGAGUUGCCAUAUUGGUAGCCACUCCACAUGCAUUAUGGAGGUUGUUGAGGUGAUGUGCAAAGUUGUGCCUCCGUAUUUGCUGCCUCUAUAAUUGUGGGGCCCACUCGAUAGUGGUGCAUCUUUUUCCCAAUCUCCCUGCCAUCCCAGGUGAGGUGAGGGACCACAUGAAGUUUCCUUCAUACCACAUGCAAAUGUCAUACAGACUGCGCUCCAAAAGGCAGGCCCGAGUUGCCAAUUGUGGAGGCUGGUAGGCUAGAUAUGGAGGGAGAUCCAUAAAUUAUGGUGAUAUAGAGGCAUAUGUGCUGGAAAUAUGUACUAGAGGCAAUAAUAAUUCAUGAUUAAUGUUUACAUUAUAUGCUGUAACUGUUGUGGUUCUCGAUCCUGCAAAAACCAAGAGGAUCAGAGGAAAACUCAUCUACACAUGUAGAGUUAUAAAUGGUAAAAUAAGAUUCCUAGUCUUGCAUUUAAGACUAGCUUAGUUGUUGUAUGAUGGUUGAUCAUGGGCAUAGUUAAGUGUAAUGAUGAUGCAGACAACAUUUGAGAGAAUGAUGUUGGAAGAACACUCGUAUUUUCUUGACCCAAGUUGUAUCUUUUACUAAGAGAUGAAAUCAUCACAAGUCUAUAGUCUAUAAUACGAUAAAUUAACAUAUGCACAAUUCGUUAGACCAUGAGAGUAUAGAGUCACUCCAUAUCGGAUGAUGCUCUUUGGAGUUAUUCUAAUGUCUGUUGUAAUAGGGUGGUCAUAACAGCAAGUUACAUGUUCAUCGGAAACAUAUGAUGGGGGACUAGAUAGCUCGAGACUCGGAUUUUGUUCAUGUGACGAUGGAGAGAUUUUGUAGGGCCCUUCGGUGUGUCGACAUCCAUCGUCGUCAGGUAUAGUGAGAAUGUAUUUGACUCACGGGGAUACUGAUAUAUAUCACCUCGGGUUUUGUAAAUUAUCGCAAAGCAAAAUGAAUAUCAUAUGGUAGCUACAGGUUCAGUCGAUAAACAUUUGUGUGGGUAUAGCCGUAUAAGCAUCAAUAUGGAUGUCCACAGCUCCGCUAUUGAUCAUUGACCGAAAGUUUUUCUUGGUCAUGUCUAUAUUUCACCGAACCUACAAGGUCACAUACUUAAGAACCUUUGAUCCGUUGACUUCUAAAUGAGUUUGGAGUGUUGGAGUAUAUCACCAAAAAAGUUUUGGAGAUAACAUAAAUUGUUGCGGGAGAGAACCGGAAGUGUUUCGGGGAAACUAGAAGCAGCUCGGAGAAAACCAAAUAAAACUGGAUGGGUGGAAAAGUUCUGGAGGAUGUAAUAGUAGUAUAUGAGGGCUCCGGUAUUUAUAGAGAGCUCCUCGGGAUUAUUCUAGGCACCAUGGGCUGCCCAAAUAAACUAAAGCCUAUUAGGGCGCAUCCACAUAGGCCUUGAGGCCCAUAUAUGUGUUGCCCUCCCUUAGCCUCGCCCCCCAAGCUAGGGGGUGGUGGGCUGGUGGGGCGCCACCCCCUUGGUCAUCGCCACAAGGGAAGCCCCCUCCUACAAGUUGGUCUCGCCCCUCCACCUAUAUAUACCCAUGGGGGCGCCCGCUAUUGAGACACAAGUUCUCUCGUGAUCUGGGGUGCCCCCCCUCUCUAGCUCUCCACCAUAGCUCUUCUUGCGAAGGGCUGCUCCUCCCUCUUUUUUCUAUUCCGGCAUCGUCAAGGCCUAGACAAGGAAGCACUGCCGGAUCUCUGGUCUUGAACGCGUGCGAUGCACAGAGGGCCCGUACGUUUGGUUCUUGUUCAAGGGAUCUGUUCGUGGGACUUCAAGAACACGAUCUUCACAAACUCUUUUUCCGCUGCAACUCGUUGUUGGUAAAGAUCAGAUCUAACCUUGUAUGUAUGUCUUCAUAGUGAUCCUGGUUUUGUUCGUAGGACAUUUUAUUUUCUAAAUUACAAUUCCCAACAAUAUGAUGACCAUGCCAGAGUGCAUUUUUUUGGCAACAAUCAUAAUCAUUGGAAGUUAUUAUGGCAACUGUGCUCAGACGUGUGCAGGUAGUAAUCGACAUGUACGGCCACACAGGUUUUCCCACUAGACAAUCACAUUGUGGGUCUCACAUAGGAUGUAAAUUUUCUAUUUUUUCUGAAAUUUUCCAAAAUCCUACAAUUUCAAUAUUUUGAAAGAUUUUUUGAAGUUCAAAAUUCUGUAAGUUCGAAGUAUUCUAAAAGAUCAAAUUUUGAAAUUGAAACAUUUGAAAAUGAUUUAAAAAUAAAUAAAUUACUAUUGUCAAAAUUUUGAAAGUUGACAGACUUGGAGCAGCCGCGACGUCCAUGAUCGAGCUCGGCCGUUGGUCGUCCGCCUCUUGCACGCGGCUCCAACGCACAUCCGCUCUGGUGCUCACCUCCACGUCGGCCCCACGCUACCUCGCAUGUGAUUCGAACCGCCGCGUCAUCGGUGGAAGCACCUCGCGACACCAAUGGCCACUACGCCAGAUCAUGCGCCAGCUCCACCACAUCCCGCAUGGCACGGCAUGGAAAAAAUCUUACCAUCGCACGAGUUUUGCCUGACUAUGUCCUACAGGGACGACAAGAGAGGAAUGAAGGAGCCGGUUGUACGGGUGAGUUGGUAGGUUGGGGCGCCAAAUUAGGGUAUCUUUUCUCAAAACGAGGGAAAUAUAAAUAUGAAGGAUUUUAGUGACAUGUCCUCUUAAAUCCUACAGGAUUAGAAAACUACAGGAAUUCAGAUAAAAGAGUGUUUGAUGGAGUGAGGCGUUUUGGAGGCCGAGCUCCAUGGAGCCUUUUAUUUUUGAAUCUUUUCUUCAAAAAUUGAACUUUUCGGUUUAAAUCUGAAAAAAUUUAUGCAAGUAUACAAAGAUGAAAUGUAUAUGUGUGUAAAAAUUCAGGAUGAAAAACCUUGAAAUGCGACCUGUGCGACAAAUUCAUUGUGUUUGAGGCUUAAUAGUAUCUUGUGUUGAAAAACCUCAGAUUUGUUUUUUUAGAGGCCUCAUUUCAACGUAUUUUGUCCUGAAUAUUUACACACAUGUAUAUUAUGCCUUCAUGUAUAUGUGUAUUUUUUCAUAAUUUUUUAAAAUCUAGAAAUAUGAAUUUUGAUGAAAUUUCAAAAAUGCUUUUGGACUCCUCCAUGGAGCUCGGCCUCCAAAAGGCAUUUUUGUGUUUGAUAUCACUAUAAAGAAAAUGAAUUAUACAAAGAGAUUUGAGUGGAUGCACAUUUUUCUCCAAAAUAAAGUGCAAAUGAAUUCUAAGAAAACUUACUAACAUUUCAAUAUACUAUGAAUCAAACAGCCAACACGGAAAAAAAAUUCCUACGAUCUAAAUUCUCUAAAAAUCCUACAAAACUCUUUUGGAUCAAACCCCCAGCUCAGCCUGUCAUAUGCUUCGAGUACUUACUUUCGUUCUCGUCACAUGUCGACACUUUCGAUCCGCUAAGCAAUACCAUUUUUGCAAACGAAAAGAAGAAUGAUCAGAUGUUUCUGGGGAAGUGUCUUCUUCACUCUAGUCGGCAGCCACCUGCCGACCCACUCAUGCGAGCACACGUAGCGCCCUGCCCGGCGAUUCGUCCGUCUGACCACCCCUCUUUAUGGGCUAGUCGGCACUCACCUGCCCAUCCACUCACGAGAGCACACCUGGAGCUUCGUCCACCCUCGAACGGCCUAUAAAUAGUGCCUCAUGCUGCACCUGCUUUACACAACCACGUUCUUCACACAACCAAGACAAGUAAACAGCAGCACUAGCUAGUAGAUUUCCCGAGUGACAGGUUGAGCGCAAGAUGGAGCACCAGGGACACGGCACCGGCGAGAAGAAAGGCAUCAUGGAGAACAUCAAGGAGAAGCUCCCCGGUGGCCACCAGCAGACCGCUGGCACCCACGGGCAGCAGGGACACACUGGAAUGACCGGCACGGAGAUGCAUGACACCACGGCCACCGGCGGCACCUUUGGGCAGCAGGGACACACCGGAACGACUGGCACUGGGACACACGGCACAGCCGGGACCGGCGAGAAGAAGAGCCUCAUGGACAAGGUCAAGGAGAAGCUGCCUGGACAGCACUAAGCCCGGUGUGCCCACGACCGCUACCUUCGCAGAAUAAUACUCCACCGUAUAUGAAUUGAUCGAGUCUAGUUCACCUAGCUCACUUGGUCAUUGGAGGAGCGAAUGUAUCUUUGCUUUAAGUUUUCACGGAAAUGUGUUCACUGUUUACGUUUGUUUACACUCUCUGUCGUGCAAAUUUCCUUUUUGUUCUUUUUUUUGGGCUAUCUAUUUUUUGACUAUCAGGAGGGCCAAAGCCACCCGGUUCCAUUAUCAAAUAACGAAACCAGAGUGAGUUCAACAUCAUGCAUAAAGGCAUGUUCAGGAGGGGGUAUACAGCGUGACCAGCAUAUCCCUCCGUUCCCCUAGGGUUUCCCUAGGGUCUACCUCUUCCUUCGGCGGCGCCGCCGAAGUCCACAAAUUCCCACGUGAAAAUCGGCCGGAUUGCUACACGCUUGCUGGUGAUCGGGUCGUCCCGAGGCAAUCGUCUUGGCACAUCGUUUGCAUGGAGUUAGGGGAUGGAGUUCGAGGAGCAGGAGGGUCGAAGGGAGCGCAGGCGGAGGAUUUAGGGCGGAAGGCUUUGGGAGCUGGAGAGGAGCAACUCCCGUCAUCAUCGGCGGCGGGGAUGGCUGCGGGAGGGGCGGAUGAAGCGAGGCGUAUGGAGGAGGAUCGGGAGGAUGGGGAUGAGGAGGAAAAUUGGGAUCACCAUGGCCCAGAUCCGAAUUUGGAAGACGUGUUUGAAGGACUAAAUUUGCAGGGGGAGGAGGUGGAUGAUCUCGAUCUGUCAGGAGAGGUUGAUGAGUUGAUCAAGGAUGUGAGGUGGCUGGCUCUUUUUAGGGUUCAUACCCUACGUCCGUUCGGUCAUGCGGCGCUGUUAAACUCUAUGAGGAAUGCAUGGGCGUGUGCUCAAGGUGUGACGUUCAAUAUAAAGGGACCUAAUUUGUUCUUGGCGCAAUGCCAUUGUUUGGGAGAUUGGAAGAGGGUCAUGGAAGGAGGACCAUGGCAGUUUAGAAGAGAUCCGGUGGUUUUGGUUGAAUAUGAUGGGUUUACUAAUGUCUCUGACUAUACGUUGGACAUGUACCCACUUUGGGCAAGGAUCAAAGGCCUGCCUGACGGUCUAACGAGGAAGAAAGAACUGGCUGAGAAGGUGGCAAAGAAGGUAGGGGAGCCUCCGUUUACGGUGAUUGUCAAUGAAGGCAAGAUCAAUCCUUCGAGCUACUUGAGAGUUAGGGUGUUCGUUAAUGUUAAUAAGACGCUGGUGAGAUUUGUGCCAAUAACCUAGAAGGAGAGGAAGAAAUACCCAGUUUACUACGAAAAGCUGCCUGAUUUCUGUUUGUUUUGUGGAUGUAUGGGACAUGUGGUCGAGGAACGUGGAGAUGGGAUACAUGAUCCGUCAUCGUGUGAAUGGGGUGACUAUUUGCAUUGGAGUGGAGAACCAAUAAACAAUGGUGCAAGGGGAGGUCGAGGUGCCUGGUCUGAGUCACGUAGAGAUAAUGCGGCUGGGGAAGGAGUACGGGGCGGUAGAAGAGGAGGUGGAGGUAGGGGUGACAGAGGAGGGAGAAGCUUUGGGACUGGAGGAAGGGGUGCUGGAGUGCAUCCGAGUGUACCUGAGGGGGUUGUUGAGGAAGGCGAGCAGGGCGGGCUAGAUCAGGAACGCUCGGCUCGUAAAAGACUCGUCAGAGAUGAUGGUACAGUUAAUCUACGUGGGCAGUUGGUUCCUAACCUGGGAGGGAAGGUGGCUGAUACUGUGCUUUUUAUUGAGUCCGGCGCCGGGAUUGGAAUGCCGAGCCCGAGUGCAGCGGCCUCCACACUGGGAAAGAACCCCAUAGUGAAAAGGUUGCGUCACAGCGGAAGUGGGGACCAGAUGAUUGUCAUUGAGGAUAUGGGUACCUCUUAUGCGGCGGCCUCCGAGUCGGAGGACCGCCAGGUCCAAUGAAUUGCUUAAGCUGGAACUGCCGGGGAGGGGGGAAUUCCCGGACAGUUCGUGAGCUGACGACCCUUUGUAGGUCAUAUUCCCACAUGUUUGUGUUCCUGUGUGAGACGAGACAGAAGGAAGCGAAGAUGAAGAGAUUAAGAGGCCGGUUUGGCUUGAAGGGCUUUUGUGGCGUUGAUAGUUCAGGCAUGAGUGGUGGCCUGGCGGUAUAUUGGCAUGAAAAUUGUGUGGUUGAAGUGCUUGACAAAGAUGAUCGUCAUGUUGAUGCCCUAGUUCAGGUGCAGGAAGGGGCGGAUCAGUGGAGAAUUACGUUUGUAUAUGGAGAACCGCGGGUAGAAAACCGGCAUCUCAUGUGGGCAAAAAUACAGAAUUUGAAAACUGUCAAUGAUCUUCCGUGGUUGGUUUUGGGGGACUUUAACGAAGCAAUGUGGGAUUUUGAACACUUUUCAGCUACUCCAAGACCAGAGCCGCAGAUGAUAGCAUUCAGGGAUGUGUUGGAAGUUUGUAGUUUAGUAGACUUGGGAUUUUUGGGGGUUCCUUUCACCUAUGACAAUAAAAGAAGUGGCUCGAGCAAUGUUAGGGUGAGGCUGGAUAGGGCCGUUGCAACAAAUGAUUGGAGGAAUAUAUUCCCCUUUGCCUCUGUACAACAUAUUCUAAGUCCUUGUUCGGAUCAUGUGGAUGUACUUCUCAAGGGCGAGGCGGAUUCUGGACCGGUUGGGCCGAAACAUCGCCGAUAUGAGAUCUUCUGGGAGCGGGACUCCACGCUGCCGGAGGUCGUCAAGAACGCGUGGGAAUCUGUUGGCAAUGUCCAAAAUUUGGAGCAGUUGCGAGAGGCGCUAACCAAGACAAUGGUGUCGUUGGGUUCUUGGUCCAGGAAGUUCGGGAAUGUUACAAAGGAGUUAGCUAAGUCCCGUUCACAGUUAGAAGAGCUCAUGCAUAUGAAUGCGGAUCGACAAGAAAUAAGGAAAGUGACAGACAGGAUGAAUGAUCUUUUGUACCAAGAGGAGAUGAUUUGGCUUCAAAGAUCGAGAAUUUCAUGGCUUAAGGAGGGGGACCGCAACACAAAGUUUUUUCAUAGUAAGGUAGUGUGGAGGGCUCGUAGAAACAAAAUCAGGCAGUUAACGGAUAGUAUUGGAGUGGUCCAUUCAGAUUUGGUGUCUAUGGGUAAGCUAGUGAAUGAGUAUUUUCGGGAUGUCUUCACUGCGGAUGUUAACCUUGAUGCAGGCCAUGUGGUUGAUCUCUUUGAAGUACUUUGUCACGGAGGAGGACAAUAUUAAGCUAUGUGCUCCGUUUAGUGAUAAGGAAAUCUCUGACGCACUUUUUCAGAUAGGGCCACUUAAGGCGCCGGGCCCUGAUGGAUUUCCAGCCAGGUUUUUCCAGAGGAAUUGGGCGACUCUCAAGGACAGUGUGAUUGCGGCUGUCAAGGAUUUCUUCAGAUCCGGGGUGAUGCGAGAGGGAGUAAAUUCCACGACGAUUGUCCUCAUUCCGAAAGUUGCUAAUCCUACAAAGCUGACUGAGUAUAGGCCAAUCAGCUUGUGCAAUGUGAUUUACAAGGUCAUAUCUAAAUGUUUGGUUAAUAGGCUCCGUCCUCUCUUGGAUAACCUAAUCUCUGAUGAGCAGAGUGCGUUCAUUCCGGGUAGGAUGAUUACUUACAAUGCGCUGAUUGCCUUUGAGUGCCUACACUACAUCAAACAGGAAAAGUAUCCAACAAAAAGCUUUUGUGCUUAUAAGCUUGAUCUCUCCAAAGCUUAUGAUAGGGUGGACAGGGGUUUCUUGAAGCAAGUGAUGCAAAAGUUGGGGUUCUCUCAGCGAUGGAUAGACUGGAUUAUGACUUGUGUCACAUCGGUGAGAUAUUCUGUCAAAUUAAACGGAACUCUCUUGGAUUCAUUUGCACCGACGCGUGGGCUUCGGCAAGGUGAUCCCCUUUCACCAUUUUUAUUCUUGUUUGUGGCGGAUGGUCUUUUGGCGAUCCUAAAAAAGAAAGUGGCAUCUGGUCAUAUUACUCCUGUAAGAGUAUGCAGGCGAGCACCGGGCAUAUCCCAUUUGUUAUUUGCUGACGAUACCAUGUUGUUUUUUGAGGCAACUAGAGAUCAGGCUAAGAGCGUUAAGGAAGCUCUAGACUUGUAUGGUGCGGCCACUGGGCAAAGUCUCAAUUAUGGAAAAUGUUCUAUGUUCUUUGGUUCUUCUUGUCCGAACACAAUUCAAGAUGAGGUUCGACAGGUGCUGCGUGUGCAAAGUCUGGUUUUUGAGGAAAAAUAUUUGGGUUUGCCUACCCCUGAGGGUCGCAUGUCUAAGGGGAAGUUCCAAAACCUUCAAACAAGCUUGAUAAAACGCCUUAUUCAGUGGGGAGAUGGUCAACUUGCCCAGCCUGGUAGGGAGGUAUUAGUGAAAGCUGUUGCACAGGCGUUGCCAACCUAUAUCAUGGGGGUUUUCAAAUUGCCAUUUUCAGUUUGCGGUGAUCUUACAAGAAUGGUUAGAAACUUUUAUUGGGGCUCGGCAAAAGGAAAAAGAAAGGUCCAUUGGAGGGGGUGGGACCAUCUCAUGCAGCCAAAGGAUAGAGGUGGUGCAGGUUUUCGUGAUUUUCAGCUGUUUAACCAGGCGCUUCUGGCUCGGCAGGCGUGGAGAUUGAUUUCUAGGCCGAACAGUUUAUGUGCACUGGUUCUGAAAGCAAGAUACUAUCCGGAGGGCAAGCUUGAAGACACGGUGUUUUCUGGCAACGCUUCCUCCUCCUGGCAAGCAAUAAGCCAUGGGUUAGACUUACUAAAGAAGGGUCUGAUUUGGCGUGUGGGCAAUGGCAGGAGCAUACGAGUUUGGCGCGACAACUGGAUCCCAAGGCCUUUCUCAUAUAAACCCAUCUCACUGCAGGGCAGAUGUCGUAUUCGCUAUGUUUUCGACUUCCUGAAUGAGAAUGGAUCCUGGAAGGGGCAGUUACUGUCAGAGUAUUUCCUUGCUGCGGAUGUUGAUGAAAUACUAAAGAUUAGAGCUUCUCCGAGGCAGGCCGAAGAUGUUAUUGCAUGGGGUCCCAAUAAGCUGGGUGUGUUCACAGUAAAAAGUGCUUAUAUGUUGGCGUUUGAAGAAGCACAUAGAGAGAGGGCAUCCUCGUCUAGUUCUUCUCCAGAUGGGAGUAGAGCUUGCUGGUCUUACAUAUGGAAGAGCUUGGCGCCUCCGACCGUCAAGAACUUUGCUUGGCGUAUGGCGACUGAUGGGCUACCUACCUGGCGGAACAAGCAUAAAAUCGGAUUAGAAGUAUCAAGUACCUGUCCAGUUUGUGGUGUUGAAGAGGAAGAUAAUUUUCACCCCUUUGUGCGCUGCCAAUUUGGGAGAGACUUGUAUCUAGAGAUGGCCAAGGUUUGGAGGUUACCUAGUAUUGAUAAUCUGAUAAACAGUGGGAAGGAGUGGCUGCUUAUUGCCUUAUCUUCAUUAAGUGAUAUUGAGCGAUGCAUGAUGCUUAUGACCUUUUGGCGGAGCUGGUUCGUCCGAAAUGAGAUUACACAUCAAAAACCAGCUCCACCACUUGAAGUUUCGGUUCGGUUCCUGCAAAGCUACCUGGAGUCGCUGGUGGCGAUCAAACUGAAUUCCAACAUGGACCCGAUCAAGGGCAAUCCGUUGUGAUCCUAGACUCGUUGCCUUCACCGUGCAGGGCGGUUUCCCCAGAGAGUAGAUGGUCUAAACCAAGCAGGGAUUGUGUUAAACUAAACACUGAUGGGUCCUAUGAUUCUUCGAGAGCAGCGGGAGCUGGAAUGAUCCUUCGGGAUUCUAAUGGCGAAAUUAUAUUCUCAGCCUGCCGAGUUUUAUUUUCCUGCAGAGAUGCUCUGGAAGCGGAGUUAUGUGCAUGCAUGGAGGGGCUUUCGAUUUCUAUUCAGAGGUCAAAUCUUCCUAUUGUGGUUGAGAUGGAUUCGUCGGAGGCGGUGGCCAUGAUCAACUGUGUUGGCAAGGAUCGAUCGGUCUAUGCUGCUCUUAUUGAUGAGAUAAGAUAUCUUGUUAGUCUUCGUUCUACUUGCAUUACUCACGUUUCGCGAACUCAAAAUAAAGCUAGUGAUUGCCUAGCUACCUUCAGGAGAGUUGAGAGUAGAAUUAUGACCUGGAUUGGGUCAGGCCCCCCGGAGGUGGUACAGAUUGCUAAGGAUGAUUGUAAAGACUUGAUUAUUGAGUAAUACAAGUAUUUCUCCCCGCAAAAAAAAGGCAUGUUCAGGAAGGUAAAAGGUUACAUAAAACGCUCAGGAAAAAGUGAAAGGUGCAAACUUAUUACAACACGGGUAUCUUCAGAGUGUCGAAUACAUUCCGCUUUUCUCCCAUUCUAUGGUUUACAAUGUUUUAAAUAACUCAACUAUAGCCUUUGAGACCUCUCUCGCUAAAGCUAUGCACUUUUAAUGCUAAAUUAAUAUGACGGUAAUAGCCCGCAAUUUCCCGUUAUAAUGCUACCUUUGGAGUUAUUUAGCCCGCUAAGCCGCAAUACAAAACCAUCCUUUUGCAUUAUUUUUUGUUCUUGUUUAUGAUAUAUUUGACACAUUGAUGCGAAGCUUGGUUAUUGAAUUAGGACACCAGAUUGGUGCUAGGGUUUCGAUGUGCGAACAUGUGUAUAUAUCGAGUAUAUGCAAUAUAUCAUAUAUGAUGUUCAUUUUAUAAUUAUUUUUUUUUCAAUUUUGCAUGAAUAAAGGAAAACAAAAAACGGGGCUUAGCUUCGCUAUAGCUUUUCAUAGCAACGGGCCAAUCCGCCGCUAAAUGGCAUAGCCCGCUAUUUAAAACAUAGGGUUUUCAGCACGAUCCUCCAGACUGCAGUACCAGGGGCCACCCCCACUCCAGGCCGCUUGAGCUUCUUUGCAGGUUGAGCUGGAGAACUAGGUAGAUCCAGUGGUGUGACUGGGCUCGGUAGGGAGUGUUUGCAGGGGGCAUUGCCAGGACUCCUGGGACGUGAUGAUAGAGUAACCCGAUUCAGUUUGGCAAUGAGCACUUGAGAAAAAGCACCUUCAGCAUUUUGGUGAAGCUCCACUACCCACUGUGAUCUGAAAAGGGGUGUUUAGGAUCAAGGAAAUUUUGAGACAAAAUUCCUCUAUCUUCAACAGUGAGGCAUCCAUAAAUAAUAUCACCCGUCUCCUCAUGAGCCCUAGUGUCAAGUUCGAAACUUGUUUCAAAAUCAAUCCAGACAGUAUUAUAAAGAAUACAUGAAUUCCUAUGUUUCCACAUAGCCCACAACACACAAGCACAUGUAGAAUUUAAAUCACUGUGUUUCUUGUGGGCUAGCAAGAAUUUGGCAAUGGAGAGGUAAAUUUUUCCUAGUUCAUAGGAGAAGAAUUUUGAUACAGAAGCCCAAACUUGUUUUGCAACAACACAAUCAAAGAAUAAAUGGUGUAUGGAUUCCUACUCAGAACAAUAAACACAUUCUAGAGAUUUUCUACCACUACUAGGGAAAACGUUAUACACAGAACUUUAGCAGUAGCGCUUGUCAAAAAAGCUCGCUACUGCUAGACAGCAGUAGCGCGUGCCAAAUAAGCGCGAUGCAGAUGCAUAUAUAGCAGUAGCGCGUCUCGCUGAAAACUCUCUACUACUAAAAUUUCGACCACUAAGCCGAUGGGCUACACAUAGUAGUAGCGAUCUUUCAGAAACCGCGCUGCCGCUAAUAUUCUUAUAGCAGCGCGUUUACGUGCAAAGCGCUACUGCUAACGAAAAUAAAAUAAAAUGAAAAACAAAUAGAAAAGUAAAUGAAAAAUGAAAGAAAUAGAAAAAGGAGAAAGGAAAAAUAUAAAAUGUAAAGAAAAAUAAACGAAAAAGGGAAAAAAGGAUGAAGGAAUAGCAGUAGCGCGUUUGCGAAAACGCGCUAUAGCUAACUUAGCUAUAGCGCGUUUUCCCUAACGCGCUACCGUUAUUAUUGACUUAACCCAAAAAAUGGUUUCCCCCCGGCCACCACUUCUCCCCCAAAUCCCUCGCCCCACUCUUCGCCGCCGUCUCCCCCACCUCACCGUCUCCCCCACUUCGCCGCCGUCUCCUGCCGGCGUCGACGCCGCGCUCAUCCUCACCGCCGCCGCCCGAGGCCGCCCAACCUCACCGCCGCCGUCUCUCGGGCCGCCCUCGACCUCACUGUCACCGCCCUCGACCUCUCCGCCGCCGNNNNNNNNNNNNNNNNNNNNNNNNNNNNNNNNNNNNNNNNNNNNNNNNNNNNNNNNNNNNNNNNNNNNNNNNNNNNNNNNNNNNNNNNNNNNNNNNNNNNNNNNNNNNNNNNNNNNNNNNNNNNNNNNNNNNNNNNNNNNNNNNNNNNNNNNNNNNNNNNNNNNNNNNNNNNNNNNNNNNNNNNNNNNNNNNNNNNNNNNNNNNNNNNNNNNNNNNNNNNNNNNNNNNNNNNNNNNNNNNNNNNNNNNNNNNNNNNNNNNNNNNNNNNNNNNNNNNNNNNNNNNNNNNNNNNNNNNNNNNNNNNNNNNNNNNNNNNNNNNNNNNNNNUUUCUCUUAGCUUUUUCUUCCUCUGCCAUGUUAAUUAGCAGUAGUAGUAGAUGUUAAUUAGUACUAGGGUUCAUACAUAAUGAUUUUUAGUAGUAGUAGUAGAUGUUAAUUAGUAGUAGUGAUGGUACUAGUUAACUAGGGCAGUAUGUUUAAUAGUAGAUGUUUUUAGUUAGGGUAAUAAUAGAUGUUAAGUAGUAGAUAAUGUUGAUGUUAAUUAGUUCAGUAGGGUUUAGUUUUUGAAUUGAGUUUGUUUAACUAGAUGUUACUUAGGGCAGUAGGGUUUAGUUUAGAGUAAAGUAAUUUAGUUCAGUAGUUAAGUAAAUAUAAUCUAUAUUUGGUUUUUGAAUUGAGUUUGAGAGAGCAUGAGAUUUGUGUAGAUUUUCUUGUAGUGUCAAACGCUAGGACAUGCAAAUUUGAAGUGGUCAGGAUAUAUGCAAAUUCCUUAAUUAUGUUUACACAUGCAUGUUUCGAUUGUGCCCAAGUGGCCUUUUGUUGUUUCCAGGGAAUGAAGCCGAGUGGCCUAUGUUUUGCCGGAAUGUUGAUUCAUUUCCAUUCCGGCAAAUUUUAGACUCUCGAUUUGUCCACUUUUUAGGAAAGGUCAUGCCGAAAUUUUCCGUGAAUUUCGGCAUGACUUGUGCUACAAACUAGGACAUAUCGAGUGCCCGGGAUUUGCCGCACCAGGAAGGAGUCAACGUUCUUGCAAAACAUUAGGCUUUUUUAUGUCAUUAUUCAUUUUAUUAGGUCUAAAAUUAAUUGACUAGAUUUAAUCGUAGGAAACAUGGCUAGCAAUGAUGAAGGACAGGGUUCUGGUGAUUGCGACAACGUCUACCGGGCGGCAGACGAAUUUUUGAGCCUUGCUGACGAUCAACCGAUGUUGUUGCUGGGCCCACCGGUGGCAUCGGGGACUGAGACCGACACAUAGACCUGUGCUGAGACUGAGACCGGCGCUGAGACUCAGACCGGCAUCGAGACCGGCGCUGAGACUGAGACUGGCGCUGCCUCGAGGAGCGGAGCCGGUGUAGAACUGAAAGCAAAGAGGCAACGGCUUCCUAACAAACUCAGGACUACUAGACUGAUGGUCACGGAGGUGGACGACAGCAAUUUUGAGCUAAAUGCGCCCGAGGAAGCGCGCGCAUGCUACGGCAAUCAAAUAGGCUGCAUCGUACGGACAACCGCCACCAUCAACGAUGAGAAACUAUAGAAGAUAGAUAAUAUGAGGCCCUCCCUCCUAAAGAAGUUUCACCAGAUAUUCUUGUUCCCGGGCCGGAAUGAAAAGGAUUAUGAAGAUCCAGGUAAGGACCCGCUAAUGAAGAAGAUACAGAAACACACCAUGACCAAGUUUAGCGACGCGUUGGCCGCCUGGAAAACAAGGGUGAAAGCAAGGAUCAUCGACAAGAAGGAACCCUACUCCGACAUUGUAAAGUAUAAUCCGACAAUCACAGAAGAGUAGUUUCAAAUAUUCAAGGUGGCUUGCGAGGCCGAAGCUGGCAAAAAAAGUCUAAGUACAUGAAGGGGCUUCAAGAGAGGAACAUUGGGAGCCACCACCUAGAAAGCCGUGGUUACGGCGGGAAGAGGUCCAAAUGGGCCAAGGAGGACGCGGAAGCCGCGAGUCUGGGCAUCCCAGACCCCUUGGCGGAGUUCACCAUCUCGCAUGAGCGUGACAUCCUCAGGGCCCGGCACCGUUGGGACCCAGUGAAGAAGGUUUACGAGACAAAUGCGGUCACGACGGAGUUCAUUAGACUGCUGGUAAUUUUAGUUUUUGAUCAAUUCGACUGCACAUGUUAGUCAUAUUUAUAAACGAUCCUUGUGCCUUUUUGAUGUCUACUACGCAACCUUCUCCUUGUAGACGUUGUUGGGCCUGCAAGUGCACAGGUUUGUAGGACAGUAGCAAAUUUCCCUCAAGUGGGUGACCUAAGGUUUAUCGAUCCAUAGGAGGCGUAGGAUGAAGAUGGCCUCUCUCAAGUAACUCUGCAACCAAAUAACAAAGAGUCUCUUGUGUCCCCAACACACCCAAUACAAUGAUAAAUUGUAUAGGUGCACUAGUUCGGCGAAGAGAUGAAGAUACAAGUGCAAAAUAGAUAGUAGAUAUAGGUUUUUGUAAUCUGAAAUAAUAAAAACAGCAAGGUAACAAGCGAUAAAAGUGAGCGUAAACGGUAUUGCCAUGAUAGGAAACAAGGCCUAGGGUUCAUACUUUCACUAGUGUAAGUUCUCUCAACAAUAAUAACAUAGAUAGAACAUAUGACAAGCCCUCAACAUGCAACAAAGAGUCACUCCAAAGCCACUAAUAGCGGAUAACAAACGUAGAGAUUAUGGUCGAGUACGAAACCACCACAAAGCUAUUCUUUCAGAUCAAUCUAUAAAAGAGUUUGUACUAGAAUAACACCUUAAGAUACAAAUCAACCAAAACCCUAAUGUCACCUAGAUACUCCAUUGUCACCUCAAGUAUCCGUGGGCAUGAUUAUACGAUAUGCAUCACACAAUCUCAGAUUCAUCCAACCAACAUAAAAGUACUUCAAAGAGUGCCCCAAAGCUACUACCGGAGAGUCAAGAACGUGUGCCAACCCCUAUGCAUAGGUUCCCAAGUGUCACGAAACCCGCAAGUUGAUCACCAAAACAUACAUCAAGUGGAUCAAUAGAAUAACCCAUUGUCACCACAGUUAUCCCACGCAAGACAUACAUCAAGUGUUCAUAAAAGACUCAAUCCGAUAAGAUAACUUCAAAAGGGGAAACUCAAUUCAUCACAAGAGAGUAGAGGGGGAGAAACAUGAUAAGAUCCAACUAAAAUAGAAAAGCUCGGGAUACAUCAAGAUCGUGCCAUAGAGGAACACGAGAGAGAACACGAGAGAGAGAGAUCAAACACAUAGCUACUGGUACAUACCCUCAGCCCCGAGGGUGAACUACUCCCUCCUCGUCAUGGAUAGCGCCGGGAUGAUGAAGAUGGCCUCCGGUGAUGGGAUCCCCCUCCGGCAGGGUGCCGGAACGGGGUCCCGAUUGGUUUUUGGUGGCUACAGAGGCUUGCGGCGGCGGAACUCCCGAUCUAUCUUCUGUUCUGGAAGUUUUAGGGUACGUAGGUAUAUAUGGGUGCAGGGAGAACGUCGGUGGAGCUACGGAGGCCCCACGAGGCUGGGGGGCGCACCCAAGGGGAAGGGCGCCCCCCACCCUCAUGAGCACCUCCCAUAUCUUCUGACGUGGGGUCCAAGUCCAUCAGGUGGGUUUCCUUCCAAAAAUAACUUCUCUAGUUGAUUUCGUUCCGUUUUGACUCCGUCUGAUAUUCCUUUUCCUCGAAACACUAAAAUAGGCAUAAAACAACAAAUCUGGGUUGGGCCUCCGGUUAAUAGGUUAGUCCCAAAAGUAAAGUGGAUAAUAAAGCCCAAUAUUACCUAAAACAAUAGAUAAAGUAGCAUGGAGCAAUCAAAAAUUAUAGAUACGUUGGAGACGUAUCACUUUUGCAGAGAGAGCAGCAAAGGAGUGCGGCCGAAAGCGACUCGCCGUUUGAGGCAUUGGCGAGGCCCAAGUGGGACACUCCAUUCAACCGGUCGUUGAACAUAUUGAAACGACUCCCGGUGGAGACUCGACCGCCGUAUGGACGCGUGCACAGUGUCGGAGACGGCGCCACAUGGAAGAAGUACUACCGUGUGACCACGGAGGAGAGAAAGGAAAGACGGAGGUUAACUGAAGAAAACAUCGAUAAGAAGGUUGAGAUUGCGGUUGAGAAGAAAUCAUCUCGGACAGUCGCAACAGCGGUAAUCCUCUACCCCGAUACUCCCACGCUCUUUACUUGGACUCAUCGAAGAACAUUCACAAAAAGGAUUACACCCACAUCAAGGAUGUUCUCGACAGUGCUAUGUUUUACUACCAAGCAUGGGGUGGAGAGGUCAAGGACAAGAAGAGAAGGGGCGGCAGGCUCGCCUUCGGCCAUAAGACCGACUUCUGCUGCAUCCAGCAACCGAGUGAUUCUCUUAAUGAUGGAUUCUAUGUCCUACACCACAUGCUGGAGUACAGACGGGAUCACCAGAACCUUCGCAUGUCACCUAGAUCCGGCGAUGCCCAUAUUCUGCAAUGGGCAAAGAACGUAGGAGAUAUCGAGGAUCAUCGACUUUGAGCUGAGUUCUAUAACAUCCAGCGCGAACUUGCCCAAAUCAUCAUGAAGGAAGUCGUCGGAAAAACAGGGAUGUUCUACGAAGAAGGACAAAUGUCGCGGGAAGACGUCCGAACAUGGGUAUCCUCUCAGCGUCUCGACAUGAAGCCUUUCACUAAACUCGGGGACUAUCUCCCUGACAUCGAUGGAUGGCACGACAUGUUGGAGUGAUUGUUGAUAUAUGACAAUGUGUCCGUUUAGUCCAUACUUUCUGUACGACAAAACUUUGAGUUAUGCACGGCAAAACUUUAUUUGUGAUGUAAUUAAACCGUCCUCCUCCUCGAGUAGCGAAGAUCACUCUAGUUAGGGCAUUUUAGGUAUGAUGAACUUUGUUAUUUAUGCUUAUGAUAUGUUGUUUCUAUUUUGCCAAGUCUGUCUCUUUAUGUUGCUCAACUAUAUAUGUUGCAUAUCAUCGACUAAUGUGACGAUGCAGGUGCAUAGAUCAUCGAUGGAGAAGAAGUGCUACGCCAGGAGUAUAUAUACGAUGAGUGGCUGGAGUGUCAGGCAUAGGUGUACCGGUUUCCGGUUUUCGAGCGAUAGGCAGUAGUUAGUUUAGGUUCACGCUAAUGCGAGAGAGGGAUACGAACUCAUGUACUGCAUAGUUCCGCUCUCACUCAAAGUGAUAUCUCUUCUCGUGUAUAUCACUGUUUAGAUGGAUGACGAUGUAUUUGCAUGUAAUCGAGACUUGUAUCGCUAUUUUCGAGAUGAUGACGAGAGACCACUUUGUGUUGGAUGAUGAUUAUGAUCAUGACAUGAUUUGAUGAGACUAGUUGUAUGUAUAUGCUAUGAUUACAUUUGUAUGUGUAUGAUAUGCUAAAGAUUAUUGUAUAAAGCCUAUUCAAAUACAAAACAAAUAUGCAAAAAAAAUAAUAAAACUAGUAGUAGCGAGGGGGGAAAGUUAGCAGUAGCGCCGCCUUACCAGUAGCGCUUCCCUGUAAAAAGCGCUGCAGAUAAUAUCAUUAGUGCUCUUCAGUGAAGCGCGGUACAACUAUCCAUGUAUAGCAGUAGCGCCUUAUCAGUAGUGCAUCUUCCCGCGCUAUUGAUUGGCCUAAAAUCCGCGCUGCUGCUAGGCUUUUCCCUAGUAGUGUACCCCUCUUUUACACUACCAGGGAAAUGCUUAUAGGUAGGACAUCAGUAGUAGCGCUGGAAAAAAAGGAAUCGCUGCUGCUAAUUAGCAGCAGCGCUUGUCCGGGUACGCACUACAAUUAAUGCUUUAGAAGUAGCGUUGGAAACAGAAAAGCGCUACUACUAAGUGGGACCCAACGCUCCCACCGACGCUAGUUGUAGUAGCAACGCUGUCCAGAAAACAACGCCACUACUAAUAUUUUAGCAGUAGUGCUUUAUUUUACAGCACCGCUACUACUAACAGGCCUCACUUUGUAGUAACGCUGCUUCCUGAAAAGCGUUGCUGCUAAGUAGCAUAGCAGCAACGCUUUCUGGGAAGCAGCGCUACUGCUAGUUGCGGCUGGUGCCACGUUUUCACCCCCUCCUCCUCCCCCUCCUUUCCCCACUUCUUUCCCCCCUCUCCACCAUUGUUGCCCUUCUUCUCUCUUCCUCCUACCUCUCUUCUAUCCUCAUUAAUGUCCCCCUCCAUCAUAACUCUCCUCCAUAAAUGGUCUUCUCAUCUCUCUCUUCCUCGUACCUCUCUUCUUUCCCCAUUAAUGCCCCCUCCACCAUAACUCCCUCUCUAUUAGUUAGCUAGAGUCAUUUCUCCUCCCCAACAACUAGAUCUAGCUAGCUAUUUAGCCAUCCACACUUUCGAUCCCUAUAGGUAGCGAAAGGCCUCAUCUAACCGUGCUCGGUCUCUCUCGGGAGAUAUAUAGGUGAGUAAAAAGUUGUUCAUUUCAAGAAUGGGAAUAUGUGUGUUUGGGGUAUGGAGAGAUUUGUGCGAGUGACAUGCCCCCGAGUUGCUUAUGUUUUGCCAAAAUGUCUAUUUAUUUCCGUUUCGGUGAAUUUCAAGCAAAAUCGACAUGUCCUACUUUUAGGCAAGGCCAUGCCAAAUUUUUAUAUGACUUUGAUGCAUGGAUGCAUUUUGUUUAUAACCCUUUUGCUUGUUAUACCGUGCAGUCGGUCAUGAAGGUGAGUGGAUGGAACAUGGAGCGAUACAUGCAAUCCGCGGUGAUGGACAUGUAUGCAAAUAAUCGGACUAGGAUUAGAUGUUCGUGUGCAAGAUGCAAAGAAGGAGUCCUUUUGGACCCUUUUGAUCGUGGCACUUUGAAGGCGCACCUGCUGAUGAAUGGUUUUAUGGAUGGCUAUACUCGAUGGAUAAGUGAAGAAGAUGAUGAUGAUGACGAGGACGUCCACAUGGCAGGGAAUAACGACAUGGGGCUAGAUGAAGAGAUGACCGAUUGACACGAAGACGAUGAUGGCGCCGGACAUGGCGGUGGGGAAGAGUCCGGAAAUGAUGGCGGCAGAGAAGAUUCUGGACACGCGAAGAAGAGUCCGGACAUGGCGGAGAAGAGGCAGACGUCAUGCUGCAGUCUUCGACGCUACUAAGUGCAGUCGUGCAAGACCCUCAUGUUCGAGACCUCCUAGCAAGAGUACGACUAGCGAGAGAGUUGCUUCUAGAGAGUAGGCAAAGCUGGUGCAACUUAAAGUAGACUCGAAGACUCCAUUGUAUGACGGUUGCGACCCGACAUGACCCGCUUGAGUUUCACGCUCGAACUUCUAAAGACGAAGGCCAACAAAUGGACAGACAAAAGCCUCGAUGAGCAUUUGAAGUAUCUACAUAAUAAAGUUCUUCCCGCGGGGAAACUAUGUCGUAAUAGUGUUCAGGAGGCCAAGAAAAUCAUUUGCCAUUUUGAUUUGCCGCACAUUAGGUACCAUGCAUGCAUCAACAAUUGCAUCAUUUAUCCGGGGAAGCACACGAAAAAAACCAGCAGUCCAGUGUGCAAUGCUUCUCGAUACAAGAAGGCAGGAAAGAAAGCUCCUCAGAAAGUUGUAUGGUACUUUCUGAUCACUCCCCGUCUGCAGUGGUAUUUAGUAGAUCCUAAGGAAGCAAAGCUCAUGCGCUGGCACACGGAGAGGAAGAAGCCCGACGAUGGAGAUGAUCCGAAGCUGAGACACCUCAUAGAUGGUAGCCAGUGGAGAGUGACGGUGUCCUGGACUAGGGGGUACUCAACACGUCGUCUCCCGAUCAGUUGGAUUGGGCCCAGGACCCCCAUGGCCGUAUACUCAUGGGCCAGUCCGGACAGCUGCCGCAUACAAGGAAGAAUCCACAAGACUUGGCGAUCAAGACAAGGACUCCUCCCCCACCGGCGUAUUCGGCUAGGACUCAUGUUAUCCUAGGCCUCUGGUGCAUUAUAUAAACCAAGGCCAGGCUAGUCGAUAGAGAUAUACAACAAUCAUACCAUAGGCUAGCUUCUAGGGUUUAGCCUCCUUGAUCUCGUGGUAGAUCUACUCUUGUACUACCCAUAUCAUCAAUAUUAAUCAAGCAGGACGUAGGGUUUUACCUCCAUCGAGAGGGCCCGAACCUGGGUAAACAUUGUGUCCCUUGCUUCCUGUUACCAUUGAUCCUAAGACGCACUGCUUGGGACCCCCUACCCGAGAUCCGCCGGUUUUGACACCGACAUUGGUGCUUUCAUUGAGAGUUCUGCUGUGUGAUCGGCGAAAGGAUCAAUGGCUCGACAGUAGGUUAACUGCGACGUUGGCUUCUUCAUCACCAGCUCGACUGGUCACCUUGGCUUCACCGAGGACUGCACCCUACCUCCGACCGUCAUGUUCGGAAGAGGGCCUUCAUCAACACCAACUCUGAUCUCUAUCAAGAUCAUGGAGGAGUCAUCCAGGGAGCUCGGGGGCUCAACAUCAACAUUGCCCUCAGGCGACCGUGCUAUGUCACCACUUCGGAGUGCCGAGCUCUUUGCUCCGCCACCUCGGGACCGGCUCUGGGAUGGAACCUUGUCCAGCAUCAAGCUCGGACCGCGUCAUCAGUACCGAACACAUUAACCAGCUAAGUUGUCUUCAUGCUCAAAGUUUUAAACUUGUGUUCGGCUCGGCCAAGCAUUAUACUUUUUUGGAAAAAAGUUGCUUGUAAAAAUUUCCUUGUCCAAACUUUGUUUGUGACGCGCAAAUUCAAAUACCCCGUUUACUUGGGGGGCUUCCUUCAUGAAGCUUUUUCCUCUCGCAUAUGGUUAUACUUGUACGGCUUCGUUCCUUGUUCGUGUAUUACGCCACAAUAUGCACCAUAUUGACUUAAGCGAUUUGCAAGCUGGGUUGCCUGGCUCCUGUGCUUACCCCUACGUUCCCGAUUGUUCGGCUAGGGAGUAAAGGGAGCACCUCUGCGAUUGUCACGAUCGGGUCACCCGAGCCGGACCUCAGACUGGGUGAAGCCGAAAGCUAGCGCUCUUAUUGUUUUCAAUCAUGGUCGGCACACAACGGAACUCAUGAGUACAAAAAAUCUGUUGCUCAAGUCUCAUAAUAAUAAUGAGCACCGAAGAAAGGUAUCGGUGGGGGUACUAUUUUCUUCGAAGAUGCUUCUUACACUUUGCAGUAAUAUAGCAUAAGUUCCCUGAGCGCGCUUUGUCUGUUACAGCCUUAUGGCCUAUUGCCUGGUUAUUGGAAACACCGUCGAUAUUCUCGACAGAUGGAGUACAUAACACUUUUCGGUCCUUGACCGAAGAGGGAGAAGCCGACGGUCGGUUAAGACGCGUUUAAAGUUCGGUUGAACAUAGAUAUGAUAUAAGUACUUCGGUACAUGCAAUCAUUCUUUUACCCAAGUCACUUGGGGGCUCUUAAAUUUAUAUGAGCCGUUUUAUGAUAAGUGUUUUUCUUCUUAGUCGUUGCAAAGUUUUUAUUAUUAUUUAUCACUCCUUUUUUCGACACAAGUGUGUGGUCACUAGCCGGGGAGCCUAAUUUGUCUCUCAAAGAAGCCGUAGGCUGACCCACUUGAAGUUUUGAGAUAGGAUGUGUCAUGUUAAAGCACGGCAAAAGCACCUUUUUUUAAAGUCCAAUUUUCGGAUUGGCACCGAACACUUGAUCUAGUUCGGACAUUAACCUUUUGAAUAAGUUUUUUGGCUUUUCGAGCCCAUGGCACUUUUAAACUAUUUGUGUGUUUUUAGCACAAGUCUCGCAGUGCAACGCCGGACACCUUUAGAGAAUCGGCAAAAACAUUCUCGGAUAUUGCUAUAUAUGCAUCGGUUUCGAAUUGUGUCUUCGGUCAAUAGUUGGGUUGCCCGGCUCCUGCGCUUGCCUCCUAUAUUCCGCUUUGUUCGGCUAGGUGUGCAAAGAGAGAACCACUGCGAUUGUGCUUUCAGCUCACAUGGUUAAGCACCUCAGUGGAGAAAGCCGAAAAAAAACUGUCACAAUAAGCGUAAACUGGUCGGCGAUCCGAUGACGGUGUUAAACGACGGGCCAUUCAUAACCAUAGCCGAAGUGUUUACGGCUUGACCUCGACUAUCGCCGAACACUACCGGGGGCUAUUAACUGGCCUCCCAAACUAAAUCCUCGAUAUUUUGCUCUUACACUGGAGCUGAGGUUUCAUGAUCAUGCUUAGCAUGACAACCCAAAGAAAGGAACCGAUAGCGGGACUAUUUUCUUUGGAAGACAUUUCUUCUGUUAAACAGUAAUAUAACAUGUCUCUCCGCGUACCUUUGUUUAUAAAACCGUAUGGCCAGAUUGCCUCGUUUGUUGUAAAUCUUUGCCCUCAUAAAGGCUUUAUAAAGUAGGACAAACACUCCUCGGCUAUUGGCCGAGGAGGUAGAAGCUGAUGGUCGGUCAACAAAGUUUUAUACAAUGCGGAUCCGAGCAUUAAUGACGUAAAGUACUUGGAUACAUAGAGUCAUUACACAUAAUUUGUGAUUUUACUAUGGAUAUCGAUCCUUAAUUCGGCCUCCCGUGCCUGCAUUAAGGCUCGGGGGCUACUGGGCUUCGGGCUUGUUAUUUACAAAUAUUAAAGGGGCACAUCAAUCCCCUGAUCUAGUGUUACCACCCGACCAGUGUCUUGGGGGCUACUGCAUUGCCUGUUCUAUGCAGAAAAUUUUAAGUGCAAUACAGUUUCCGAGGAGAUUUUGAUCCUCAGGUUGGUCGGCCACACCCAACCCGAGUCUUGAGGACUGAGCACGCCGCUUUUUGUGUCCCGAAGUAUUCUGCCGAGCUAGGACUUGAUCCUCAAACCGAUUUUGCAAAUCAACCUGAGUCUCAGCAGCUACGGGGAUCAGCGGUCUUAUGUCAUCCUUCAUGGGCAUCUCGGGUUUUAGACCGAUACCCACCUUGAGGGCUACUGGCUAUGUAUCUCGGCAGAGAAUAAAUUACACCAAUCAAAAAUAUUGGCAAAAAUCAGCCCACAUUCGGGGUGGUGCACCACCUGGGAAGCUGUCCGGCAUAAAGCUCGGGCACUAGUGGCUGGCUCCAUAGAGAGCAUUUCCGGCGUUAAGCUCGGCUAAACUCCUUCAAACUUCUUUGAACCAAGGUGAUUUACGACACCUCGGAUAUAGUCCGGCGUUGGAGCUCGGAUACAUAGUCUGGCGUUGGAGUUCGGAUACAGUCCGGUGUUGGAGCUCGGAUACAGUCCGGCGUUGGAGCUCGGAUACAUAGUCCGGCGUUAGAGCUGGUAAGCAGUCCGACAUUGGUGCUCGACUGCAAAAGAUACCUCGAAUGCAGUCCGGCGUUAGAGCUGGUAAGCAGUCCGACAUUGGUGCUCGACUGCAAAAGAUACCUCGAAUGCAGUCCGGCGUUGGAGCUCGGAUGCAAGAGGACGUUGCCGCCCGGGAACAACUUCAAACCCGAGGUGUGGCAUAAAAAUAACAAGGCAUUGAUAAAGGCCGGAAACUUAAAGGGGCUCCUCGGAUACCCGACGUAUAAACUUGUCGAAUGCAUUUCGGUAAUCCUCAAGAUCGAAGAUGAGAAGAUUUGUUGAACCAGUUUUCAAGACCGGCAACCGAAGAUGAAGAACAGUUCGGAAGAAUCGAGGAGCGUCCCUAACUUGAAGACCGGUUCAGGGGCUACUGACGGUGUCCUGGACUAGGGGGUACUCAACGCGUCGUCUCCCGAUCAGUUGGAUUGGGCCGAGGACCCCCAUGGCCGUAUACUCAUGGGCCAGUCCGGACAGCUGCCGCAUACAAGGAAGAAUCCACAAGACUUGGCGAUCAAGACAAGGACUCCUUCCCCACCGGCGUAUUCGGCUAGGACUCAUGUUAUCCUAGGCCUCUGGUGCAUUAUAUAAACCGAGGCCAGGCUAGUCGAUAGAGAUAUACAACAAUCAUGCCAUAGGCUAGCUUCUAGGGUUUAGCCUCCUUGAUCUCGUGGUAGAUCUACUCUUGUACUACCCAUAUCAUCAAUAUUAAUCAAGCAGGACGUAGGGUUUUACCUCCAUCGAGAGGGCCCGAACCUGGGUAAACAUUGUGUCCCUUGCUUCCUGUUACCAUUGAUCCUAAGACGCACUGCUUGGGACCCCCUACCCGAGAUCCGCCGGUUUUGACACCGACAGAGAGAAUUCAACACUUUAUAUGGAUUUGAUGUAGAAGAUCCAAGGAACAUCGUGCUUGGUGCGAGUACCGAUGGCAUGAAUCCGUUUGGAAACCAGAACACCAACCACAACACAUGGCUCGUCUUUGUAUGGAUGUACAACAUCCCCCCAUGUAAGUGCAUGAAGACAAAGUACAUACACAUGAGCAUGCUGUUUCAAGGGUCGAAACAACCGGGAAAUAAUAUUAACCUGUAUGUGGGGCUUCUGAAAGAGGAGCUAGACACGUUAUGGGAAACACCGGCAUGGACAUGGGAUGCCAACAAAGGAGAGUAUUUCUAUAUGAGAGCCACGCUGAUGAUGACGGUGCACGACUAUCUCGGUUACGGUACACCUCAGGCCAGGUGUGCCACAGAUACUGCGGAUGCACGAGGUGCAUGGAUGAUACAACGUCUCAGCAGCUUAGGUCAAUGAAAGAUGUCGGGUCUGGGAAAAUUGUGUACAUGGGGCAUCGUAGAUGGCUCGAGAAGGAUGACCCGUGGAGAAAGCAUAGAUAUCUAUUCAAUGGGUUGGCUGAGCAUCGAGGACCUCCACAUAAGUGGAGCGACGCCGCAAAUCAACGAGCUAUUGAAAAACUGGGAAUAGUGCCCCGCGCCGGGAAAGAUGAAAAAGGCACAGGAGCCGCUGCUGAAGGUAUGGAAAACUAGGUCUGUUUUCUGGGACUUGGAGUACUGGCCCAAUCACGACACGCCUCAUCAAAUGCAUAUCACGAAGAAUGUCCUCGAGAGCUUGCUUGCCACACUGAUGAACAUGCUGGAGAAGACCAAGGACAGGCUGAAGGCAAGGAAAGACUUGGAAGAUUUGAAGACUAGGAAAUAUCUCCACCGCAAAAGUCGAUGGAGGAGACGAAGAUGGAGACGGAGGAGGGGGAAAGGGGCAGAAAAUUCAACAAGAAGGAGGAGAAUUAUUGCCCCCCUUCUUGCUUCACCUUAAGUGCGAAAGAUAUCGAUCAAUUCAUCAAGUGCCUUAUGGGAAUCAAAAUCAGCUCCGGUUACUGUGGAAGAUAAUAAGAUUUCUAGACCCCAAGAAGAAAAAGGUUCAGCGGGAUGAAGUAUCAUGACUAUCACGUGAUGAUGACGCAGAUACUCCUGGUUGCCAUUAGAGGGAUAAUGGACAAGCACGUCCGUGACACGCUUACUGGUCUCUGCAACUUCUUUGACGUUAUUUCUCGAAAGUCCAUAAGUGUGAAGCAGCUCCCAAGGCUACAGGAAGAGAUCGUUGUCAUACUAUGUGAGCUUGAGAUGUACUUCUGCUACGUCUUGAGCUUGUGUUGGUUUUCCUUGAGGAGGAAAGGGUGAUGUAGCAAUAGUAGCAUAAGUAUUUCCCUCAGUUUUUGAGAACCAAGGUAUUAAUCUAGUAGGAGGCUCCUCAAAAGUCCCACGCACCUACACAAACAAACAAAGAACUCGCAACCAACGCAAUAAAGGGGUUGUCAAUCCCUUCACGGCCACUUGCGAAAGUGAGAUCUGAUAAAGAUAGUAUGAUAAGAUAAAUAUAUUUUUGGUAUUUUAUAAUAUAGAUGCAAAAAGUAAAGAUGCAAAUAAAAGUAGAUUGAAAGCUUAUAUGAUAAAAGAUAGACCCGGGGGCCAUAGGUUUCACUAGUGGCUUCUCUCAAGAUAGCAUAAGUAUUACGGUGGGUGAACAAAUUACUAUCGAGCAAUUGAUAGAAAAGCUAAUAAUUAUGAGAUUAUCUAGGCAUGACCAUGUAUAUAGGCAUCACAUCCAUGACAAGUAGACCGACUCCUGCCUGCAUCUACCACUAUUACUCCACACAUCGACCGCUAUCCAACAUGCAUCUAGAGUAUUAAGUUCAUAAGAACAGAGUAACACUUUAAGAAAGAUGACAUGAUGUAGAGGGAUAAACUCAAGCAAUAUGAUAUAAACCCCAUCUUUUUAUCCUCGAUGGCAGCAAUACAAUACGUGCCUUGCAACCCUUUCUGUCACUGGGUAAGGACACCGCAAGAUUGAACCCAAAGCUAAGCACUUCUCCCAUGGCAAGAAAGAUCAAUCUAGUAGGCCAAACCAAACUGAUAAUUCGAAGAGACUUGCAAAGAUAACUCAAUCAUACAUAAAAGAAUUCAGAGGAGAUUCAAAUAUUUCUCAUAGAUAAACUUGAUCAUAAACCCACAAUUCAUCGGAUCUCGACAAACACACCACAAAAAGAGUUUACAUCGAAUAGAUCUCCACAAGAGAGGGGGAGAACAUGGUAUUGAGAUCCAAAAAGAGAGAAGAAGCCAUCUAGCUAAUAACUAUAGACCCGAAGGUCUGUGGUAAACUACUCACAACUCAACGAAGGGGCUAUGGUGUUGAUGUAGAAGCCCUCCAUGGCCGAUUCCCCCUCCGGCAGAGCACCGGCGAAGGCUCCAAGAUGGGAUCUCGCGGAUACAAAAGGUUACGGUGGUGGAAAUUGUUUUUCGUUGGCUCCCUGGAUGUUUUCAGGGUACGUAGGUAUAUAUAAGAGGAAGAAGUACAUCGGUGGCUGCUCGAGGGGCCCAGGAGACAGGGGAGCACGCCCAGGAGGGGUGGGCGCGCCAUCCUAUCUCCUGGCCACCUCGUUUGCUUCUUGACUUGCACUCCAAGUUCUCUGGAUCACGUUCAUUCCAAAAAUCAUGCUCCCGAAGGUUUCAUUCCGUUUGGACUCCGUUUGAUAUUCCUUUUCUUCGAAAUACUAAAAUAGGCAAAAAUCAGCAAUACGGGCUGGGCCUCCGAUUAGUAGGUUAGUCCCAAAAAUGAUAUAAAUGUGUAAAAUAAAUCCCAUAAACAUCCAAAAGGGGUAAUAUAAUAGCAUGGAACAAUCAAAAGUUAUAGAUAAGUUGGAGACGUAUCAAGCACCCCCAAGCUUAAUUCCUGCUCGUCCUCAAGUAGGUAAAUGAUAAAAACAGAAUUUUUGAUGUGGAAUGCUACCUAGCAUAAUAUGUAAUUUUCUUUAUUGUGGCAUGAAUGUUCAGAUCCAAAUGAUUCAAGAUAAAAGCUUAUAAAACAUAAAAAAUAAUAAUGCUUCGAAGCAUACUAACAAAUAAUCAUGUCCUAUCAAAAUAGCAUAGCCAAAGAAAGCUUAUCCCUACAAAAUCAUAUAGUUAGGCCAUGCUUCAUUUUCAUUACACAAAAUACUCCCAUCAUGCACAACCCCGGUUUCAGCCAAGCAAUUGGUUCAUACUUUUUAACGCGCUUCAGCUUUUUCAACUCUUACGCAAUACAUGAGCGCAAGCCAUGGACAUAGCACUAUGGUGGUAUAUGGUGGUGGUUGUGAGGACAAAAAGGGAGAAGAUAGUCUCACAUCAACUAGGCGUAUUAACGGGCUAUGGAGAUGCCCAUCAAUAGAUAUCAAUGUGAGUGAGUAGGGAUUGCCAUGCAACGGAUGCACUAGAGCUAUAAAUAUAUGAAAGCUCAACAAAAGAAACUAAGUGGGUAUGCAUCCAACUUGCUUGCUCACGAAGACCUAGGGCAUUUUGAGGAAGCCCAUCAUUGCAAUAUACAAGCCAAGUUCUAUAAUGAAAAAUUCCCACUCAGUAUAUGAAAGUGACAACAUAGGAAACUCUCUAUCAUGAAGACCAUGGUGCUACUUUGAAGCACAAGUAUGGAAAAAAAUAGUAGCAUUGUCCCUUCUCUCUUUUUCUCUCAUCUUAAUUUUUUUCUCUCUUUUUUUCUCUCUUUUUUUCUCUCUUUUUUUUCUUUUUUUUUCUUUUUUUUCUUUUUUUCUUUUUUUCUUUUUUUUUCUUUUUGGCCUUUCUCCUUUUUUUUGGCCUUUCCUUUUUUUAAAGCCCGAAGUCUCACCCCGACUUGUGGGGGAAUCAUAUCUUCAUCAUCCUUUCCUCACUGAGACAAUGCUCUAAUAAUGAAGAUCAUCACACUUUUAUUGAUUUACAACUCAAGAAUUACAACUCAAAACUAGAACAAGAUAUGCCUCUAUAUGAAUGCCUCCGGCGGUGUACCGGGAUAUGCAAUGAAUCAAGAGCGACAUGUAUGAAAAUUAUGAAGGUGGCCUUGCCACAAAUACGAUGUCAACUACAUGAUCAUGCAAAGAGCAAUAUGACAAUGAUGAGGUAUAUCAUAAUAAACGGAAUGGUUGAAAGUUGCAUGGCAAUAUAUCUCGGAAUGGCUAUGGAAAUGCCAUAAUAGGUAGGUAUGGUGGAUGUUUUGAGGAAGGUAAAUAAUGGGUGCAUGAUACCGGCGUAAGUUGUGCGGUAUAAUAGAGGCUAGCAAAGUGAAGGAUGAGUGUGCGUAUAUCCAUGGACUCACAUUAGUCAUAAAGAACUCAUAUACUUAUUGCAAAAGUCUACUUGCCCUCAAAGCAAAGUACUACUACGCAUGCUCCUAGGGGAAGGGUUGGUAGGAGUUAACCAUCGCGCAAUCCCGACCUCCACUCAUAAGGAAGGCAAUUAAAAGAGCACCUCAUGCAACAAAUUUGUCACACAACUUUUACCAUAUGUGCAUGCUACGGGACUUGCCAACUUCAACACAAGUAUUUCUCAAUUUCAUAAUUACCCACUAGAAUGACUCUAACAUUACUACCUCUAUAUCUCAAAACAAUUAUCAAGCAUCAAAUUGAUCAUAGCAUCCAAUUCACUUCCUAUGAUAGUUUUUAUUAUACCCAACUUGGAUGCCUACCAUUCUAGGACCAAUUUUAUAAGCAUAGCAAAUACCAUAAUGUUCUAAAAGACUCUCAAAAUAAUAUAAGUGAAGCAUGAGAGACUAGAAAUUUCUUCAAAAUUAAGCCACCGCCGUGCUCUAAAAGAUAUAAGUGAAGCACUAGAGCAAAAACUAUCAAGCUCAAAAGAUAUAAGUGAAGCACAUAGAGUAUUCUAGCAAAUUCUAAUCAAGUAUGCUUCUCCCAAAAGGUGUGUACAGCAAGGAUGAUCGUGGUAAACUAAAAAGCAAAUACUAAUAUAAUACACGACGCUCCAAGCAAAACACAUAUAAUGUGGCGAAUAAAAAUAUAGUUCCAAGUAAAGUUACCAAUGAACGAAGACGAAAGAGGGGAUGCCUUCCCGGGGCAUCCCCAAGCUUAGGCUUUUAGCUAUCCUUGAAUAUAUUAGGGUGUCAUGGCAUCCCCAAGCUUAGGCUCUUGCCACUCCUUAUUCCAUAGUCCAUCAAUGCUUUACCCAAAACUUGAAAACUUCACAACACAAAACUCAACAGGAAAUCUUAUAAGCUCCGUUAGUGAAAGGAAAACAAAAUCACCACAUAAGGUACUGUAAUGAACUCAUUCUUUAUUUAUUUUGGUGUUAAACCUACUGUAUUCCAAGUUCUCUAUGGUUCAUACCACUUAAUACUAGCCAUAGAUGCAUCAAAAUAAGCAAACAACACACGUAAAACAGAAUCUGUCAAAAAUAGAACAGUCUGUAGCAAUCUGUAACUAACGCAAACUUAUGGAACUUUAAAAAUCCUACCAAAAUAGGAAGUCCUGGACAAUUUAUGUAUUGAUCAGCAGCAAAAAUAAUCAAUGCAAAAUCAUGUUUCUGUGAUUUAACAAAACUAAUUUCGUGCGUGCGAAGUUUGUGUUUUUCAGCAGAAUCAAAUCAACUAUCAUCAUAGGUUGUCCUAUAGGUUCUACUUGGCACAAACACUAAUUAAGAGAUAAAAACACAUCUAAACAGAAGGUAGAUGAAAAAUUUAUUACUAAACAGGAACAAAAACAAAAAACACAAAUAAAAUUGGGUUGCCUCCCAACUAGCGCUAUCGUUUGACGCCCCUAGCUAGGCAUAAAAGCGAAGAUAGAUCUAAGUAGUGCCAUCUUUGGCACUCAAAUCAUAAGUAGCUCGCAUGAUAGAUUCAUAAGGUAAUUUGACUUUCUUUCUUGGAAAGUGCUCCAUGCCUUUCCUUAAUGGAAAUUGGAAUCUAAUAUUCCCUUCCUUCAUAUCAAUAAUCGCGCCAAUCAUUCUAAGGAAAGGUCUACCAAGAAUAAUAGGGCAAAAAAGAUUGCAAUCUAUAUCAAGAACGAUAAAAUCUAUGGGCACCAAAUUUCUAUUUCAACAAUGAGAACAUCAUUGACCCUUCCCAUUGGCUUUUUAAUGGUGGAAUCCGCAAGGUGCAAAUUUAAAGAGCAAUCAUCAAGAUCAUGGAAACCUAGAAUAUCACAUAAAGUUUUCAUAAUCAUGGAAACACUAGCACCCAAAUCACACAAAGCAAAACACUCAUGAUCUUUAAUUCUAAUUUUUGUAGUAGGUUCCCACUCAUCAUUAAGUUUUCUAGGUAUAGAAACUUCCAAAUUAAGUUUUUCAUCAAAAGAUUGCAUCAAGGCAUCAACAAUAUGUUUGGUAAAAGCUUUAUUUUGACUAUAAGCAUGAGGAGAAUUAACAACGGAUUGCAACAAGGAAACACAACCUUCUAAAGAACAAUUGUCAUAAUCAAAUUCCUUGAAAUCCGAGAUAGUGGGUUCAAUGCUAUUUAAAGUCAUGACCUCUCCAAUCCUACUUUUACAAAAUUUAGCAUCAAGAUCUAAAAACUCUGAAUUCUUGGGACGCCUUCUAACUAAAGUUGACUCAUCUCCAGUCCCAUUAUUAUCAAGAUUCAUAUUGCAAAACAAAGAUCUAAUAGGAGACACAUCAAUAACUUUAAGAUCUCCAUCAUUAUUUUCAUCUAACUUUUCUGGUUUGGCAGCCAUCUUAUUGACUAAGGUAGCUUGCUUAUCAAAAAUUUGGGCUAUAGCAUUCUCAAGCCAGGUAAUUUGAGAGUUCACACCAUAAAAUUCCUUAUUCAUAUCAUCGAGCUCCUUAUUCAUAAACCCCAAAAAACCUUUUUUUUCUUUAAGCUCUUUUCUGAAGAAAUUAUUAUGCUCAAAUUGCAAAGUCAUAAAGCUUCUAAUAUUUGAUUCAAUCUCUCCCAACCUUCUAAGAAGGAGGUCGGUACUCUUAGGCAAGGCCAUAAGUACAAACAGGCACACAAGCAAACAGAAAAAGGCAAGCGAAAAAGAGAGGAGAAGAUUGGGAAAGAGAGGGCGAAUAAAACGACAAGGGUGAAGUGGGGGAGAGGAAAACGAGAGGCGAAUGACAAAUAAUGUAAAUGCGAGGGAGAUGAGUUUGUGAUGGGUACUUGGUAUGUCUUGACUUGAGUGAAGACCUCCCCGGCAACGGCGCCAGAAAUCCUUCUUGCUACGUCUUGAGCUUGGGUUGGUUUUCCUUGAAGAGGAAAGGGUGAUGCAACAAUAGUAGCGUAAGUAUUUCCCUCAGUUUUUGAGAACCAAGGUAUCAAUCCAGUAUGAGGCUCCUCAAAAGUCCCACGCACCUACACAAACAAACAAAGAACUCGCAACCAACACAAUAAAGGGGUUGUCAAUCCCUUCACGACCACUUGCGAAAGUGAGAUCUGAUAAAGAUAGUAUGAUAAGAUAAAUAUAUUUUUGGUAUUUUAUAAUAUAGAUGCAAAAAGUAAAGAUGCAAAUAAAAGUAGAUUGAAAGCUUAUAUGAUAAAAGAUAGACCCGGGGGCCAUAGGUUUCACUAGUGGCUUCUCUCAAGAUAGCAUAAGUAUUACGGUGGGUGAACAAAUUACUAUCGAGCAAUUGAUAGAAAAGUGAAUAAUUAUGAGAUUAUCUAGGCAUGACCUUGUAUAUAGGCAUCACGUCCAUGACAAGUAGACCGACUCCUGCCUGCAUCUACUACUAUUACUCCACACAUCGACCGCUAUCCAACAUGCAUCUAGAGUAUUAAGUUCAUAAUAACAGAGUAACGCAUUAAGAAAGAUGACAUGAUGUAGAGGGAUAAACUCAAGCAAUAUGAUAUAAACCCCAUCUUUUUAUCCUCAAUGGCAACAAUACAAUACGUGCCUUGCAACCCUUUCUGUCACUGGGUAAGGACACCGCAAGAUUGAACCCAAAUCUAAGCACUUCUCCCAUGGCAAGAAAGAUCAAUCUAGUAGGCCAAACCAAACUGAUAACUCAAAGAGACUUGCGAAGAUAACUCAAUCAUACAUAAAAGAAUUCAGAGGAGAUUCAAAUAAUUCUCAUAGAUAAACUUGAUCAUAAACCCACAAUUCAUCGGAGCUCGACAAACACACCGCAAAAAGAGUUUACACCGAAUAGAUCUCCACAAGAGAGGGGGAGAACAUGGUAUUGAGAUCCAAAAGGAGAGAAGAAGCCAUCUAGCUAAUAACUAUAAACCCGAAAGUCUGUGGUAAACUACUCACAACUCAUCGGAGGGGCUAUGGUGUUGAUGUAGAAGCCCUCCAUGGUCUAUUCCCCCUCCGGCGAAGCACCGGCGAAGGCUCCAAGAUGGGAUCUCGCGGAUACAGAAGGUUACAGCGGUGGAAAUUGUUUUUCGUUGGCUCCCUGGAUGUUUUCGGGGUACAUAGGUAUAUAUAGGAGGAAGAAGUACGUCGGUGGCCGCUCGAGGGGCCCAGGAGACAGGGGGCGCGCCCAGGAGGGGUGGGUGCGCCCUCCUAUCUCAUGGCCGCCUCGUUUGCUUCUUGACUUGCACUCCAAGUUCUCUGGAUCACGUUCAUUCCAAAAAUCACGCUCCCGAAGGUUUCAUUCUCUUUGGACUCCGUUUGAUAUUCCUUUUCUUCGAAAUACUAAAAUAGGCAAAAAUCAGCAAUACGGGGUGGGCCUCCGGUUAGUAGGUUAGUCCCAAAAAUGAUAUAAAUGUGUAAAAUAAAGCCCAUAAACAUCCAAAAGGGGUAAUAUAAUAGCAUCAAACAAUCAAAAAUUAUAGAUACGUUGGAGACGUACCAACUUCCUGCCCGCGUUCUUUGACGUCAUGGUGCAUCUGUGUGUCCACGUCAUGGACGACCUCAUCGACCUCGGGUCGACAUUCGUUCAUAGCAUGAUGUCGUUCGAGAGGAUGAAUGGGGUCAUCAAAGGAUUCGUUCAUAACAUGUCCCAUCCCGAUGGGAGCAUCGUCCAGGGGUAUCUGACGCAUGAGUGGAUCUCCUUUUGCGAGAAUUGUAUAGGCACCGGAGACCCUGUUGUUGGUUUGCCCGUCAAGAAGCACGAUGGGAGGCUCGAAGGAGAAGGUGACAACAAUAGCCGGAGGGAAUUGCACGUGGACUACUCGGAUUGACGGAACGACUUUGACAGGGCUAACUUAGUAGUGCUACAACACCUACAUGUGGUAGAUGAUUAUGUGGCAUGGCACAAAGAAAGCAUCGCAAAGAAGUACCGUGAUAAGGGGAUGCUCAAGACGGACGACGAAGUUACUGUAGAGCACAAUGCUACAUUCUUGCGUUGGUUCAAAGAGCAAGUUCUUAAAAAUCCCCCGGAAGAGGUCAGUUUGGAUGGAUUGCUCAUACACACCUUAGCACAUGGCCCAACGCCCAAAACCACGACCUAUCAGUCAUACGAUAUCAACGGGUACAUGUUCUACACGGAGGCCAAAGACAUGGACAGUGAUUACCAGAACUCCGGCGUGACAAUUGAAUGUGUGACCGAUGCCAACGGCACAACUGGAAGAUUCUACGGAAGGGUCGAAGAGAUCUGGGAGCUUGACUAUGCUGGAAUGCUUGAUGCGACGAUGUUUCGUAUCAGAUGGGCUAAGGACGUCGUAAGAGAAAAUAAGUAUUUCACUACCAUGUGUAUACCCGACACGAAGAGCACUCCCGUGAACAUUAACGUCAUUGCCAAAAAUGAGGCAUGAGUACACGCUAAGCAUGUGACACAAUGCUUCUUCAUAACCGACCCGGCCAAUCCCAGCCGCUUUGUCGUGAGGAGAGGCAAAAGGAGCAUGGCUGAAGUCUCUUCUUCGUCUCGAGGCGCCCAGUAUCACACCAAUGCCACCUUCUCAAGAAGGUAUGAACACCACCCCACCUACCAAAUUACCUACACCUGUCGUGGCGGGUGAUAGCAGACAACGCAAGGGAGAGCCUCCAUUAGUGCCAGAUGAUGUCGCCCCCAUUGUCGAAGAAGCAAAUGUUGAUGAUGACAUGGAGGAGGAUGAUGAUGACCCAGACAAGUAUUUCAAUACCGCCUAUGAUGAUGGAGGAUUGAUGGCUCAGGAGGACGAAGACUCGGGCUAUAAUCAUGGAGACGAUGACUUGAUGCUGCCUGAUUUGCCAGAGCCGGAAUGUCCUAAGGCAGAAUGCAAAAAGUCUCUCUUCAAGCGAUCCUCACAGGAGACGCCUCCAGAUUCCGCCUCUACCCAGCAACAACCCGAGGGACAUCCACUGAUUAGCCCAAUGACACUAGGGGGUGGUUAGGGAAGGUAUGGUGGGCUCACUACCGCCACUCACCAAGAAGAAAACGAGGAGACCCGACAGGAAAGGCCCUAAAGGCGCCAGAGUUGCUUCAAGUAGCCAACCGCCUCUGAAGCCUCGGGUGGUAGACAGAAUACCCGUCGAAGGUGCGAAUCGUUUCCAUGUCACCGGCGAACCGAUCCUACCUACGAAAGCGCUAGAGCACAUACUGAACAAUGAUCUAGGAGAUUCCAUGAAGAUCUGCCGGCCAGAGAGAAAAGUCUUCUCAUCUUGGAAAAACCAGGAUACCCGCUUUACGCAGCUCAGGUGCCGGGUGGGAAGUUGUACGUUGAGAGAUGGCCCGCGGAUAAGUUCAUCCUAUGAUUUGACUACAUCUACGACAUGUUCCACAUGACCAAGCUAGAUUUCUAGUUCAUCCGCAUGUAUUCGCCGUAUCUCAACUACUUCAUCAGGAUCGAGAACAUAAAAUAUUUGCAUCGCGGACCCAUACUAUAUGCACGAGAGCUUCUUCGAAGUAUGCAAAGAGCACCGUGACUAUGCGAGCAGGUACAUCACGGACUUCAUGAUUGCUAAUAAGGACAAGGAAGCGAUGCUCCUGCCUUAUCAUCCCACGUAAGUCAUCCACGCAUAUCCUUUCAUAAGUGUGAAUCAUUCCUUUGCAAUCAUGGAGGCUAAUUUGAGGUGUACUUCAUUUGCGCAGUGGGGGGAGUGUCCUCAUCGUUUUGUACUCAGAAUACUCCCAUGCUAUGUACUUGGAAUCAUCGAACAACAUCAAGAAAAAGGAUUACAAGCACAUAAAGAGUGUUCUCGAUAGGGCCCUAUUAACCUUCAGCCUAUCUGGUGGAUAUAUCAAGCUGAAAAAGUACAGGAAGAACGGGGUGGUUUUCGGCCAUAAGACUGACUUCUGCUGCAUCUAGCAACCGCACACCAGUAAGGCUAAUGGAUUCUACCUCAUGCAUCACCUGCUCGAGUACAGAAGGGAUAAUCAACGCCUUCGCAUGUCAGCUACUACCAACAAUGACAAGAUUGUCAACUGGGCCACAAGCAUAGGAAAGACACCGGAUCAUCGAAUCCGAGUUGAGUUUUAUCAUGUACAGUGUGAACUUGCCCGAGUGAUCAUGAAGAAGGUCCUCGAACCAAUAGGGAUAUUCUACCAUGGGCCAAUCACGCAGGAUGAUGUCCGAGCACUGCUUGACGCUUAGUGUCUGGACCUGAAGCCUUUCAAGAAGCUUGGGUGCUUCCUCCCUGACUAUGAAGAUUGGAACGCCGACAUGGAGGACUAAUUGUCGAUGACAAUGUGUCACUACUGUCUUUCUACCGCAAAACUUUGAAUUUAUGCACGGCGAAACUACGUGAUGUAAUUAAAUCGUGGUCCUGAGCUAGCGUAGAUCGCUCUAGUUAAUUAGUUUGGGUAUGAGGAACUUCGUCAUUUAUGUUUACUAUAGCUUGCUUGUAUUUUUCUAAUUAUGCCUCUUUGUUUCCUUAAGUACAUUAUGUUGCAUAUUAUCGUUCAAUUCAUCAACUGAUGAUGCAGGUACAUAGAUCAGAGAUGGUGAAGGACUGCUACACCGUGUUCGUCUGGAGGGUUCCAGGAGUCUACGACCACUGGCCAGACGCUCAGGCCUAGGUGGACAACUACCCGGGUGCUAGCCACAAAGGGUUUGACAGCAAAGCUGAAGCAAAGUAGUUACUUGACGUGGACGCUCCGGCAAGAGCGAGGGCGGGACGCCGGUGCCUCAAGUACUACAUAGUCGCGGUCUUGCUCAUGCUGAUCGCUCUUCUCUUCUACAUCAUGAUUUAGAUAGAGAUGAUGAAACUUGUGCGUGUGACAUGACCAUGCAGUUGCACUUAUUCGAGACAUGACAUGACUUGUGUAUCGCUAUUUUUGAGAUGUGAUGAUAUUUUUGUUGAAUGAUGAUGAUGAUGACGGUAUGACGAGACUAUUGUAUGUGUAUGAUAUGAUGAGAAUAGUGUAUGUUUAUUGUGAUCUGAUGAAACUACUGUAUAAAGCCUAUACAAAUACAUCACAAAUACGUAGAGGAGGUAUGAGUCUAUGAAAGCAGGAGUAUUAGCAGUAGCGCUUGACUUUCUACAGCGAGAUAGUUAGCAGUAGCACUGGUUAGUGCAGCGCUACUGGUAACCAUACUUUGCAGCAGCACUGCACCAACCAGUGCUACUACUACAACUUAGCUGUAGCGUGUUAGCAGUAGCGCUGGACCUAGCGCUACUGAUAUAUGUAUUUCAAGCGCUACUACUGGGUUUUCCCUAGUUGUGUUAGCAAGGUUAUCUCUAGUCAUGAAUUUGUUGUGUGAGAGAAGCCAUAGAAAAACUUGCACCCUAGAGGAACCACAAUAGACCAAACAGAGGGUAUGUAUAUAUCCCCUAAAGUUUAUUAUACUAUACAAAGAUCUAGUGGUGUAUUUUCCCUUGGAAUCAUGUUGCCAGACAAGGUCAUCUUCAUCGCAUAGGAAGUUGGUACUCAAAAUGAUUUGCUCAUGGUGUUGGAAGUAUGCCCUAGAGGCUAAUUUAGAGUUAAUAUUCUAUGCCAUAACUGCUAUGAUCCUUGAAUAUGCGAUUCAGUGGAAAACUCAUAUGCACGUAUAUAAUGAUAAAUGGUAAAAUAAGAUUCCUAGUCACGCCUCUAAGACUUGCUCAAGUGUUGUUGGUGAUCACGUUUCCUAGAUCUUGAGAUAUUGUUAAGUGUGUAAGGAUAUUCUCAAAACAAUCUUGAGGGUAUGCCGUAAGAAGAACGAUCAUAUUGAAUCGACCCAAACUUGUUUGUUAUACUUUGAGAUAAUAUAGUCAUAAGUCAAUUGCUAUAACUCGGACUGUUAACUUGCGAUUUUAGUUCCCUAGACCAUGAGAGUAUCGUAGUCACUUCUUAUCGUACGAUGAGCUUUGGGGUUGCUCAAACGUCAUCAGUAAUUUGGUGAUCAUAAUGACAACUUACAGGUUCAUCAGAAAGUAUGACAAGUGAAAUGAUAGCUCAAGAGUGGAAUUUGCUCCGCUGACGAUGGAGAGAUAUUCUUAGGUCCCUCUCGAUGUAACAACAUCCAUCAUCGUCUGGCCAAACACAUGUCACUUCCUCACGGGGAUGCCGGAACACGAUAAGAAGAAGGAAGAACAAAACCGGCAAUGUGGAGACCGGUAUAGUGAGCAUGUGUAUGACUCAAGAGUAUAACAAUAUAUCUCUCGGGUUUUGUAAAGUAUAGAGAAGCAAAGGAAACAUCGUGCGAUAACCAAAGGUUCAAUUCAAUGUCAUUCGUGUAAUCAUAGGGAUCGAUAUGGACGUCCACGGUUCCGCUAUCAGUCAUUGAACAAAGGGGUUUCAUUAAUGUCUAUGGUUUACGGAACCUAUAGGGUCACAAGCUUAAGGUAAUCACGAUCCGAUGAGUGUUAGUAGGACAAGAGUAUCGGGGAUUUAAUUGUGAAAUAGUUUCUUUAAUAUCCGGAAUAGUUCCUAGAGGAACCGGAAGCAUUUCGGGGUCAUCGGAAGAGUUUCAGAGUUUAUUGGGCAAUACCGGUAUUACUCAUAUAUAAUAUGUAGGUGGAAAAUGUUCCUACUGAUGUUAAAUUAUAUAUAAAAGGCUCUAGUAAUUUUUGGAGGGCUUUAUAAUUAUUUAAAUAUCAACGNNNNNNNNNNNNNNNNNNNNNNNNNNNNNNNNNNNNNNNNNNNNNNNNNNNNNNNNNNNNNNNNNNNNNNNNNNNNNNNNNNNNNNNNNNNNNNNNNNNNNNNNNNNNNNNNNNNNNNNNNNNNNNNNNNNNNNNNNNNNNNNNNNNNNNNNNNNNNNNNNNNNNNNNNNNNNNNNNNNNNNNNNNNNNNNNNNNNNNNNNNNNNNNNNNNNNNNNNNNNNNNNNNNNNNNNNNNNNNGGAACCCAACUCCUCCUUCCCUUGGUCGGCUCCCCAAGGAGGCUUUCCCUCCUUGCUGGCUGCCCUUCUCUCUCCCCCACUAGUGGAGGUAUUGCCCCUUUUCUUCAUACAAGUUUUACCUGCCUCCCUAGCCCAAUACUACUAGUUCUAAUUCAGAUAAUUAGAGCUAGAUCUAGUUCCUCUAAUCCUUAUAAUUAGAAGCCUUGAGUGGCUCUAAUCUUCUCUAAUUCUCUGGCGGCAAUUAGUUCUGGACGGUGAAGCGCUGCCGGAUCGUGAAGGUCGUAUGCUUGCAAACUGUAGAGGGGUCGUGCUUUCGGUCUUCAGUUCGAGGCGGUUCGCGGGAUCGUUCAUUAAUAGUUCGAGGGACUCCAAGUACAAUCUACACCGACUCGUCUGGUUCCGCUGCAUACUUGGAGUUGGUAAUGAUCAUGAUUCAAUUCCCUAAUGCACCUUCAUAUUGUUCCCGGGUGUCGGAAGGCCAAUUUGUUUUAUACUACGUUCCCCAACACAAGGCACAACUUUCCAUCAUGACAGCGUGAAGACCCACCCCUCCCCCACCCACCCACCCCCCGUGCGCGAAGUCAACCUGAUGGUAUUUUUAUCCUAGGCAUGUACUAGGGUCACACCAUGUUGAUGACAAAUUAAAGGGGCCAGAAUUGUACUGAUAAUGCAGAUGUGCCAAAGCAUAUAUCUUCCCAAAAUCCGAUUAUCCUACCAUCUCAAACCACCCAUGUGUAGCCUUGUUUAAGUGAUUUGGCAGCCCACAUGACUCCUUGUCAAAAUUUAGAGGGGUUUUGUGUGGUACAAGAAAACAUAUUAGGCGUGUUCCUUAUGUACUUAACAUCUACUAUUCAUCUCCAAUUUCCCCCCUCAUCUUUUAUUUAUCUCUUGACCCAGCUUCCAAGGAGGCAGAGAUUUACAUGUCUGAUGUUUGGCACUCCUAAUCGUCCAUAUUUUUAUUUCAUACAAACUAAGUUCCAAUUGGAAAUGUAUAAUUUUCUAUUUCCUUCAAAGUCACUCCAAAGGCACUGAGCUAGUUGGCUAUUUAUUAGCUUCGAAGCCCACUUGGGGAACUUUUUGGGCCAUCUUAUCUGACAAAUAGACCCAACGACAUUGUCAGAUCAAACUCCGGAUUAAUCCUACAUGACCACAUUAUAGAUCAACCCUACUAUAGGUCCACUAUCGAGUCACGGGCUUGCAGCACAACCUCAAUCAAAAGUGCUUUAGCUUGUUGUACCUUGUUACAGCGCCGCCGUCUCAGCACCUUCCGGAAAACCUGCAGCAACAUCUCAAAAAUAUUUGUUUUGAAAGUUGUCGAUAGAACUUGAAGAGCUUGCCAACAAAGAGGACCACACGAGUCCUAGUAUCAGGUGACACUUAGUGUUUAAUGGAUCCGAAUAGCAAUUAGUGUUUAGUGGGUCCGACAAAAUAAUAGCUUUUAUUAAAAAUAUAUAUUAAAUGUAUGUAUCUACCGUAUAAUAAAUAAAUAGGACAUCAAAUGAGCUCUGAAUUAGAUGAAAUUUUAGGUGUAGCCUCUCUAGGCUAUAAUGAGACCACACAGAAAAUAAUCAAACCAUUUGGAGAAUUUUUAAUUUUUGUUUGAAAUUAAAUUACAAAAAUGACAUAAAUGUGAUUUGAACUAGGGCUGUGUGCAAGACUUGUGCAAAAAUUGUGAAAUAUUUUCUGGGGCUUUCAAAUAUUAUACAAAGUCCAUGUGAAAAGUUGGGACUCUUAUCUUAAUGUACAAGGACAAAAGGGAAAAUGGUUUUGGUAAAACCCAAAUAAAUUAAACGGUAAAAUAAUUUGCUUUUAUGUGUUUGAUAUUUUUGUUAUGCGUGUUGAGAAUAAUGCAUAGUGAAAUGAUGGCAUCAUGUCAUGAUGAUGCAAAAUAAAAUAACAGACAUUUAUUUUAGUUAAGGAAUUAGUCUAUUCUAUUACAACCAUCUAAAAAUUUCUCUAUGGAUGGCGCAUUAGCUGCAAAAGUACCCUUCUACUCCCGAGCUCAAAUAGCUCGGGAUGAACAGUAAAUUCUGAAACCAAAAAAAAUCUCAAAGUUUUUUGGUGCAAACUUUCACAAAUGUUCUCAGUGCAUGGAAAUUUUCAGCUCGAAACAACACUUGUAGAACGCGUGGCAAAAGAAAAAAAAAUCAGCACCCCAAAAUGCUUUCAAAAAUAUCAUUUUUGGAGAUUCGAUUUUGUUUUUUACCACGACUUCUAGGAUUGUUGUUUUAUAAUAAUUUUUUGCAAGCACAUUUGUCAAAGUUUGCACUAAAAAAACAGUUUUUUUAUUUUUUUUGUACUAUUUUUUUGAUUUUACUGUUUAUCAGGGUGCAUUUGAGCUCGGGUGUAGAUACUUCGUGUCCCAUUAGCUGAGAAAAUAACUAGCCCUCUUCUAGCGCAACAAAACUCAAUCUUCCUUUCAUGUACGUGCAUGACUUUAAUGUAAAACUGGUAACUCCUUCAAGGUUGACUAUGAAUCGACUCCUACGCACGGUAGCUCGUGGGAGCGGGCAACACAUGCUCGAAGGCGCUCCUAUAGGUCCAAGGUUGCCAGAAUCAUGAUUUAGAAUCGGAUAGGAACUCCGAUGGUAGGAUUGUAAAUCAUAGAAGCUGAACUAUCAUCAUCGUAGAAACGUAGAUUCCAUGAACUAGAAUCGCAAAAUUGGAUGGGUUAAUUUGGAUCGUAAAAUCGUAUAAUAGAAUCGCGAUUCUCACAACCUUGGAUAGGUCUACUGGCUACCGCAUGCAAGCGCAUUUUUCUUAGACAAACUCUAGCAAAGUAGUCAUAUUUGGAGCCUCUAUAUCCAUAGCGCGCUCCAUAUGGAUUAUGGAGGUCACCAAGGAAAAUCGCACAAAGUCAGAAUCCUCAUAUUUGUUGCCUCUAUAACCAUGGGACCCACUCAUCUAUGGGACAUUCCUUUUUUCCCAAGCUUCUUGCAAUCCCACGUGAGGUGGGGAGCACCUAAAGUUUCCUUCCCAUCACACGGAACGAGAGGUAAUUUUCAUAUGGAGCACGCUCCAAAAGGCAGCCCCGAGACACCAUAUAUGACAUGCUAGAUAUGGAGGGUACUCCAUAAAAUAUAAAUGAUCCCUGACAAGAUGGAAACUUUGCCAGAGGGCCUUUUUGACCAAAGUUUCCAUAAUAGAGAUUAUUAUGGCGAUCGGUCAUAUAUAGCCACUCUCAUAGAAUUUCUCUUAAAGGUGCCACGUGAGUCUCUCACGUUCUGUGGCAUGUAGAACUGGUAACCGACAUGUUAGGCUACACAUGUUUUCCCACUGCACAAUGUGCUUCAGUUGUCUGUCACAUGGUGGUGCUGGAUUGUGGGUUAUGCGGUCUACCCUUAAAUUCACCAUAUUUGUGGUACCGCUAACAAUUGCAUAUUAAGCCGAGAGGGUAGGAACCUAUUUAUGGACUAUAUUUGCGCCACAAAAGUACGGAUGCCAUGAGUUAUGUCAUGGAUCAUGAUUAAACACGACAGUUCUAUGAGUCUAAUAUUAUAGUCUCUAGCAUACCUGUGCGAGUUAUGUUCAUGAUCACUUUGCGUAUAUGAGAUUAAGUUCCAAUCCAAGCAUGUGGGUCAACACCUUGCAGAACUAACCCUGCAAAACGAACCCAACUCUUCCACCAUGAUUGUAAACGUAUAUACAUAUUAAUUUCACUAGAGUCAACCUCAAGUAAUUCCUCUAUUGUAUUCCAGCACAGUUCUCCUCGACACCUCCAGUAUUGCUUCCACAAAUAAAAUUACAUCUACAUCGGCACCUCAAGUAUUACUUGUCGAGUAUAAUUUUGCAUCUAUUAUUCUCCAUCAUGUACAUCAAUAAUAUGAACAAUCCAAAUCGAGUUUAAUAAAUAAUAACCAUGUUGAAUCAAUGUUGGAAGUCACAAAAAUACCCCACAAAGGAUGCUGUUUUUCUAGUCUUUCUUCGCAUGAUAGUUUACAAAAUUAUAUAAGUUUGAAAUUUCAAAAUAAUUUUGAAAGUUGAAAGUGUUUUAAAAGAAAAUAAAAUGAAAGUCAAGAUUUCUGAAAUUUAUUUUUGAAAGUACAAAUUUGGAAUGCAAUUUUUUUGAAAUUUCAAAGAUCCGGAGCAGACACACCGUCCACGAUCUAGCUCACAUUGUUGUGGUCGUCCUCCUCUUGCACGCAGCUCCAACAAGUAAUCGCUCAUGUAGUCACGUCCAUGUUGGUCAUGCACUAGCUCGCAUGUGUCGCCGCGUCAUCAGGGAAAGUAUCCCGCAACAACGAUGGCCACCAGACCAUAUCCCACACCAAUUUGACCACAUACCGCAUGCGACGCCAUGAAAAAACCAUGGCACCCAUGGGUUUUGCCUCACAGCGUCCUACGGCGAUGGGAAGGAGGAGAAGCAGUGGGACGGGUGAAUUGCUAGGUUGGGGCGCCAAAUCAAUGCCUCUUUGAUACUCAAAACGCCGGGAUAGAAAAAAAAUCAAGGAUUGUAGUGACAUGUCAUCUUGAAUCCCGCCGAAUUAGAAAACUAGGAGAAUUCGGAUAAAAUAGUGUUUGAUGCCACCAUAAAAGCAAAGGAAAUAUACCAAGAGAUUUUAGUGGAUGCGUAUUUUUCUCCAAAAUAAAGUGCUAAUGAAUUCUAAGGAAAAUUACUACGCAUUUCAAUCCUAUGAAUCGAGUAGCCAACAGAGAAAAAAAAUCCUAUAAAAUUCUUUGAAUGAAAGCACUUGCCCUCUCGUAUGCUUGGUCUAGUUACGUUCGUUGUCGUCACAUGCCGACACUUUCGAUCUGCAUCUCCUUAAGGCUUAAGCAAACAAUACCAUUUUUGCAAGUGAAAAAAAGGAUCACAUGUUUUUGGGGGAAUCAUCUUCUUCCCGGACGAGGACGAAUGAGGUGGGACGUGGAGACCGGGACGCGCCCGCUGCCUUCCGAGGCCCGGCUCCUCUAGUCGGCAGCCACCUGCCGACCAACUCAUGCAAGCACACGUAGCGCCCCUGCCACGGCGAUUCGUCCAUCUGACCACCCCUCAUUAUGGGCUAGUCGGCAGUCACCUGCCCAUCCACUCACGAGAGAACACGUCGUGCUUCAUCUAUCCUCUGACGGCCUAUAAAUAGUGCCUCGUGGAGCACCUGCUUCACAGUUCACACAACACCACCUGCUCCAAGUAAACACUAAACAGCAGCACUAGUAGAUUUCCCGAGUGACAAGUUUGGCGCAGGAUGGAGCACCAGGGACACGGCACCGGCGAGAAGAAGAGCAUCAUGAGCAAGAUCAAGGAGAAGCUCUCCAGCAGCCACGGUGAUCACCAGCAGGCCGCUGCCACCCACGGGCAGCAGGGACACACCACUACGGCCAUCGAUGGUGCCUACGGGCAGCACGGACACACCGGAGCCACCGGCACUGGGAUGCACGGCGCCGACACGGGCGAGCAGAAGAGCGUCGCGGAGAACAUCAAUGACAAUCUCCCUGUCGGCCAUGGGGACCACCAGCAGACUGGUGGCACCGACGGGCAACAGGGACACACCGCCGCGGCGACGCAUGGUGCCUCAGCCAUCGGCGGCACCUAUGGCCAGCAGGGUAACACCGGUAUGGGGACACUUGGCGCCCCGGCCGCUGAUGGUGCGUACGGGCAGCAGGGACACACUGGGGCCACCGGCACGGCGAUGCACGGCGGCGGCACGGGCGAGAAGAAGGGCGUCAUGGAGAACAUCAAUGACAAGCUCCAUGGUGGUCAUGAGGACCACCAGCAGACUAGUGGCACCUACGGGCAGGAGGGACACACUGAUGCGGCGACGCAUGGCGCCUCAGCCACCAGCGGCACCUAUGGGCAGCAGGAAAACACCGGUAUGGGGACACAUGGCGCCCCUGCCACUGAUGGUGCCUAAGGGCACCACGGACACACCGGGGCCAUCCGGACGGAGAUGCACGGCGCCAACACAUGCGAGAAGAAGGGCGUCAUGGAGAACAUCAAUGACAAGCUCCCUAGUGGCCAUGGGGACCACCAGCAGACUGGUGGCACCUACGGGCAACAGGGAUACACCAAUGCGGCGACGCAUGGCGCCUUACCCACUGGUGGCACCCAUGUGCAGCAAGGAAACACUGGUACGGGGACAUAUGGCGCCCCGGCCACCGAUGGUGCCUACAGGCAGCACGGACACACAGGGGCCACUGGCACGAGGAUGCACGACACCGACACCGGGGAGAAGAAGGGCAUCAUGGAGAACAUCAACGACAAGCUUCCUAGUGGCGACGAAGACCACCAGCACACCGCUGGCACUUACGGGCAGCAGGGACAAACAGGCACGACAAUGCAUGGUGCCUCAGCCACGGGCGACACCUAUGGCCAGCAGGGACACACCGAAAUGUCCGGCACGGGGACGCACGCAUCAGCCAGAAAAAGGACGUGAUGGAGGACAUCAAGGCCAAGCUCCCAGGUGGCCAUGAUGAUCGCCAUCAGACCGGUGACACCUAUGGGCAGCAUGGACACACCAACACUGCAAUACAUGUCACCCUUGCCACCGGCGACACCUAUGGGCGGCAGGGACACACCAGGAUAACCGACAUGGGAACAUACGGCACCGGCGAGAAGAAGGGCGCCAUGGAGAAGACCAAGGAGAAGCUCCCCAGUGGCCACGGUGACCACCAACAGACUGGUGGCACCUACGGGAGCCAGGAAGACACCGAAAUGACUGGAAUGGGGAUGCAUAGCACCAAGGCCACAGAUGGCACAGAUGGUCAGCAGGGACACACCGGAAUGACUGGGAUGGCGUCACACGACACCGACGAGACGAAGGGUGUCAUGGAGAACCUCAAGGGGUGUUAGACUAGGUAUAUUGUAGAUCUACGUGUUGUAACACAAUACAUGUACCUGUACGUUCUUUCUUAUAUAUACAUGACAGUCGUACCCGUUUAGGGUAUCGAGCAUUGUUCCAAACCCUAGCUUUGUCUAACAUGGUAUCAGACGACGCGUUCGAUCCGCGCCGUGCUUUCGCCUCCUCUGCCGCCGUCGCGUCGGCCUCCGCCGCCGUGCCGCCUCCGUCAACCCUGGCGAUGGACUCGCCGUUCAUGGCGUCCGCACCACUCGCCUGGGCCCGUCCGGGAUCGCAGCACCCGCCUGCGUCCCGAUCGCCCGCGCCCCGAUCGGGCGAGAUUCCAUCUGGCGAUCCAGCUGGUGCUCCUGUGCAGUCGAUGUACGCCGGGACUCAGCUCCCCCCUCGAUGCAUCUGGCGCUCGGACUACGUCGCGGCUGCCCUAUGUUGCGUCCCAGUUGCAUGCUGCGGCGCCUCCGUUGCAUGAUGCGUCGGCCGCCUCCGGUUCCCAUGCAACAUCGCUACACUCUGGGCCUGCAUUGCAUGCUGUGGCGCCCGCCUCCGGUUCCCAUGGUGCCCCCGUACAGAUGCCCUACGGUGGCCCAUAUCCAGCACCGUACGUCGCGCCGUCGCCGUCGCCGUACGUCGCGCCGGUGCCGUAUGAUUCGUCCUCCGCGGUGCCCUACGAGGUUCCGUAUGGAGCGCCCUAUGCUGCCCCGGUGCCGUACGUUGCGUCGCUGCAGCCCUACGGCGUACCUCCUACGGCGCCCUACGGUCAUCACCAACACUACCGUACACCUCCGUUGGCCGAUGCGCUGAUUUCGUACAGUGCUCCGCCGACGUACGACUCGUAGCUCUCCGCACCGGUGGCUGAACCAGGACCGUUCCACUUAGCUCUCUGCCGACAACUACCUCCUGUGGCGUGCUCAGGUGUUGCCGCUGCUGCGUAGUCACUACCUUGAGGGGUAUGUCGACGGUACACUGCCGUGUCCCCCGGCCAUGGUUCCGGUGCCCUCAGCCGCUGGUGUCUCCGUCAUGGUGUCCAACCCUGCUCAUCGUCGGUGGAUCGCUCAGGAUCAAGCUAUUCUUGGUGCCAUUCAGUCCUCGCUCACUCCCUCCGUGGCCGGCAUGGUGGUCUUUGCCGCGACGUCGAGGGAUGCAUGGGCCACGCUCGACUCCAGCUUCUCCUCGCAGUCGCUGGCCCGUUCCUCUGCCAUUCGUAAUCAGCUGGGCGAGGUCAAGAAAAAUGAUCUCUCCGUCACGGUCUUCUUCAACAAGGUCAAAAGUUUGGCUGAUACACUGUCGUCUAUUGGAAAGCCUCUCCGUGACGAGGAGUUUACUUCGUUCAUUCUCAAUGGACUUGAUGAGGACUACGACUCUCUUAUUGAAAAUAUCAAUGGACGUGACAUGCCGAUGCCGCCUCGCGACCUCUACGUGCGCCUCCUCAACACCGAACAACGCCUAGCUGCUCGCCGCUCCGUCGGCGUCUACACAGAGGGCCCUUCUGCGAACGCUGCACUUCGCGGGGGUGCCCGUGGUGCCAAGCAGAAGGCGCCGCCGUCCGUGGGCAAUCAGCCCCGUUCGUCGGCUCCACCUCCUCCGACGGCUGGUCGCAAGAGGUUGGCGCUGCGAGUCAUGCGGUGGUGACGUUGAGUGUCAACUCUGCAGCAUCGAGGGGCAUUUGGCGUCUCGCUGCCAUCGCCGCUUCAAACGCGACUUCCUUGGCAUUGGGAACAACGGGAAAGGCAAUGAGAAACAAGCUGCUCUCGCUACACAGGAGCCUGGGUUCACUCCUUCUUAUUCUGUGGAUCCGUCCUGGUACAUGGACACCGGUGCCACCAAUCAUCUGACGAGCCAGCUCGACAAGCUGGCUACUCGCCAGCACUACACUGGUCAUGACCAGGUCCGUACUGCCAGUGGAUCAAGUAUGCCCAUCUCACAUGUUGGUCAGGCAUCUCUUCUUUCACGUACCACUAAAACCUUGUGUCUCCUUGAUGUUCUUCGUGUUCCUUCAGUCACACGUAGUUUGCUCUCGGUUCCUAAAUUAACUCGUGACAACAAUGUGCUUGUUGAGUUUCACCCUUUUUAUUUUUUUGUUAAGGACCGGGACACGAGGGACGUUCUUCUUAGUGGUCGAGCUCGCCAUGGCCUAUAUGCUCUUGAUGUGCCGCCUGUUUCUGAAGUUUUCAGUGGUGUUCGGGUGUCGUCGUCGCAGUGGCAUUCUCGCCUCGGUCAUCCUGCCACUCCCAUUGUGUGACAUUUGCUUCAUCGCCAUAGUCUUCCAGUUGAGUCCAGUAAUAAGGAGUUUCUAGUGUGUGAUGCCUGUCAACAGGGCAAGAGUCAUCAGCUACCUUUCUCUGUAUCGAGUCGUGUUGUCAAGGCUCCUCUUGAACUUGUGUUUUCGGAUGUGUGGGGCUAUGCCCAAACUUCUGUUAGUGGUCACAACUAUUAUGUUAGUUUCAUUGAUGCCUUUAGUCGCUUUACUUGGAUUUAUCUCAUUAAGUGCAAAUCUGAUGUGUUUCAUGUUUUUAUGCAAUUUCAAGCCCAUGUUGAGAGGUUUCUUAAGUGCAAAAUUAUUCAUGUUCAGUCUGAUUGGGGGGGGGCGAAUAUCGCAACCUUAAUACUUUCUUCACGAAACUUGGCAUCUCGCAUCAUGUGUCUUGUCCUCAUACACACCAGCAGAACGGUGCAGCUGAGCGCAAGCACCGUCACAUAGUUGAAACUGGCUUAACACUGCUCGCACAUGCCUCUGUUCCAUUCCGGUUCUGGAGUGAUGCUUUUGUUACUGCUUGUUUUUUGAUCAACAGGCUACCCACACGACUUCUUCACAUGAAAUCUCCCCUAGAGGUUUUACUUCAUGAGACUCCAGAUUACUCUCUUCUCAAAGUGUUUGGUUGUGCGUGCUGGCCACAUCUUCGGCCGUACAACAAGCACAAACUCGAGUAUCGAUCUAAGAAGUGUGUGUUUCUCGGAUACAGUCCUCUUCACAAAGGUUAUAAGUGUCUCCACAUUCCGACGAAUCGUGUUUACAUUUCUCGUGAUGUUGUAUUCGAUGAGACUGUUUUUCCUUUUUCCACACUGUCACCUUCCACCGAUACCACCGCUACUGAGCUGCACUCCUUUCCAGUUUUGCCUGACCAAUUUGUAGAUGCUGCAUAUUCUCCUCUGUUGUUGCCUAACCAUGGUGCAGGAACUGGACGGGGUGCUCGCCUUGAGCUUCUUCAUGACGACGUGGUUGCUACGGCACCAACUGCAGUUUUGCCGCCGGACGGGUCGCUUGACUCUGCGCUUGAUGACGACCACCACGAUGAUUGCACGUGCAUGCCCCAUGCACGUGGAUCAGGUGGUGUGGCCACCUCACCUAGCCCGGCUGCUAGCCCGGCUGGGUCUCCAGUUCGGCCACCCGAGCCGGCUGCUACCGCAGUUCGGCCGCUCGAGCCGCCAACCUCCACGGCCUCUGCCCCGCGUGGGUCGUCCUCGCCUGGUCCGCCUUCACCGACCACUCCGGGCCCAACACCGCCGCGCCCGUCUUCGCCGGUCUCUCCGGCGCAUGCAGACCCUGUGGCAUCUCCUUCGGUAGAGUCUGUGGACUCGCCUACUGCUGUGGCUUCUCCAACACCUCCGCCGCCUGUCGUACUGCGCCCUCAUACGUGCAGCAAGAGUGGCAUUGUCAAGCCUGUCCAACGCACAGAUGGUACGGUCGCAUGGCUUGCGGCCUGUGUUGCUCGUGCUGAGGCCGAUCCUACGGUGGAACCGCGACAUUUUCAGGCAGCGCUUGGCAUUCCACACUGGCACGCUGCUAUGGAACAGGAGAUCCAUGCUCUUCGGAAGAAUAAUACUUGGCGUCUGGUUCCUCCUCCUUCCAGUGUCAAUGUUAUUGAUUCCAAAUGGGUGUUCAAGGUGAAGAAACAUGCUGACGGGUCCAUUGAGAGGUACACGGCACGACUGGUGGCCAAAGGAUUUAAACAAAGGUAUGGCCUUGAUUAUAAAGAUACGUUUAGUCCUGUUAUCAAGCCCACGACUAUUCGUGUUCUUCUUUCGCUGGCUGUUACUCGAGGAUGGUCGCUUCGUCAGCUCGAUGUCCAGAAUGCCUUCCUUCAUGGAGUUCUGGAAGAAGAGGUAUAUAUGCGUUAGCCCCCGGUUUUGUUGACCCUGCUCAGCCACAUCAUCUGUGUCGCCUCGACAAGGCUCUUUAUGAUCUGAAGCAGGCUCCUCGUGCGUGGCAUGCACGUCUUGGCGCUGCUCUUCGUGCACAUGGGUUUGUACCGUCUACAGCAGACACAUCUCUUUUCAUUCUUCAGCGACCUGAGGUGACUAUGUACAUUCUGGUCUAUGUUGAUGACAUCAUACUUGUCAGUUCAUCAGUCACUGCUGCAGAUCGGCUUGUGGCUUCUCUAGGGGCUGUUUUUGCUGUUAAGGAUCUUGGGAGACUGCACUAUUUUUUGGGUUUGGAGGUUCUUCAUUCUGACAGUGGCUUGACUCUCACUCAGCAGAAGUACUCUCAGGAUCUGUUGCGACGUGCAGGUCUGAUGCAGUGUAAACCUGCUACGACUCCUAUGUCCUCCACAGACAAAUUAUCAGCUUUUGAUGGGGACUUGCUCUCUUCUGAGGAUGCCACUGAGUACCGCAGCAUCGUUGGUGGACUGCAAUACUUGCUCGUCACUCGGCCAGAUAUUUCAUUUGCAGUUAACCGUGUGUGUCAAUACCUUCAUGCACCGCGUGAUCCUCAUUGGACGGCGGUUAAGCGCAUUUUGCGCUAUGUUCGACACACAGCUUCGUAUGGUCUCCAUUUGCAGCCUGCGGCUUCUGGUUUGAUCUCAGCCUUCUCUGAUGCUGAUUGGGCUGGUAGUCCCGAUGAUAGGCGAUCCACUGGGGGACAUGCUGUGUUCCUUGGUCCUAAUUUGAUCGCCUGGCAAGCUCGAAAGCAAGCUACCGUGUCUCGGAGUAGCACUGAAGCUGAGUACAAAGCAGUUGCUAAUGCCACAGCUGAGAUCAUAUGGGUUCAGUCAUUGCUUCGAGAGUUGAAGGUCUUUCAAGCCCAGCCGCCUGUUCUUUGGUGUGAUAACAUCGGUGCUACAUAUCUUUCAUCCAAUCCGGUAUUUCAUGCCCGAACGAAACACAUUGAAGUUGACUAUCAUUUUGUGAGAGAACGUGUUGCACAGAAGCUACUUCAAAUCAAGUUUGUUUCUUCUAAGGAUCAGCUUGCUGACAUUUUCACUAAACCCUUGUCCUUGCCCUCUUUUGAAGGAUGUCGACGCAAUCUUAACCUCAUGAAUGUUUCAGGACAUAGUUAAGAUUGAGGGAGGGUGUUAGACUAGGUAUAUUGUAGAUAUACGUGUUGUAACACAAUACAUGUACCUGUACGUUCUUUCUUAUAUACAUGACAGCCGUACCCGUUUAGGAUAUGGAGCAUUGUUCCAAACCCUAGCUUUGUCUAACAAGGGGAAGCUCCCCGGCGGCCAUGAUGACCACCAGCAGACUACUCGCACCAACGGGCACCAUGUUGGCACGGGGACGCAUGACAACCCUGCCACCGAUGACACCUAUGGGCAACAUGAACACCCCGGAGUGACCGGCACAGAGGCAUACAGCACCGGCGGCACAGGCGAGAAGAAGGGCAUUGUGGAGAAUACGAAGGAGAAGCUCCCCGGUGGCUACAAUGACCGCCAGCAAACCGGUGACACCUACGGGCAGCAGGGACACACCGGCACUAUGACGCAUGGCACCCCGUCCACCUGUGGCACCUACGGGCAGCACGGACACGCCGGACUGACCGACAUGGGAACCCAGGGCACCGGCAGCACCGACAAGAAGGAUGUCAUGGACAACAUCAAGGAGAAGCUCCCUGGUGGCCACGGUGACCACCAGCAGACCGCUGUCACCUACGGGCAGCAUGGACACACUGGAAUGACUGGCACGGAGACGCAUGGCACCACGGCCACCGACGACGGGAAGCAAGGACACAACGGAACAACUGGCACUGGGACACACGGCACCGACGGGACCGGUGAGAAGAAGAGCCUCAUGGAAAAGAUCAAGGAGAAGCUGCCUGGACUGAACUAAGCCCGGUAUGCCUAAGGCCGCUACCUUUGCAGAAUAAUACUCCAC